This 158775-nucleotide long non-coding RNA is filed under the name Daucus carota (carrot). Its description in RNAcentral is "long non-coding RNA (DCAR_LNC002601)". Lineage: Eukaryota; Viridiplantae; Streptophyta; Magnoliopsida; Apiales; Apiaceae. The record is from RNAcentral.
CUUCAUAUUUACACAGCCAUUGAUCUGUCGUGCAACAAAUUUCAGGGAGAAAUUCCAAAGGUUACCGGAGAGCUUAGAUGGCUUGCAUUGCUCAAUUUAUCUCAUAAUAGUCUAACAGGACCUAUCCCAUCAUUGCUGGGAAAUAUGAAAGAACUCCAAUCUUUAGAUUUGUCCUCAAAUCAACUGACAGGGGCUAUUCCACCUCAGCUAACUGCAUUGACAUUUCUAGAGGUCUUGAACCUCUCGGGAAACCAUCUUAGUGGAGAGAUUCCUCAGAAAGGACAGUUCAGCACAUUCAACAAUGAUUCUUAUCUAGGAAACUCCGCGUUAUGUGGAUCACCUUUGACGAAGAAAUGUGGAAACACUGUAUCACCUCCACAGGAAGUCGGAAAUGGUGAUGAAGAUGAUGCGGGUGAUGAAUGGACAUGGGAAGCAAUCGUGAUGGGAUAUGGAUGUGGACUGAUAUGUGGAUUGUCAUCUGCGUACAUUGUUCUCAAACUAGGAAAGCCUUGGUGGUUUGUGAGAUAUAUCGAAGUACUGCAACAGAAGUUGAUGAAAAGAUAUGCAUGAAGAAAGGUACUGGUAGAUCAAGAUGAAAAGAUAUGAAGAAGUAUUUGGUAUUAUGUAAUAAUCCGUUUGGUCGGGACUCAAAAUGAUUUCUCUUGCUUCAGGGGUAUUAAUAUUAACCUUGCUAUCUUGUUCAAUGUUAAUGCAAAUUAAAAAGAAUAUAAAAGCAAAAAAUUUGCAUCAAACACCUGUUGUACCAACAUGCAUCCAUUAAUUUGCUUUCAUCUAUUAAGUAACAAUUUAAGAGCGCUUCCACUCUGUUUAAGCAUGGAGAUUACACAAAGAAGGCAAGUCCAUGGAUUAACACGUAGUCCACAUCUAUGCUACGAACAAUUCACAUUGAUCUUAUAUCUGUUCAACAGUCUCCCGAAGAUAGGCCAUAAAUGUCAUCUGUGGCUCUUAUGUUUGUCAGUAAAGGAGAAUCUCUGAUGCCUAUAACCUGGUUUUCUUACAAGAUGCCCAGGUUAUCAUGGCCAUGCAGAAAAAUGCCCAAAAAUGAAUAGCUCAGGUCUCCCCAAGCCUUCCAGGACUCAUUCCAAGUCUUCGGAGGACCACUGCCUCCCCCUUUCAAAGAUGUGAUUGUAGCUCGAAAGUGAUAUAAAUUAUUUUCCCCACAUUAAAAAUAAAAAAUCAGAUUAAAUUAAUCAAUAAUAAAUUAAGGAUGAAAUCCAAAUUAAUCCUAAAUUUUGAUAAUAUAUAAAAAUUAUAAUUAUAAAUUAUAUAACCAAAUCAGAAUUGAAUUAACUUACUUGGCACUAGAAUUGCUAAAGACAGUAUAAUAAUUUAAUUGAUGAAAAGUCAAAGUCUUCUAAUAAAUCCAUAAAGAAUAUGAUAAUAUGAAAAUUAUAAUUGAAAAAUCAAAAUCAAUAGUGUAUUGGAAUAGUGUUCACACACUUAUAUAUCAAAAUUUGUGGUCCAAAAACUAUAGCACAAUAUCCUAAAUACAUCACAUUAAAUAAUAGCACAAAAAUAUUCAAUAAAUAAUUGAUUUCAUUCAUAAAUUUGUUAUUUUAAAAACUAAUAAUUUGGUUGAUGUUAACCUAUAUUUUAUAUAUAAUUUCGUCUUAUUUUAUUUUACUAGAAACAAUAUUUUUAUAAUAUUUAUUACAUUAAAUAUAUUAAAAGAUAUAAUUUUAUUAAAAAAAUUGAAUAAAAUUAAAAGGAUAAGUCUCGGCCUCUCCAAGUCUACAAGACUCAUUUCAAGUCCACCGAGGGCCUCAACCAUUGAGAGAUGUGAAAGUAGCUUGAGAGUGAUAUAAAUUAAUUAAAUUAGUUAAUAAUGAAUCAAGACUAAUCAUGAAUUAUGAUAAUAAUUAAAUAAAUUAUAAAAUUAAAUUAUACAAAUAACACUAAACCUUAGUUACUUUAUUGGUAAAAUAAAUAUAAUAUAAUAAUUAAAUUGAUGAAAAAUCAAAAUCAUCUAAUAAAUUCACAAAAAAUAUAUGAUCAUUAGUAUAUUAUAUUAGUAUCCACACACUUAUAUUUCAAAUCUAUCCUCCAAAAUUAUCAUCUCGAUAAACUAGCCGCAUAAAAUAAAAAUUUAACGAUAUUAGAUAUUUAGCUAUUUUCAUUAUAUAAUUUUUCCACACUAAAUAACAAAAUAUCUUUAUCAAAUUAUUAUUUAUGAAUUAAAUAUUCAAGUUAUAAUUCCAGCAUGCAGCGUAUAAAUAGAAGUGUGCAGUAUGAUAUCAGAUUCAUAACCCAGUUGAGGAGAAACAUGGCACACUCUGUAAAGCCUUCUCACCUUCUUCUCUUUGUUUUCUAUCUCUCUUAACUUGAAUACAUUCUUGCAACAACACAAGAGGGAGAAGCUCUUGUGAAAUGGAAGAAUAGCCUAGCCCCUUCUUCUUUUCUCGACUCUUGGUCACUCACCAAUCUCGAUGAUCUUUGUAACUGGACUGGCAUCACUUGUAACUCUGCAGGUUCAGUCUCUCAGAUCAACCUUUUCGAAAAACAACUUGAUGGAAUGCUGUCCGAGUUUGGUUUCACUUCAUUUCCGAAUCUCAACAAUCUCACCCUCGCAUACAACUUCUUCUCGGGUCCGAUACCACCGGCCAUUGAGAAUUUAACACAGCUUCGGUAUCUUGAUUUAAGCUUUAAUUCUCUCCAUGGUCCCAUUCCGUUCCAGGUUAGCCAUCUUCAGAGCUUGCUCAUCUUAAACCUGUCACAGAAUGCAUUGCAAGCUCCAAAUUGGUCCCAUUUCUCUCCCAUGCCUUUUUUGCGCAUCCUCAACCUCAUUAGCAAUCCUCUUGCGUCGAAAUUCCCAAAUUUUAUAUCCAACUCUCAUAGCCUGACUCACCUUAGCCUUAAUUUUAAUGAGUUUACUGGUGAUUUAGUACGUGAAUCAGUAUUUGCCAAUCUGCAUAAUCUUGAAUUGCUCAGUCUCGUUGAAAAUUCUUUUGAGGGGCCAUUUCCGCCGGAUAUAUUCAGGCUUUCCAAAUUAAAACAUCUUCACCUGUCAAGUAACAAAUUUUCAGGUUCAAUUUCCAAUGACAUAAGGUUGCUUUGUGAUCUUGAAUCCCUAUAUUUAGGCAACAAUUCCUUCGAAGGACCCCUUCCAUCAAAUAUAUUCAAGCUUUCAAAAUUAAAAAAUCUUGUUAUUGGGAGUAAUAAGUUUUCGGGUUCUGUUUCCAACGAUAUAGGUUUGCUUUCUGAGCUUGAAAGCCUCUAUCUUGACUCCAAUUUUUUUGAGGGGCCGCUUCCGUCAAAUAUAUUCAAGCUCUCCAAAUUAAGGAUUCUUUCCCUUUGGCAUAAUAACUUUUCAGGUUCUAUUUCUAAGGAUAUAGGUUUGCUUUCUGGACUUGAAACCCUCUUUCUUGACUCUAAUUUUUUUGAGGGUCCGCUUCCCCCGCAUAUAUUUAGGCUCUCCAAAUUAAGAGAUCUGGGUCUCUCAGACAAUAGAAAUUUAUUUGAAGGGAGUAUUCCUAUUGGACUGGGACUCUUGACUAACCUCAGGUACUUAGAUCUAUAUUCCAAUAAUCUCGGUGGUUAUAUUCCAUCUGACAUUGGAAACCUGAAGCUACUAGAAGUUCUUGAUCUCAGUUCUAAUCAAUUGACUGGACCGCUUUUAAAGAUUGUUUCUAAUCUCACAAAUCUUAUGUUUCUUGAUGUAAGACAAAAUAGUCUUAGUGGAAAUAUUCAGAGUGACUUGUGGAAAUAUAACGAUCAUCCAACUUUGGAAUUCAUCAAUUUAAGUGGGAACCAUUUUACGGGUAUAGUUUUUCUCUAUAAAUCUUUUCUUUUGUCAUAUGUAACUAAGCUAGUAAUCUGAUUAAUUGCAGUUUUACCAAAGUUUCAACAAUCUUGACAGGUGAGCUUCCAACAACAAUUUGCAAUGUCACUUCCCUUUCAAUUCUUGAUUUGUCAAAUAAUGGAUUAAGUGGUGCACUUCCAAACUGUUUCGGGAAUCUUGCAGAUAGAUUGCUUUUCAUUAAUCUUGCUAAUAAUCAGUUUCGAGGAACAAUACCAACUACUUUAUCCAAAAGUUGUCAGCUGACAUGUCUAAACAUGGAUAAUAAUGAGUUUGAAGGAUUGUUACCCCCAUCUUUGGCGAACUGUAAGCACUUGAGAAUUCUUGAUAUUGGCAACAAUAAAAUAGGUGGCACAUUUCCGUCAUUGCUUUAUGUACUUGGAGAGCUAGAAGUCCUUGUCUUGCGAUCAAAUAAACUCUGCGGUACAAUAAGUGCAAGGAGCAUAGAAGAUCCCUUCCCCAAGUUGCGGAUUGUGGAUCUGUCCAACAAUCAGUUCACAGGCCAUUUGCCAAUUCAAUACUUCAAGAAUAUGAAAUCAACUGAUAAUUUGUAUUGGUAUCGUAUUUCCACAGGAGAAUUAUUUUUCCAAUAUGAAGCAGCAGUCUCAUUAACUGUGAAGGGAAGAGAGUAUGAAGUAGCAAAUAACCUUCAUAUUUACACAGCCAUUGAUCUGUCGUGCAACAAAUUUCAGGGAGAAAUUCCAACGGUUACUGGAGAGCUUAGAUGGCUUGCAUUGCUCAAUUUAUCUCAUAAUAGUCUAACAGGACCUAUCCCAUCAUUGCUGAGAAAUAUGAAAGAACUCCAAUCUUUAGAUUUGUCCUCGAAUCAACUGACAGGGGCUAUUCCACCUCAGUUAUCUGCAUUGACAUUUCUAGAGGUCUUGAACCUCUCGAAAAACCAUCUUAGUGGAGAGAUUCCUCAGAAAGGACAGUUCAGCACAUUCAACAAUGAUUCUUAUCUAGGAAACUCCGCGUUAUGUGGAUCACCUUUGACGAAGAAAUGUGCAAACACAGCAUCACCUCCACAAGAAGUCGGAAAUGGUGAUGAAGAUGAUGCUGGAGAUGAAUUGACAUGGGAAGCAAUCGUGAUGGGAUAUGGAUGUGGACUGAUAUGUGGUUUGUGAGAUAUAUCGAAGUACUGCAACAGAAGUUGAUGAAAAGAUAUGCAUGAAGAAUGAUACUGGCCGAUCAAGACGAACUUGAAAGUUUGUUGUCCUUGUGGACAUUUCAGCUGAACCAGUAGUGUACUAUUCUCUUUGUGACUGCAUAAGUAUUUUGUAUUGUGUAAUGUUCUGUUUGGGCUUAAAUCAUAAUGAUUUUUCUUGCUUCAGGGGUAUUAAUAUAAAACCGUUUGGUCGGGACUCAUAAUGAUUUCUCUUGCUUCAGGGGUAUUAAUAUCAUCCUUGCUAUCUUGAACAAUGAUAAUGCAAAUUAAAAAGAAUGAAAAAACAAAAAUAUUGCAUCAAACACCUGUUGUACCAAGAUCCAUUAAUUUGCUUUCAUCUCUUACGCAACAAUUUAACAGCACUUCCACACUGUUUGAAAGAUUAUCAUAAAUUCGAGUUUUCCUCUCCAGCACCAAAUCCAAAUUAAUAUACAAUGCCACACAUUCCAGUCUCAGCUUCAGCUCCCAGGGUAGCAUUCAUUUAGCCAAGCACGACAGUGGCCGCUUACGUGCCUAACAAUAACAGUUGGGGAUUUGAGUGAACUUGCCUUGGUCCUGCCUUCAAAUGUCUGACAAUAACAGUUGGAUAUGUCGACAAAAAAAUUGUUCCUCACAGAGGAGCUAAUAGCAAUUGACUUCGAAUAAAUCCGACAGUUCUUUUCAUCCAGUUAUUAUUUCAGCAAUAUGUCUAGCAAAUAUGUAGUGCACUGGACACCAUACUACCAACACAAGUAGUAAAAGGAGAGACCAUUGUUUCGAAUGCUCGGAAAUUUGAACAGGGUUUUUUCCACCUGCCCCCUGACUUUUUACACAAACAGGUCAAGAAAAACAGAAGCCGGCUUCUGGAAAAAUGAAGCACUACUUUAUGAGUGACCAUUGUUUUGAAUGCUCGGAGAUGUGAAGUGGAUUUUUUCAGCCUGCCCCCAGACUUCUUUUUGUAAAACUAGAUUUCUUUAGCUCCGGUGUCUUAGUAUUGGAGAUUAUGAGUGACUGUAGAAAAGACUUUAAUAUGAGUGUGAGAUAUACCCCGGUGGAAACAGGACCUUGAUCCAAAGGGUCACGGGUUCAAACCUCACCUGAUCGGGUUCCACUCCACGCUCGGUCCACAUCUAUGCUGGAUUCAUAUUAAAAUGAUAAUGGAACACGGGCGUCCAUGGUUGGGGAUAUCAUAUUAAAAAGAUUAGCUGGGCACAGAUGAAUAUUUAUAUGGAUUUUAAAAACAAACUAUGACUUAAUAUAAGAAAAAUCAUUAUUUUUUAUUUUUCCGACUAAACAUUUGUUAGCCUUCUCUGGUGCCCAUCCAAAUCAUUCAGCGGGUUCUACUUUCAGCUCAUCACAAGAACAUCAUUCUGCAGGUACUUUCUUAUAUUGUUUGCCAGCGGUGACCGAGCCAGAAACUUUUUCGAGGAGGGGCCGGAAUAGAAAUAUUAUUUAAAUUUGAAAAUAUUAUAUAUCAUAUUGAAAAUAGUAUUAGUAACAAAAAUCCAUUUAUUUUAGGUUUCUAUGAGAAAACUCAGUCGUUUCAUUAAGAAAAUUUAAUUACUUAAUUACCAAACGGUUGAGGAUGAAGAUUUGAAAGAACGAGUUGCAACGGGGAGACUCAUAGACGCGACAGAAAAAAAUAGAAAAAGAUAUUGUUCAACAACCGAGUCUAUAUUAUUAAAAUUUAUGAUAAAUGAGAUAAUUUUAUUUUAUAAACUAACUAAAUACAUAUAAUAUAGUAUUAUAUGUAAUGCUACGUAAAAUUGGAUACAAGAUUUUGCACAAAAUGAUAUGAUAACUAAAGUGAAAUAUUUUAAUUGGUGCUAUUAAUGUAUAUAUACAUUUAUUACAAUUAAAACUUAACACAUAUUAUUAAUUUUGUGAAUAAAAUAUUUUUCUUAAUAAUAUAUAAGUAAAAAAAAUAAAAAUCUAGGAGGGGCUCAGGCCCCCUCUGGACCCCUCUAGCUCCGUCUGUAUACACCUAUCAUAUUAUUGACAGGUGGCUCUCUCAUAUUGCUCACAGGCGAACUCCUGCAUAUACUUUGUGAACCAAUCAUGACAAAAAUAUCAUCAUCCAAUCAAUUCGAUUAAUUAUUCUUUAAAUCAGUACAAAUAUUGUUAAAUAUAUGGAUGAUUAUCGUGUUUCCGCGAACCAAUCAUGAAAUGAAAUUACCUCUGUAUAAAUCCAUCGGAAAUAAGACAAUUAAUGGGGCCGUUUGGGCAAGCUUAAAAGAAGUGACUUCUUGCUUAAACUAGAGAAGUGGAGCAGAAGUGAGAAGUAAAUAAGUUAUUAAAGUGUUUGGAAAAGAAGCAGAAGCUGUGAGACAAAAGCUAGCAUUCUCAGCUUUUUAAAAGUGACUUCUUUACACAAACGGGUAAAAAAAGCAGAAGCCAGAAGCAGCUUCUGCUUCCGUUAAACAAACAGGCCCAAUAUCUCAAUCGAAUACACCCCGUGAGUUGUCAAACUCCUCGAAACGUAUUAAUCACUUUAGAAAUUUGUUCCACUGGCGCCAUUCAGUUCCAGAGUUGGUGGUAGGGGCCGUGCUUCUUGUGUUUCUUCUUUUCAUUAUUGACAUUGUCAUCUAGGUCCUUGCUUCUGGGCUUUGGAGAAGUAAACAAUGGAUCUAUUAGUCUUCCAUAUCGCUGAUACGCGCUAACGCGCAUUAUAGUGGAUUGAUCUUUAUUAGUGAUUUCUGUGGAGAUGCAUAAUCAUUAUAAGCUCCAAUAUAAAAUAAACCUAAUUUAAAGUUAGUAUGGGCAUUUGUGUUGAUAAUUUACGCAAUGUUAACAGGGAUUGCUCCCAAGUCUUGGACGGAUUCUUUCCAAGUCUUCUGAGGACCUAUUUGCACACUAAUUUGUCGCCAACUAAAAAUUCAACGAUAUUGCUAGCUCCCUCUACUAAUUUUUUGCGGGACGUUUUUUACUUUUAACACAUAUCUUUAGAUAGAAUUAGUAUUGUAAAAAGCGGGAAUCAGACUUAAUCGGUGAAGUCACAGAACAACGAUUAAUCGAUGAUUAAUUGGAUUGAUUGGGUAUCAAUCGGAUGAUUAAUGAAAUAAUCGGAUAUUUAAUCCGUUCGACGAGUUACGGAACAGGGAUUAAUCGUGAUUAAUCACCGACUUUUAGAACAGAGGAUAGGAUAAUAAAAUUAUUAUUUUUGAUUAUUUUUUUUGUGAAUAAAAAUUUUGAUUAUAUAUUUUUAUUAAAAAAGAAUUUAAAAUAAUAUUUUUAACUAACCGGUCCAAACAGCUAAAAGUGUGUGCCCAAGCGUCAUAUAAAAACGGAGGGAGCGAGCAUGUGCUGACUAACGGUUCAACUAACAGUUUACAAGUACUCCAUCUGUCCCAUUUAGUCCUAUUUAAUUAUAUACGUUUUUUUUUAACUGUUUGACACGCACUUCAAUGCUCUUCUAAAAUAUGGUUCUAUAACUUAUUUUUAAAAUUUUCUUUUUCUGAAUAAAAAUAUAACAUUCAAACUUUUAUUCAGAAAAAAAUAUCGUAAAAAUAAGUUAUAGAAUUAUAUUUUAUAAGAGCAUUAAAGUCCAUGUCGCGUCCCCGUCUUCUGAUGUAUAAAUUUGCGCAAUGUUAACGGGGAUUGCUCAUUUGCUCUCAAGUCUUGGACGGACCAAGUCUUCUAGGACCCAUCUGCACACUAAUUUGUCUGCCAACUAAAAAAUCAACGAUAUUGCUGCCUCUGCUAUUUUUUACCAGGACGUUUUUUACUUUUAACACAUGUUUAGAUAGGAUAAUAAAUAUUAUUAUUAUUGAUUAAUUUUUUUGUGAAUAAAAAUUUUGAAUAUAUAUUUUUAUCAAAAAAAGAAAAUUUUAAAAAUAAUAUUUUUAAGGGAAAUUAUUAAUGGUACUAUUGUGCUACUGGCUUUUCUAAAUGGUACUAUUUUGGUGUUUUCGACUUACAUGCAUUAUCACUUCCAUUAACGAUACUACCAUUCCGUCCCUCAAAACGUUAAAACCAUUAGUUGACCGUAUUUAUUUUGUAUUUUCCUUGUAAAAAAAACAAAAGAAUACAACUAAUAUUUGUAUUUUUUGUUUGUGUUCAAAUCGUCGAGAUAUGGAAGAGGUUAUCAGAAUUUUAGAAUUGAUUCGAUGUCCUUCAGAAAGUCAGGGGGAAACGGAAUGAGAUACGAGUUUUGAACAAGAAUCCAGUUUAGUUGUUGUUUAUCUUGAAAAACAGAUUUGGAAGUCAUAUAUUUUCAGCCUUUGGCUUCAUGUAUUUCUGUCUCAUCAUUCCCAGAUACUUGCUGAGGUUUAUAGUCACUGUUUAUUAAAUGUUGUCGUACAUUUUCCUGUAUUAUGCACCCAUGUGGCGCCUGUGUUUUGCAUGUCAUGCACAAUUUGCUCAACUACAUACAGGUCACAGGAUGAGUGCAUGUGCCAAAGGGAUUAGUGCAUUGAUCUGUGUAGUGUGAGGACACUGUGAUACAAGGCACAAUUUCUCAGAUUUCUUCUGUCAACACCACUCCCAUCCAUAGCUCCCACCUUUUCUCUCUCAAUCUCAUGUUUCUCUCUUUCUCUCGCAGCUCCGCCGCCACCACUACAUCAGUCUUCAAGAACUCAAGAAAAAAUAUGGAUAUCAGUUAUAUUUUUUGUGUUUUUUAAAGAAGUAUAUGAAAUAAAUAUAGUCAACUAAUGUUUUUAACGUUUUGAUGGACCGAAUGGUAGUAUCAUUAACGGAUCAUAAACUGAGUGGUACCACUUGUAAGUAAAAACCAGUGUUGUAAAAAGCGGGAAUCGGAUUUAAUCGGUGAAGUCACGGAACAAAGAUUAAUCGGAGAUUAAUCGGACUAAUCGGUGAUUAAUCGGAUAUUUAAUCAGUUCGGCGAGCUACGGAACAGGGAUUAAUCGGUCGUGAUUAAUCACCGACUUUUAGAACAGAGGUAAAAACACGAAAUGGUAUUAUUCAUAAAAGCCAAUACCACGAUGGUACCAUUAAUAAUUUCCCUAUUUUUAAUUACCGAGUCCAAAUAUUUAAACGUGUGUGCCCAAAAUUAAAGCCGCAUAUAAAAAAACGGAGGGAGCAUGUACUAACCGUUUCCAUAACAGUUUACAAGUAUAAGUUAUACUCCCUCUCAAUUUUUUUAUUUUUUUAUAUGACGUUUUGAUCUUGGGCACACAUUAUUAAGUGUUUUGACCGGAUAGUUAAAAAUAUUAUUAUUUAAAUUUUCUUUUCUGAAUAAAAAUAUAUAACCAAAAAUUUUAUUCACAAAAAUUUUUAGUGAUUUUUUCGUGAAUACCUAAGGCCAAUUUUUCAAAUAUUUUGUAAAAAUACCAAUUUUUUGAAAAUAUUUGCAAAGAUAAUGUAUUCAACCACAUGCAACCAUACUUAUAACCAGAUGUAACCAUAAUUGCAACCUCUGCGGGACCAAUUAACUGAAUUUGUAUUUGGUUGCACUAGUUAGUAUUUUCUUAAAGUUAGUAUUUUUGUAAAUAUUUUUAAAAAAAAGUAAAAUCGCAAAAAAAAAAAUCGAAAAAAUGGUUUGAUAAAUUUCUAAAUAUUUAAUCACAGAACAAUAACUUUUACAAUCCGAUCAACUCAUUUAAAAAUGUGUGUCAAAAGUAAAAAUGUCAUAUAUAUAUAUAUCAUAUAAAUGUCAUAUAAAUUUAAAACAAAGGGAUNCAUAUAAAUGUCAUAUAAAUUUAAAACAAAGGGAUAUAUAUUUUUUAAUAAAAUAUACUCCCUCUAUCCCAAAUAAGUGUCAGUGACAUUUUGCAAAAAUAGCUUGGGACAAUAGAUUUUUUUGCCACUCAACUUAAUGUGUUUUUAGAAAUUCGCCACCCAACUAAUUUUUUUUUCCUUUUACUCACUAAUGUUAGGUUUGGAUUUUUUUUAGCCACCAACUUAGGUUCGGAUUUGAUUACUAGUAUUAUGAUAAUUUUAUUUAUCACUAAACUUACUGCGUCUUUAGGAAUUAACCACUGAACUAUAAUUUUUUUAUUUUACUCACUAAUGUUAGGUUCAUUUUUUUUGUCACUGAAGUUAGGUUCGGAUUUGAUUAUUAGCAUUAUAUUAAUUAUGUGUAACAUUAUUAAAAUAUAGUGGUCUAUAAUAUUUUGAUGAUUUGGUAUAUGUCUGUAUCUUUAUAUAUAGUACUUUUUAUGUCUCCAAUGUCGUUUAACUUGAGUGGUAAGAAUUUUACACGCAUUUUAUGGCUUUUAAAAGAUGUAGUUUCAUAAAUAAUUUUAUUUUUUUCUUCCGAAUAAAAAUUCAGCGUUUUACACACAAAAAAAUAACAAAAAAAAGUUAUGAAGCUAUGUUUUAUAAGAGUCUUAAAAUACGUGCUAAGCAGUAGAAAAAACUGUAAACUAAUGAGAGGGACAUGUAGUAAUAAUAAUAAAAUGAUGCAUUAUAGAGGACAAUCAUCGAAAAUUAAGUUAACCUCUCUAUUUAUUUAUCUUGAAAAUUGUAGUAAAAUAAAGUUAUUAAAAUUUAUGAAGAUAAAUUUGAGAGAGAUCUUGGACUGAGCUAGUCAAUUGAAACUUUAAUAGCGAAAGAUGAUGCAUCAUAUCAAUCAAUUACACUUUAUCUUCUUAUCAUCAGGGAGGGUGAAUUGUUUGAAGUCAUUGAUUUCAUAUUCAUGAUUUAUUGAAUUUUAGAAUUCUAAUUACGAUUUUUCCUGGUUUUAAUUUUUCAUCGGCUCAUUUUAUAUUAUUUUUGUUAUAUAUAAGGAUAUAAACAUACGACACAUCAUCAAAAUAUUACAUACUAUCACUAUGUAUAAAUGAUGCGACAAAAAUUAUCAUAAUGCUAGUAAUUAAAUCCGAACCUGAGUAGUGGCUAAAAAAAAAUCCAAACCUAAUAUUAAUGGUAAAAGGAAAAAAAAAAUAGUUAGGUGGCAAGUUUCUAAAAACACUAUAAAUUGAGUGGCAAAAAAAAUCUAUUUUCCAAACAUAGCUUGGGGUAAUAACAAAACCUUAAUCAACGCAAGCACAGCAGACCGCAGGCAUAAGGCUUAUAAAUAGAAGUGCAGUAUUGUGUUGAUGGUCAAGUUGAGUGGAAAUAUGGUACACUUUGUAAAGCCUUGUUAUCCUCUUCUCUUUGUUUUCUUUCUCUCAUUACUUCAAUCCAUUCUAACAACACUACCUGAAUCCAGACGAGAGGGAGAAGCUCUUGUGAAAUGGAAGAAUAGCCUAGCCCCGUCUUCUUUUCUCGACUCUUGGUCACUCACUGAUCUCGAUAAUCUUUGUAACUGGACUGGCAUUACUUGUAACUCUGCAGGUUCAGUCUCGGAGAUUAACCUUUGUGAGAAACAACUUGAUGGAAUGCUGUCCGAGUUUGGUUUCACUUCAUUUCCAGAUCUCAACUAUCUCACCCUCGCAGACAACUUCUUCUCGGGUCCGAUACCAUCAGCCAUUGAGAAUCUAACACAGCUUCAAUAUCUUGAUUUAAGCAUGAAUAGUCUCAAUGGUCCCAUUCCUUUCCAGGUUAGCCAUAUUCAGAGCUUGCUCAUCUUAAACCUGUCACACAAUGCAUUGCAAUCUCCAAAUUGGUCCCAUUGCUCUCCCAUGCCUGUCUUGCGCAUCCUCGACCUUAGUUUUAAUAAUCUUGUGUCGAAAUUCCCAGAAUUUAUAUCCAAUUCUCAUAGCCUGACUCACCUUAACCUUUCAGAUAACAAGUUUACUGGUGAUCUUGUGCGUGAAUUUACCAAUCUACAAAAUCUUGAAACCCUCUACCUUCAAGAUAAUUCUUUUGAGGGGCCGUUUCCGCCUGAUAUAGUCCAGCUUUCCAAAUUAAAACGUCUCGCCCUGUUAGGUAACAAAUUUUCAGGUUCAAUUCCCAAUGACAUAAGGUUGCUUUGUGUUCUUGAAUACCUAUAUUUAGGCAACAAUUCCUUUGAAGGACCACUUCCACCAAAUAUAUUCACGCUUUCAAAAUUAAAAUUACUUGUUCUUUGGGGUAAUAAGUUUUCAGGUUCUAUUUCCAAUGAUAUAGGUUUGCUUUCUGAGCUUGAAACCCUCGUUCUUGACUCUAAUUAUUUUGAGGGGCCACUUCCGCCAAAUAUAUUCAAGCUCUCUAAAUUAAAGGUUUUUUCCCUUGUGUACAAUAACUUUUCAGGUUCUGUUUCCAAUGAUAUAGGUUUGCUUUCUGAGCUUGAAUAUCUCCGUAUUGGCUGCAAUUCUUUCGAGGGACCGUUGCCAACAAAUAUAUUCAAGCUUUCCAAAUUAAGUAAACUUGACCUAUCAAAUAAUAGUAAUUUUUUUGAAGGAAGUAUUCUUAUUGGAUUGGGACUCUUGACUAACCUCAGCUACUUAGAUCUAGAUUCCAAUAAUCUCAGUGGCUAUAUUCCAUCUGAGAUUGGAAACCUGAAGCUACUAGUAUUUCUCGAUCUUAGUUCUAAUCAAUUGACUGGAUCGCUUUCAAAGAUCUUUUCUAAUCUCACAAAUCUUAUAUAUCUUCAUGUAUAUGAUAAUAGUCUUAGUGGAAAUAUUCAGAGUGACUUGUGGAAAAACUCUGUAUCCUUGCGUUUCGUUGAUCUUGCAAAUAAUUAUUUGUCUGGAAACAUCCCUAAGGAAUAUAACGAUCAUCCAACUUUGGAAUACAUUAAUUUAAGUUGGAACCAUUUUACAGGUAUAUUUUCUCUAUAUAUCUUUUCCUUUUCUNCUCAUAUGUAACUAAGCUUGAUUAUUGCAAUUUUACCUAAGUUUCAACAAUCUUGACAGGUGAGCUUCCAACAACAAUUUGCAAUGUCACUUCCCUCUCGGUUCUUGUUUUGUCAAAGAAUGGAUUAAGUGGUCCACUUCCAAAUUGUUUCGGAAAUCUUGCUGAUAGAUUGCUUUCCAUUAAUCUUGCUAAUAAUCAGUUCCGAGGAACAAUACCAACUACUUUCUCCAGCAGUUGUCAGCUGACAUAUCUAAACAUGGAUGAUAAUGAGUUUGAAGGAAUGUUGCCUCAAUCUUUGGCGAAAUGUAAGCACUUGAAAAUUCUUGAUAUUGGCAAUAACAAAAUAGGUGGUAUAUUUCCGUCAUGGCUUUAUGUACUUGGAGAGCUAGAAGUCCUUGUCUUGCGAUCAAAUAAACUCUAUGGUACAAUAAGUGGAAGGAGCAUAGAAGAUCCGUUCCCCAAGUUGCGGAUUGUGGAUCUGUCCAACAAUCAAUUCACCGGCCAGUUGCCAAUUCAAUACUUUAAGAAUAUGAAAUCAACUGAUAAUUUGUAUCGUUAUCGGAAUUCCACAGGACCAUUAUCUUUCUCUUAUGAAGCAGCAGUCUCAUUAACUGUGAAGGGAACAGAGUACGAGGUAGCAAAGAACCUUCAUAUUUACACAGCCAUUGACCUGUCAUGCAACAAAUUUCAGGGAGAAAUUCCAAAGGUUACUGGAGAGCUUAGAUGGCUUGCAUUGCUGAAUUUAUCUCAUAAUAGUCUGACAGGACCUAUCCCAUCCUUGCUGAAAAAUAUGAAAGAACUCCAAUCUUUAGAUUUGUCCUCAAAUCAACUGACAGGGGCUAUUCCACCUCAGUUAACUGCAUUGACAUUUCUGGAGGUCUUCAACCUCUCGGGAAACCAUCUUAGUGGAGAGAUUCCUCAGAAAGGACAGUUCAGCACAUUUAACAAUGAUUCUUAUCUAGGAAACUCCGCGUUAUGUGGAUCACCUUUGACAAAGAAAUGUGCAAACACAGCAUCACCUCCACAAGAAGUCGGAAAUGGUGAUGAAGAUGAUGCUGGUGAUGAAUGGACAUGGGAAGCAAUCGUGAUGGGAUAUGGAUGUGGACUGAUAUGUGGAUUGUCAUCUGCGUACAUUGUUCUCAAACUAGGAAAGCCUUGGUGGUUUGUGAGAUAUAUCGAAGUGCUGCAACUGAAGUUGAUGAAAAGAUAUGCUUGAAAAAUGGUACUGGCCGAUCAAGACGAACUUGAAAGUUGUUGUCCUUGUGGACAUUUCUGAACCAGUAGUGUACUAGCUGCAUAAGUAUUUGGUAUUAUGUAAUAAUCCGUUUGGUCAGGACUCAUAAUGAUUUCUCUUGCUUCAGGGGUAUUAAUAUUAACCUUGCUAGUUAAUUCAAAUUAAAACAAAUAUAAAAUCAAAAAAUUUGCAUCAAACACCUGUUAUACCAACAUCCAUUAAUUUGCUUUCAUCUCUUACGUAACAAUUUAACAGCGAUUCCACACUGUUUUAGGCAUGGAGAUUACACAAAGAAGGCAAGUCCAUGGACUAAUAUACGAACAAUUCAUAUUGGUCUUCCAUCUGUUCAACCGUCUCCCGAAGAUAGGCCAAAAAUGUCAUCUGUGGUUCUUAUCUUUGUCAGUAAAGGAGAAUCUCUGAUGCCUAUACAACCUGGUUUUCUUACCGAAAGGAAUGUAGGUGAAACCAGGGGCAUAAAAUGAAUCGGGACUAAAAUCUGCUAAAAUGAUAAUUAUUUACUCAUCAUUCGAGAUUAGUCGGGCUCGAAUGAAGAUUUAUAUGGAUUUUAAGAACAAACUAUGACUAAAUAUGAAAAAAUCAUUAAUUUUUCCGACUCAAUAUUUUUAGCCUCCCCCGGCCCUGGGUGAAACCAUAAGCUUCUCUGGUGCACAUCCAAAUCAUUCAGCUGGUUCUACAUUCAGCUCACCCACAGGAACAUCAUUCUGCAGGUACUCUCUUAUCUGUACUUUCUUAUAUUGUAUGCCAGAAAAUUUAAUAUCGACAAACUGCACAAUACACCUCGAUCUCAUAUUAUUGACAGGUGAGCUCCUCUCAUAAUGCUCACAGGCGAACUCCUGCAUAUAUACUUUGUGAUGUCAUUGAUGAUCGAUAGGCUUGAAAAAAAAUUAUGACAAAGAUUCAUAAAAUAUCUACUUCCAUCCUAAUUCAGUAUUCAAUAUUAUUCAUUCCGUAUCAUCAUCCAAUCAAUUCUAAUAGUUCUUCUUUAAAUCAGUAUAAAUAUUGUUAAAUAUAUUGAUGAUGGUUGUCUUUCCGCGAACCAAUCAUAAAAUUACCUCUGUAUAAAUCCAUCGGAAAUAAGACAGUUAAUAUCCCAAUCGAAUACACCCCUGUCAGUUGUCAAACUCCUCGAAACGUAUUAAUCACUUUAGAAAAUUUGUUCCACUGGCGCUAGUCAGUCCCAGAGUUGGUGGUGGGUGCUUCUGGGCUUUCGAAAAGCACCCAUUUACUCCAUUGUUUAGAGAAGUAAAACCCCACCUUCCGCUCAUUUGAUUGAUCAGCUGAAUUAGGCAGAGUUUACAUGGUCAUGAUCAUAGUCUCCCAUUUCCCAGAUACGCGCAUUAUAGUGGAUUUAUCUUUAUCAGUAAUUUCUGUGGAGAUGCAUAAUCAUUAUAAACUCCAAUAUAAAAAUUUAAAGUUGGUAUGGGCAUUUGUGUUGAUAAUUUGCGCAAUGUUAACAGGAAUUGCUCCCAAGUCUUGGACGGACUCUUUCAAAGUCUUCUGAGGACCCAUCUGCACACUAAUUUGUCUCCCAACUAAAAAAUCAACAAUAUGUUACUCCCUCCGUUUUUCUUAAACGAGGUUAAAAUUUUUGACACAAGAUGGGUUGACAGUAUAAUAAAAAUUUUUGUGAAUAAAAUUUUUUUUAUUUAGAAAGAUAAUCUUGAAAAUAAUAUUAUUAACUAAGUUAAAUCACUUAAAAGUGUAUGUCCAAAAAUUAAAGCGGCAUAUAAAAAAAAGGGAGGGAGCAUGUACUAACUGUUUCCAUAACAGUUUACAAGUAUAAGUUAUACUCCCUCUCUAUUUUUUUAUAUGACGGUUUGAUUUUGGGCACACAUUUUUAAGUGUUUUGACCAGAUAAUUAAAAGGGGUUUUCUCAUAAAUACCUAAGUCUAAAAUUAUUUUUACGAAAAUAUUAUAUCUUUUUUUAAAUAUUUUGCAAAAAUACCAAACUUUGUAAAUAUUUACAAAAAUACGGUAUGCAACCCGUUGCAACCACAUGCAACCUUACUUGCAACCAUAUUUGCAACCCCUGCGGGGUCAAUUAACUGAAAUUGCAUCUGGUUGCGUUUAGUUGCAGACCGUAUUUUUGCAAAUAUUUUCUAAAAAGUUAGUAUAUUUGCAAUUUUUUUAAAAAUAUAAGAAAAUCGCAAAAAUUAUAACAAAGCUUCAAGAUUUUUAACAGGUGAGCUUCCACUAAAAAUUUGCAAAGUCACUUCCCUUUCGCGUCUCAUUAUGUCAGAUAUUGGUCAAGUGGUGCACUUCCACAGUGUUUGGGGAACCUUUCUUUGCUUGGUUUCAAUAAUCUUGCUAAUAAUCAAUUUCAAGGACCAAUACCAACGACUGUCCAAGACUUGUCUGUGCAUAUCUAAACAUCCAUAACAAUCACUUUGAAGGUUUGUUGCUCCAAUCUUUGGCAAACUGUAAACACUUACAAAUUCUUGAUAUUGGAAACAACAAAAUAGGUGGUACAUUUCCGUCAUGGCUAUUUACUGUUGGAGAGCUAGAUGUCCUAGUUAGGACGGUAUUUCGACUAGAGCAAGCCGAGUUUUGAGCGGAGCCCAAUUCGAGCCAAGUUUAAUCGAGUCGAGCCGAGUCAGUUCGUUUGGCUAAUCGAGCCUAAAACUCUGUCCGAACUCGACUCGUUUAAUUUCACGAGUUGAGUCAAGCCAGCUCAUUUAGCUAAACGAGUUGGUUUUAACGAGUUAAACGAGUGAGCUCGUAUAAUUUUAACUUAAUCGAGCCUGGAUCUCUAUCCGAACUAUUGGCUCGUGUAAUUUCGCGAGUCGAAUCGAGCCGGCUCGUUUUAUUAAACAAACCGAAAUUUUUGCCCAAAUUUUGCUCGUUUAACAAGCCGAUCUGAACCUAGUUAAAUGAGUUCGAGCUAGUCGAGCUCGCAGCUUGCGAGCUCGCCGGACAGCUCUAGUACUAGUCUUGCGAUCAAAUAGGUUUCACGGUAUAGAAAGUGGAAGGAACACAAGGCAUCUGUACUUUCUUGUACUGUAUGCCACUUUGACAGUAAAAUUUAUACUCCCUCCGUCCGAAUGAAUUGUAUACAGUUUACUUUUUGGGACGUCCCAUCAAUUGUAUACAUUCCUAAAGUAGUAAACUUUUAUAAUAUAAAACAUCAUUAAACCAACUACUUUCUUCCCCUAUCUCCAUUCUAUAAUAAUAUAAACACUAUUACACCCACUACUUUCCUCCACUAUCUCAAAUUUAUUAUUAAAUAUAAAUGGGUCCCACCACUAUACUCACUUUUCAUCCAACUUUACUCAUUUCUAAUAAAAUUUCUUGGUCUCCGUGUCCCAGCCAUUUGUAUACAAAUGACUGGGACGGAGGGAGUAUCAACAAACUGCACGAUUAAAUCCUCGUACAAUUGACAGGUGAACUCCUGCAUAUGUUCUGAACUAUUACGUACUAUAUUAUGCAAGCUGUUUGCAACUUUCAUCAAAAUUUUCAAACAUUUCUUAAUAUGUUUUUUCAAAAAAUUCUCGGGCCCUCUUAAGGCCUAUUAUUAUUGCAACUCUCACGUUAUGGACCACUAUGUAUUUUACAAGCACGACGAAUCAUGUGGUCAUUAUGGACUCCCCAAGCCUUCGAGGACUCACUCCAGGUCUUAGGAGGACCACUGCCUAGCUCACCCUUUCGGAGUGAUGUAAAUUAUUUUCUAGACACUAAAAAUAAGUAUUCAGAUUAAUCAUUACAAAAUUAAGGAUAUAAAAUCAGAAUAAAUCCUAAACUUUGAUGAUACAAAAAAAUUAUAAUUGUAAAUUAUACAAUCAAAUUAAAAUCGAAUUAACUUCCCUCACACUUAAAAUUUAUAGCGAUCAAAUCAAAAUCGAAUUAACUUUCCUAUUACUAAAAUAUAAUUACAAUAUUAUUAGAUAAAGAGAAUAUAUAAUAAUCAAGAGAAAAUAGAUUUUUUUUUGCCACUCAACUUAUCGUGUUUUAAGAAACUUACCACCCAACUAAAUUUUUUUUCCUUUUGCUCACUAAUGUUAGGUUUGGAUUUGUUUUUAGCCACCAACUAAGGUUCGGAUUUGAUUACCAGCAUUAUGAUAAUUUUUUUUGUCACUAAACUUAUUGCGUCUUUAGAAACUAACCACUCAACUAAAUUUUUUUUUAUUUUACUCACUAAUGUUAGGUUCAGUUUUUUUUUGUCACUGAAGUUAGGUUCGGAUUUGAUUAUUAGCAUUACAUUAAUUCUGUGUAGCAUUUUUAAAAUAUGGUAGUACUCUGUGAUAUUUAGAUGAUUUGAUAUAUGUCUGUAUUUUUAUAUAUAGUAUAUUUUAUGUCUCCAAGAUCAUUUACCUUGGGUCAUAAGAAUUUUACACGCAUUAUAUGACUUUUAAAAGAUGUAGUGUCAUAAAUAAUUUUAUUUUUUUUUCCGAAUUAAAAUUCAGCAUUUGAAUUUUACACACACAAAAAUCGCAAGAAUAAGUUAUGAAAUUAUGCUUUAUAAGAGUCUUAAAAUACGUGCUAAACGGUAGAAAAAACGGUGAAAUAAUGAGAGGUACAUAGGAGUAAUAAUAACAUAAAAUGAUGCACAAGUUAGUAUAUUGGACUAAUAUUCACGCAUUUAUAUACGAGAAUAUAUGGUCCACAAGUUAGUGCACAAUGUCCAAGAAUCUUUAUCAAAGUAACACGGCAAGCAUGCAGCAUAUAAAUAAGAGUGGGCAGUAUGGUAUUGCAUUCAUAACCCACUUGAGGAGAAAUAUGGCACACUUCCUAAAGCCUUCUCACCUUCUUCUCUUUGUUUUCUCUCUCUCGUUACUUCAAUCCAUUCUACCAACAAGACCAGAGGGAGAAGCUCUUGUGAAAUGGAAGAAUAGCCUAGCCCCUUCUUCUUUUCUCGAUUCUUGGUCACUCACCAAUCUCGAUGAUCUUUGUAACUGGACUGGCAUUACUUGUAACUCUGCAGGUUCAGUCUCUGAGAUUAACCUUUAUGAGAAACAACUUGAUGGAAUGCUGUCCGAGUUUGGCUUCACUUCAUUUCCGAAUCUCAACAAUCUCACCCUCGCAUACAACUUCUUCUCGGGUCCAAUUCCACCAGCCAUUGAGAAUUUAACACAGCUUCAAUAUCUUGAUUUAAGCAUCAAUAGUCUCGAUGGUCCCAUUCCGUUCCAGGUUAGCCAUCUUCAGAGGUUGCUCGUCUUAAACCUGUCACAGAAUGCAUUGCAAGCUCCAAAUUGGUCCAAAUUCUCCCCCAUGCCCUUUUUGUGCAUCCUCAACCUCAGUAGCAAUCCUCUUGCGUCGACAUUCCCAAAUUUCAUAUCCAAUUCUCAUGGCCUGACUCACCUCAGCCUUGAUCAAAACGAGUUUACAGGUGAUUUAGCGCGUGAAUCAAUAUUUGCCAAUCUGCAUAAUCUUGAAGUCCUCAGUCUUGUUGGCAAUUCUUUUGAGGGGGCCAUUUCCGCCAAAUAUAUUCAAGCUUUCCAAAUUAAAACAUCUUAGCCUGUCAGAUAACAAACUUUCAGGUUCAAUUCCCAAUGACAUAAGGUUGCUUUGUGAUCUUGAAUACCUAUAUUUAGGCAACAAUUCCUUUGAAGGACCGCUUCCACCAAAUAUAUUCAAGCUUUCAAAAUUAAAACAUCUUAUUCUUUGGGGUAAUAAGUUUUCAGGUUCUGUUUCCAACGAUAUAGGUUUGCUUUCUGAGCUUGAAAGCCUCUAUCUUGACUCCAAUUUUUUUGAGGGGCCGCUUCCGCCAAAUUUAUUCAAGCUCUCCAAACUAAAGAUUCUUUUCCUUUAUGAGAAUAACUUUUCAGGUUUUAUUUCUAAGGAUAUAGGUUUGCUUUUUGAACUUGAAACCCUCUAUCUUGACUCUAAUUUUUUUGAGGGGCCGCUUCCCCCACAUGUAUUUAGGCUCUCCAAAUUAAGAGAUCUGGGUCUCUCAGACAAUAGAAAUUUAUUUGAAGGAAGUAUUCCUAUUGGACUGGGACUCUUGACUAACCUCAGAUACUUGCGUCUAUCUUCCAAUAAUCUCGGUGGCUAUAUUCCAUCUGACAUUGGAAACCUGAAGCAACUAGAACUUCUUGAUCUCGGUUCUAAUCAAUUGACUGGACCGCUUUCAAAGAUCGUUUCUAAUCUCACAAAUCUUAUAUAUCUUGAUGUGAGUUAUAAUAGUCUUAGUGGAAAUAUUCAGAGUGACUGGUGGAAAAACUCUGUAUCCUUACGUUACAUUGAUUUUGAAAAUAAUUAUUUGUCUGGGAACAUUCCUAAGGAAUAUAACGAUCAUCCAACUUUGGAAUACAUCAAUUUAGGUGGGAACCAUUUUACAGGUAUAUUUUCUCUAUAUAUCUUUUCCUUUUGUCAUAUGUAAAUAAGCUAGUAAUCUGGUUAUUGUAGUUUUACCAAAGUUUCAACAAUCUUGACAGGUGAGCUUCCAACAACAAUUUGCAAUGCCACUUCCCUUUCGGUUCUUGUUUUGUCAAAUAAUGGAUUAAGUGGUGCACUUCCAAAAUGUUUCGGGAAUCUUGCUGAUGGAUUGCUUUACAUUAAUCUUGCUAAUAAUCAGUUUCGAGGAACAAUACCAACUACUUUCUCCAGGAGUUGUCGGUUGACAUAUCUAAACAUGGAUAAUAAUGAGUUUGAAGGAUUGUUGCCCCCAUCUUUGGCGAACUGUAAGCACUUGAAAAUUCUUGAUAUAGGCAAUAAUAAAAUAGGUGGUACAUUUCCGUCAUGGCUUUAUGCACUUGGAGAGCUAGAAGUUCUUGUCUUGCGAUCAAAUAAACUCUAUGGUACGAUAAGUGGAAGGAGCAUAGAAGAUCCCUUCCCAAAGUUGCGGAUUGUGGAUCUGUCCCACAAUCAAUUGACAGGCUAUUUGCCAAUUCAAUACUUUAAGAAUAUGAAAUCAACUGAUGAUUUGUAUAGUUUCCGGAAUUCCACAGGAACCGCAUCUAUCUCUUAUGAAGCAUCGGUCUCAUUAACCGUGAAGGGAACAGAGUAUGAAGUAGCAAAUAACCUUCAUAUUUACACAGCCAUUGAUCUAUCGUGCAACAAAUUUCAGGGACAAAUUCCAAAGGUUACUGGAGAGCUUAAAUGGCUGGCAUUGCUCAACUUAUCUCAUAAUAGUCUAACAGGACCUAUCCCGUCAUUGCUGAGAAAUAUGAAAGAACUCCAGUCUUUAGAUUUGUCUUCAAAUCAACUAACAGGGGCUAUUCCACCUCAGUUAACUGCACUGACAUUUCUAGAGGUCUUGAACUUCUCGGGAAACCAUCUUAGUGGAGAGAUUCCUCAGAAAGGACAGUUCAGCACAUUCAACAAUGAUUCCUAUCUAGGAAACUCUGCGUUAUGUGGAUCACCUUUGACGAAGAAAUGUGUAAACACUGUAUCACCUCCUCAGGAAGUCGAAAAUGGUGAUGAAGAUGAUGCUGGUGAUGAAUUGACAUGGGAAGCAAUCGUGAUGGGAUAUGGAUGUGGACUGAUAUGUGGAUUGUCAUCUGCGUACAUUGUUCUCAAACUAGGAAAGCCUUGGUGGUUUGUGAGAUAUAUCGAAGUACUGCAACUGAAGUUGAUGAAAAGAUAUGCAUGAAGAAAGGUACUGGUAGAUCAAGAUGAACUUGAAAGUUGUUGUCCUGGUAGACAUUUCUGAACCAGUAGUAUACUAGCUGUGUAAGUAUUUGGUAUUAUGUAAUAAUCCGUUUGGUCGGGACUCAAAAUGAUUUCUCUUGCUUCAGGGGUAUUAAUAUUAACCUUGCUAUCUUGAUCAAUGUUAAUGCAAAUUAAAAAGAAUAUAAAAGCAAAAAAUUUGCAUCAAACACCUGUUGUACCACAGGCUUCCGACUCAAUAUUUGUUAGCCUCCCGUGCCCUGUGUGAAACCAUAAGCUUCUCUGGUGAAUAUCCAAAUCAUUCAGCUGGUUCUACUUUCAGCUCACCGCAGGAACAUCAUUCUGCAGGUACUCUCUUAUCUGUACUUUCUUAUAUUGUAUGCCAGAAAAUUUAAUAUCGACAAACUGCACAAUACACCUCGAUCUCAUAUUAUUGACAGGUGAGCUCCUCUCAUAAUGCUCACAGGCGAACUCCUGCAUAUACUUUGUGAUGUCAUUGAUGAUCGAUAGACUUGAAAAAAAAUUAUGACAAAGAUUCAUAAAAUAUCUACUUCCAUCCUAAUUCAGUAUUCAAUAUUAUGCAUUCCGUAUCAUCAUCCAAUCAAUUCUAAUAGUUCUUCUUUAAAUCAGGACAAAUAUUGUUAAAUACAUGGAUGAUGGUUGUCUUUCCGCGAACCAAUCAUGAAAUUACCUCUGUUUAAAUCCGUCGAAAAUAAGAAAAUUAAUAUCCCAAUCGAAUACACCCCGUGAGUUGUCAAACUCCUCGAAACAUAUUAAUCACUUUAGAAAAUUUCAACAAUCUUGACAGGUGAGCUUCCAACAACAAUUUGCAAUGUCACCUCCCUUUCGGUUCUUGUUUUGUCAAAUAAUAAAUUAAGUGGUGCACUUCCAAACUGUUUCGGGAAUCUUGCUGAUGGAUUGCUUUACAUUAAUCUUGCUAAUAAUCAGUUUCAAGGAACAAUACCAACUACUUUCUCCAGGAGUUGUCCGUUGACAUAUCUAAACAUGGAUAAUAAUGAGUUUGAAGGAUUGAUGCCCCCAUCUUUGGCGAACUGUAAGCACUUGAAAAUUCUUGAUAUAGGCAAUAAUAAAAUAGGUGGUACAUUUCCGUCAUGGAUUUAUGCACUUGGAGAGCUAGAAGUUCUUGUCUUGCGAUCAAAUAAACUCUAUGGUACAAUAAGUGGAAGGAGCAUAGAAGAUCCCUUCCCCAAGUUGCGGAUUGUGGAUCUGUCCAACAAUCAAUUCACAGGCCAUUUGCCAAUUCAAUACUUUAAGAAUAUGAAAUCAAAUGAUAAUUUGUAUCGUUAUCUGAAUUCCACAGGAGAAAUAUAUAUCUCUUAUGAAGCAGCAGUCUCAUUAACUGCGAAGGGAACAGAGUAUGAAGUAGCAAAUAACCUUCAUAUUUACACAGCCAUUGAUCUGUCGUGCAACAAAUUUCAGGGAGAAAUUCCAAAGGUUACCGGAGAGCUUAGAUAGCUUGCAUUGCUCAAUUUAUCGCAUAAUAGUCUAACGGGACCUAUCCCAUCAUUGCUGAGAAAUAUGAAAGAACUCCAAUCUUUAGAUUUGUCCUCAAAUCAACUGACAGGGGCCAUUCCACCUCAGUUAACUGCAUUGACAUUUCUAAAGGUCUUAAAUCUCUCGAAAAACCAUCUCAGUGGAGAGAUUCCUCAGGAAGGACAGUUCAGCACAUUCAACAAUGAUUCUUAUCUAGGAAACUCCGCGUUAUGUGGAUUACGUCUGACAAAGAAAUGUGCAAACACAGCAUCACCACCACAAGAAGUCGGAAAUGGUGAUGAAGAUGAUGCUGGUGAUGAAUUGACAUGGGAAGCAAUUGUGAUGGGAUAUGGAUGUGGACUGAUAUGUGGAUUAUCAUCUGCGUACCUUGUUUUCAAACUAGGAAAGCCUUGGUGGUUUGUGAGAUAUAUCGAAGUACUGCAACUGAAGUUGAUGAAAAGAUAUGCAUGAAGAAUGGUACUGGCCGAUCAAGACGAACUUGAAAGUUGGUCCUUGUGGACAUUUCAGCUGAACCAGUAGGUACUAUUCUCUUUGUGACUGCAUAAGUAUUUUGUAUUGUGUAAUGUUCUGUUUGGUCUUAAAUCAUAAUGAUUUUUCUUGCUUCAGGGGUAUUAAUAUAAAACUUGGUAUUGUGUACUAGCUGUAAUAUUCCGUUUAAUCAAUGUUAAUACCUGUAAUUUUAUGCUCCUGACUGCAUCAUGCAGCUCUCAUAUUAUCUUCAUAUGUGUAUUUAUUUGGAUAUUGAAGUUGCAUGGACAUAUGGAUAUGUGUUAACGGGGAUUGCUCCCAAGUCUUGGACGGACUCUUUCCAAGUCUUCCGAGAUCCUAUUGGUUCAAAUUAGUCCAAUUUGAACUGCCAUCAAAUGCAACUCUGUAGAUUCUGUCUCUGAGAUUAACCUUUCAGGACAUCAGCUCAAUGGUACACUUGCUGAAUUCAGUUUCGUUUAAUUUCCGAAUCUACAAAUUAAGCUACAAUAACUUCACUUGUCCAAUACCCCCAGACAUUGGAAAUUUAACAGAGCUGCAACACCUUGAUUUUAGCUCUAAUAAACUCACUGCUGCAAUUCCGGACCAGGUAAGCCAUCUUCAAACAUUGCGGACCUUAAACCUGUAGGAUAAUCAACUUGGAAGCUCCAAACUGGUCCGCUUUUUCCCCUAUGCCUUCUCUGACAAACCUCUGUCUCAAUAAUAAUAAUCUUUCGUCGAAAUUCCAAGACUUCAUAUUAAAUUGUGGUAACCUGACUUACUUUGAUCUUUCAUUAAAUAUGUUAACAGGUAAUUUGGUUCCUUCAUCAAUUUUUAGAAAUUUGUAUAAUCUUGAAUUCCUUUAUCUUUCUAGCAAUUAUUUUGAGGGGCCUUUCCCGCCANNNNNNNNNNNNNNNNNNNNNNNNNNNNNNNNNNNNNNNNNNNNNNNNNNNNNNNNNNNNNNNNNNNNNNNNNNNNNNNNNNNNNNNNNNNNNNNNNNNNNNNNNNNNNNNNNNNNNNNNNNNNNNNNNNNNNNNNNNNNNNNNNNNNNNNNNNNNNNNNNNNNNNNNNUUUCCCUAUCAUAUAAUAGAUUUUCAGGUUCUAUUUCCAUAUGAUAUAGGAAUGCUUCGUGUUUUGGAAUCCCUUUUUUUAGUAGUAGUUCUUUUAAUGGCCCACCUCCACCAAAUUUAUUUAAAUUUUCUAAAUUAAAAGUUUUUUCCCUAUCAUUAAUAACUUUUCGGGUUCUAUUCGAAAUGAAACAGGGAUGCUUCAUGAUUUAGAGUCCCUCUAUCUUAAUGAACAUUCUUUUAAGGGGCCGUUUCCACCAAAUAUAUUCAACCUUUCCAAAUUAAAAGUUCUUAAUUACCUCUCAAAUAAUUCCUUUUCAGGUUCAGUUCCUAGUGAUAUAAGUGUGCUUCGUGAUCUUGAGAUACUUAAUUUGUCCUCUAAUUCUUUUGAAGGAAUUAUCCCAUUGGAGCUUGGGUUCUUGAAUAACGUGAGCUAUUAUUAUAUCUUGAUUCCACUCAAUUGACUGGACCGCUUUUGAAGAACAUUUAUAAUCUCAGUAAUUUUUUGUGUUGGCUUGAAUGGAUCAUUCCAUUCCCUCCAAAACUCAUUCCGUUCAUGUCAACCAAACAGAGCAUCAAUUACUAGUUACUGGGAAAUGCAUUAGCCUAAAUGUUCCUGGUUCAUUGUUACCGGUAUUUCUUAACUGCUGUGAUUGCAAAUUCAGUUGCAGAUUGUUCAUAUAUAUCUAGAGAGACCUGACAUAACUUUAGCCUCUGAUAUACAGCUUCCUUUCACAGUUGUGCCUAUUCACCUAGACGCGUUUUUAACUGCAUAAUGUUGGGUCAACUUCCGACCAUUUAUUUUCUCAUUUGAAAUUAGUGUAUUAAAGUUCGACUUUAAGAAAAUAUAUAGUUUUGUUAAACAAAAAUUCCAAAAGGUUUGGUACGUUUUGAGCUGGGACUUUGAAAUUGUUUGUCGUUAAAGAUGAAGAUUCACUUUUUAAGUUAUAUUAAUCUGUAGUGGUAGACUGGUAGUUUUUCUUUAUUGCUACUUUCCUUGUGCGUUCUUUAUAUUGAUUUAUUAUUUAAUUCGUAAAGUGUUGCGAACUACAUUCCUGCAAAAGUAAAAUCAGUGGAAUUUGUUUGAUAGCAUGAUGAAUAUUUAAAGGGGUUAAUUAUCAAAUUGGUCACUGAAGUGACUUUAAUGUAUCAAGUUGGUCACUGAACUCAAAACGGUAUUAAGAUAGUCACUGAAGUGGACAUAAAUAUCAAACAGGUACCUUGAAAUAUAAGUUCAAGCAGUAAAGAUAUUAUUUAUAAAAUUUUACACAUUAUUUUUAAAUGUUACCACAACCAACUAAAAGGUUAUGACUUCUAGUAUUUAAAUUAAUAUAUUUAUUUUAUCAAGUUUAUUUAUUAUUUAUAUUUUAUUAUAUAGUUAUUUUCUUUGUUUUAAUUAAAAAUAAAUAAUAAAUAAACUUGAUAAUAUCUAAAUAUAUUAUCAUAAAUAUUAGAAUUCAUAACCUUUUACUUGGUCUAGGUAACAUUCAAAAAUAAUGUGUAAAACUUUAUAAAUAAUAUUAUCUUUAUAUUCUUUCCUUUUCUAUGUACCUAUGCUAAUUAUCUGAUUAUUAAAAUUAUAACAAAGCUUCAAGAUUUUUAACAGGUGAGCUUCCACUAAAAAUUUGCAAAGUCACUUCCCUUUCGCGUCUCAUUAUGUCAGAUAUUGGAAACAACAAAUAGGUGGUACAUUUCCGUCAUGGCUAUUUACUGUUGGAGAGCUAGAUGUCCUAGUUAGGGCGGUAAUUCGACUAAAGCAAACCGAGUUUUGAGCGGAGUCAAAUUCGAGCCAAGUUUAAUCGAGUCGAGCCGAGUCGGCUCAUUUAGCUAAUCGAGCCUAAAACUCUGGUCGAACUCGACUCGUUUAAUUUCGCGAGUCAAGUCGACCCAGCUCGUUUAGUUAAAUGAGCUGGUUUUAACGAGUCAAGCGAGUGAGCUCGUAUAAUUUUAACUUAAUCGAGUCUAAAUCUCUACCCGAACUAUUGGCUCGUGUAAUUUCACGAGUAGAAUCGAGCUGGCUCGUUUUAUUAAAGAAGCCGAAAUUUUUGCCCGAAUUUGGCUUGUUUAACAAGCCGAUCUUUCAUCAAAAUUUUCAAACAUUUCUGAAUAUGUAUUUUCAGAGAAUUUCUCCGGCACUCUUAAGGCCUAUAAUUAUUGCAACUCUCACGUUAUGGACCACUAUGUAUUUUACGAGCACGACGAAUCAUGUGGUCAUUAUGGACUCCCCAAGCCUUCGAGGACUCAUUCCAGGUCUUAGGAGGACCACUGCCUAGCUCACCCUCUCGGAGUGAUGUAAAUUAUUUUCCAGACACUAAAAAUAAGUAUUCAGAUUAAUCAUUACAAAAUUAAGGAUAUAAAAUCAGAAUAAAUCCUAAACUUUGAUGAUACAAAAAAAUUAUAAUUGUAAAUUAUACAAUCAAAUUAAAAUCGAAUUAACUUCUCUCACACUUAAAAUUUAUAGCGAUCAAAUCAAAAUCGAAUUAACUUUCCUAUUACUAAAAUUUAAUUACAAUAUUAUUAGAUAAAGAGAAUAUAUAAUAAUCAAGGGAAAAUAGAUUUUUUUUUGCCACUCAACUUAUUGUGUUUUAAGAAAUUUACCACCCAACUAAAUUUUUUUUCCUUUUGCUCACUAAUAUUAGGUUUGGAUUUGUUUUUAGCCACCAACUAAGGUUCGGAUUUGAUUACUAGCAUUAUGAUAAUUUUUUGUCACUAAACUUAUUGCGUCUUUAGAAACUAACCACUCAACUAAUUUUUUUUUUAUUUUACUCACUAAUGUUAGGUUCAGUUUUUUUUUUGUCACUGAAGUUAGGUUCGGAUUUGAUUAUUAGCAUUACAUUAAUUCUGUGUAGCAUUUUUAAAAUAUGGUAGUAGUCUGUGAUAUUUAGAUGAUUUGAUAUAUGUCUGUAUUUAUAUAUAUAGUAUUUUUUAUGUCCCCAAGGUCGUUUACCUUGGGUCAUAAGAAUUUUACACACAUUUUAUGACUUUUAAAAGAUGUAGUUUCAUAAAUAAUUUUAUUUUUUUCUUCCGAAUUAAAAUUCAGCGUUUGAAUUUUACACACAAAAAAAUCGCAAAAAUAAGUUAUGAAACUAUGUUUUAUAAGAGUCUUAAAAUACGUGUUAAACGGUAGAAAAAACUGUAAACUAAUGAAAGGUACAUAGGGAGUAAUAAUAACAUAAAAUGAUGCACAAUCAUCGAAUUAAGUUUUCCUCUCUCUCUAUAUAUUUAUUUUGAAAAUUAUAAUAAGAUAAAGUUAUUAAAAUUUAUGAUAUAAAUUUAAAAGAGAUCUUAGACUGAGUGGCAAAAAUUUAGUUGGAUGGUAAGUUUCUAAAAAUACAAUAAAUUGAGCGGGAACAAAAUCUAUUUUCCCAAUAAUCAAAGUGAUGAAAAAUUAAAGUCAUCUAAUAAGUCCAGAAAAAAUAUGACCAUUAGUAUUUUGGAAUAAUAUUCACGCAUUUAUAUACGAGAAUAUAUGGUCCACAAGUUAGUGCACAAUGUCCAAGAAUCUUUAUCAAAGUAACACGGCAAGCAUGCAGCAUAUAAAUAAGAGUGGGCAGUAUGGUAUUGCAUUCAUAACCCACUUGAGGAGAAAUAUGGCACACUUCCUAAAGCCUUCUCACCUUCUUCUCUUUGUUUUCUCUCUCUCGUUACUUCAAUCCAUUCUACCAACAAGACCAGAGGGAGAAGCUCUUGUGAAAUGGAAGAAUAGCCUAGCCCCUUCUUCUUUUCUCGAUUCUUGGUCACUCACCAAUCUCGAUGAUCUUUGUAACUGGACUGGCAUUACUUGUAACUCUGCAGGUUCAGUCUCUGAGAUUAACCUUUAUGAGAAACAACUUGAUGGAAUGCUGUCCGAGUUUGGCUUCACUUCAUUUCCGAAUCUCAACAAUCUCACCCUCGCAUACAACUUCUUCUCGGGUCCAAUUCCACCAGCCAUUGAGAAUUUAACACAGCUUCAAUAUCUUGAUUUAAGCAUCAAUAGUCUCGAUGGUCCCAUUCCGUUCCAGGUUAGCCAUCUUCAGAGGUUGCUCGUCUUAAACCUGUCACAGAAUGCAUUGCAAGCUCCAAAUUGGUCCAAAUUCUCCCCCAUGCCCUUUUUGUGCAUCCUCAACCUCAGUAGCAAUCCUCUUGCGUCGACAUUCCCAAAUUUCAUAUCCAAUUCUCAUGGCCUGACUCACCUCAGCCUUGAUCAAAACGAGUUUACAGGUGAUUUAGCGCGUGAAUCAAUAUUUGCCAAUCUGCAUAAUCUUGAAGUCCUCAGUCUUGUUGGCAAUUCUUUUGAGGGGGCCAUUUCCGCCAAAUAUAUUCAAGCUUUCCAAAUUAAAACGUCUUACCCUGUCAAGUAACAAAUUUUUAGGAUCAAUUCCCAAUGACAUAAGGUUGCUUUGUGAUCUUGAAUUCCUAUAUUUAGGAAACAAUUCUUUUGAAGGACCGCCUCCACCAAAUAUAUUCAAGCUUUCAAAAUUAAAACAUCUUGUUCUCUGGAGUAAUAAGUUUUCAGGUUCUGUUUCCAAUGAUAUAGGUUUGCUUUCUGCGCUUGAACUUCUGAAUCUUCACUCUAAUUUUUUUGAGGGGCCGCUUCCGCCAAAUGUAUUCAAGCUCUCUAAACUAAGGUUUCUUAACCUCUGGGGUAACAACUUUUCAGGUUCUGUUUCCAAUGAUAUAGGUUUGCUUCCUGAGCUAGAAAUCCUCAAUCUUCACUCUAAUUUUUUUGAGGGGCCGCUUCCGCCAAAUAUAUUCAAGCUCUCUAAACUAAGGUUUCUUAACCUCUGGGGUAACAACUUUUCAGGUUCUGUUUCCAAUGAUAUAGGUUUGCUUCCUGAGCUAGAAAUCCUCAAUCUUCACUCUAAUUUUUUUGAGGGGCCGCUUCCGCCAAAUGUAUUCAAGCUCUCUAAACUAAGGUUUCUUAACCUUUGGGGUAAUAACUUUUCAGGUUCUGUUUCCAAUGAUAUAGGUUUGCUUCCUGAGCUAGAAUUCCUCAAUCUUCACUCUAAUUUUUUUGAGGGGCCGCUUCCGCCAAAUGUAUUCAAGCUCUCUAAACUAAAGUUUCUUCAUCUUCGAGGUAAUAAGUUUUCAGGUUCUGUUUCCAAUGAUAUAGGUUUGCUUCCUGAGCUUGAAAUCCUCAAUCUUCGCUCUAAUUUUUUUGAGGGGCCGCUUCCGCCAAAUGUAUUCAAGCUCUCCAAACUAAGGUUUCUUUCCCUUAAGGAAAAUAAAUUUUCAGGUUCUGUUUCCAAUGAUAUAGGUUUCCUUUCUGAGCUUGAAUACCUAUAUCUUGACUAUAAUUUAUUUGAAGGAAGUAUUCCUAUUGGACUGGGACUCUUGACUAACCUCAGCUACUUAGAUCUAAGUUCCAAUAAUCUCAGUGGCUAUAUUCCAUCUGACAUUGGAAACCUGAAGCUACUAGUAUUUCUUGAUCUCAGUUCUAACCAAUUGACUGGACCGCUUUUAAAGAUCGUUUCUAAUCUCACAAAUCUUAUGAAUCUUGAUGUAAGUGAUAAUAGUCUUAGUGGAAAUAUUCAGAGUGACUUGUGGAAGAACUCUAUAUCCUUACGUUACAUUAAUUUUGCAAAUAAUUAUUUGUCUGGGAACAUUCCUAAGGAAUACAACGAUCAUCCAACUUUGGAAUACAUCAAUUUAAGUGGGAACCAUUUUACAGGUAUAUUUUUCUCUAUAUAUCUUUUCCUUUUCUCAUAUGUAACUAAGCUGGUAAUCUGAUUAUUGCAGUUUUACCAAAGUUUCAACAAUCUUGACAGGUGAGCUUCCAACAACAAUUUGCAAUGUCACUUCCCUUGCGGUUCUUGUUUUGUCAAAUAAUGGAUUAAGUGGAGCACUUCCAAAUUGUUUCGGGAAACUUGCUGAUAGAUUGCUUUCCAUUAAUCUUGCUAAUAAUCAGUUUCGAGGAACAAUACCAACUACUUUCUCCAGGAGUUGUCAGGUGAAAUAUCUAAACAUGGAUAAUAAUGAGUUUGAAAGAUUCUUGCCCCCGUCUUUGGCGAACUGUAAGCACUUGAAAAUUCUUGAUAUUGGCAAUAAUAAAAUAGGUGGUACAUUUCCGUCAUGGCUUUAUGUACUUGGAGAGAUAGAAGUCCUUGUCUUGCGAUCAAAUAAACUCUAUGGUACAAUAAGUGGAAGGAGCGUAAAAGAUCCCUUCCCCAAGUUGCGGAUUGUGGAUCUGUCCAACAAUCAAUUCACUGGUCAUUUGCCAAUUCAAUACUUUAAGAAUAUGAAAUCAACUGAUAAUUUGUAUCGUUAUCAGAAUUCCAAAGGAUAUCUAUCUUUCCAUCAUGAUGCAGCAGUCUCCUUAACUGUGAAGGGAACGGAGUAUGAGGUAGCAAAGAACCUUCAUAUUUACACAGCCAUUGAUCUGUCGUGCAACAAAUUUCAGGGACAAAUUCCAAACGUCACUGGAGAGCUUAGAUGGCUUGCAUUGCUCAAUUUAUCGCAUAAUAGUCUAACAGGACCUAUCCCAUCAUUGCUGAGAAAUAUGAAAGAACUCCAAUCUUUAGAUUUGUCUUCAAAUCAACUGACAGGGGCUAUUCCACCUCAGCUAACUGCAUUGACAUUUCUAGAGGUCUUGAACCUCUCGAAAAACCAUCUUAGUGGAGAGAUUCCUCAGAAAGGACAGUUCAGCACAUUUAACAAUGAUUCUUAUCUAGGAAACUCCGCGUUAUGUGGAUCACCUUUGACGAAGAAAUGUGCAAACACAGCAUCACCUCCACAAGAAGUUGUAAAUGGUGAUGAAGAUGAUGCUGGUGAUGAAAUGACAUGGGAAGCAAUCGUGAUGGGAUAUGGAUGUGGACUGAUAUGUGGAUUGUCAUCUGCGUACAUUGUUCUCAAACUAGGAAAGCCUUGGUGGUUUGUGAGAUAUAUCGAAGUACUGCAACUGAAGUUGAUGAAAAGAUAUGCAUGAAGAAUGGUACUGGCCGAUCAAGACGAACUUGAAAGUUGUUGUCCUUGUGGACAUUUCUGAACCAGUAGUGUACUAGCUACAUAAGUAUUUAGUAUUAUGUAAUAAUCCGUUUGGUCGGGACUCAUAAUGAUUUCUCUUGCUUCAGGGGUAUUAAUAUUAAACUUGCUAUCUUGAUGAAUGUUAAUGUAAAUUAAAAAGAAUAUAAAAUCAAAAAAUUUAAAUCAAACACCUGUUGUACCAAGAUCCAUUAAUUUGCUUUAGUCUCUUACAUAACAAUUUAAUAGCACACUUCCACACUGUUCACACGUGUAAUGUAUAAAAAUUCCAGUCUUCUUCGGAGGCCUACAGCUUCAACAACCUCUCAAAGAUGUAGCAGUUGCUUGACAGUGAUAGAUAUAUAUUAGAUAAACACUAUGCAAUAACCAAAGUGACAGAAAAAUCAAAGUCCGCUAAUAAAUUCAUAAAAAAUAUAAUAAUCAACAACAAGAAUCAUAGUCUUACAAGUUCAUAUAAAAUAUAGGAUCAUUAGUAUUCCACAUGUAUAUUUUCUUCUCUUUCUUUUCGAGUUUUCCUCUCCAGCACCAAAUCCAAAUUAAUAUACAAUGCCACACAUUCCAGUCUCAGCUUCAGCUCCCAGGCUAGCAUUGAUUUAGCCAAGCACGACAGUGGCCGCUCUUGGUCCUGCCUUCAAAUGUCUAACAAUAACAGUUGGAUACGUCGACAAAAAUAUUGUUCCUCAUCAUACUGAGGAGUUAUUGAAUUCGACAGUUUUACACAAAGAAGACAAUUCCAUGGACUAAUCUAUUAGUAACACGUAAGCUAUAAACACGUAGUCCACAUCUAUGCUACGAACAAUUCAUAUUGGUCUUCUAUCUGUGCAACAGUCUCCCGAAGAUAGGCCAAAAAUGUCAUCUGUGGUUCUUAUCUUUGUUAGCAAAGGAGAAUCUCCGAUGCCUAUACAACCUGAUUUUCUUACAGAAAGAAAUGCAAGUGAAACUAGGGUCGGAUACCAUGUUAAAUGAUCAAUUCUCCUAAAACUAGGUUCAGGAUGAUCAUGAUAUAUUCUAACAUCAAGAUUAGCAGGACUAAAAUGAAGAUUUAAAUGGAUUUUAAAAACAAGCUCCUACUGAAUAAAAAGAAUCAUUAAUUUUUCUGACUCAACAUAUGUUAGCCUCCCCUGGCCCUGGGUGAAACCAUAAGCUUCUCUGGUGCACAUCCAAAUCAUUCAGCUGGUUCUACUUUCAGCUCAGCACAGGAACAUCAUUCUGCAGGUACUCUUGUAUCUGUAGUUUCUUAUUAAUUUAUUAACAAAAUUUAGCUAUUAAAUAUUUUGAUAAAAUAUCUAUUUAUUAAAAUAUUUUUUUAUUUAAUUGGUCUGAUAAAAAUAUUAUUGAUAUAUAAAUUUUACCUUUUUUCUGAAACAAAUUAUAAUUUUUGCUUCAAGCUUUUGUAUGAUAAGUUGAGAAAUAUUAGUUUUCUUUAUCACCGUGAGAGUAGAUCCUCGUUCCACAAAAAUUUGUAACUGAAAAAUAAAAUAGAGCCCUAAAACUUUUCGAUAAAUAUGGACUAAACAAUUUUGAUGCUCAAGUCUCAAUAGGAUUUAUAAACGGUCAUGAUGAGUUUGAUUAUCAAUGACACCAAAAAAAUAUUAGAAUUAUAUUUAAGUUAUAAAUUUGUCAAUAAAUUGUGUGAUAAUCAUACUUUCCAAGUCUUCUUCAGAGGCCUCCUGCCUCAACAACCUUUCAAAGAUGUAGUAGUUGUUGCUCGAGAGGGACAAAUAUAUUAGGUAAAGACUAUGCAAUAAUCAACGUGACAGAAAAACCAAAGUCCUCUAAUAAAUUAAUAAAAAAUAUUAUAAUCAAUAUCAAGAAUCAUAUUAUCAUAGUCUUCUAAGUUCAUAUAAAAUAUAGAAUCAUUAGUAUAUAAAUAGAAGAGUGCAGAGUAAAGCCUUUCAUAAUCCAGUUGAGGAGAAAUAUGGCAUACUUUGUAAAGCCUUAUCACCUUCUUCUCUUUGUUUUCUUUCUCUCAUCACUUGAAUCCAUUCUUGCAACAACACGAGAAGGAGAAGCUCUUGUGAAAUGGAAGAAUAGCCUAGCCCCUUCUUCUUUUCUUGAUUCUUGGUCACUCACUCAUCUCGAUAAUCUUUGUAACUGGACUGGCAUUACUUGUAACUCUGCAGGUUCAGUCUCUGACAUUAACCUUUUCAACAAACAACUCACUGGAAAGCUUUUUGAGUUUGGUUUCACUUCAUUUCCAAAUCUCAACAAUCUCACCCUUGCAGAUAACUUCUUCUCUGGUCCAAUACCAUCAGCCAUUGGGAAUUUAACACAACUUCGGUAUCUUGAUUUGAGCAAUAAUUAUCUCAAUGGUUCCAUUCCGUACCAGGUUAGCCAUCUUUCAAGAUUACACAUCUUAAACCUGUCAGAGAAUGAACUGCAAGCUCCAAAUUGGUCCGAUUUCUCCCCCAUGCCUUGUUUGACCAUCCUCGACCUUUAUCAAAAUAAUCUUAUGUCGGAAUUUCCAGAAUUUAUAUCUAACUCGCGUAACCUGACAUACCUUGACCUUUCAUAUAACAAGUUCACAGGCGAUCUUGUGCGCGAAUCAGUAUUAACCAAUCUAGGUGAUCUUGAAACCCUCUAUCUUAAUGAAAAUUCUUUUAGGGGGCCAUUUCCACCAGACAUAUUCAAACUUUCCAAGUUGAGAGUUCUUGCCCUGUUCAAUAAUUUUUUUGAGGGGCCGCUUCCGUCAAAUAUAUUCAAGCUCUCUAAACUAAGAUUCCUUUUACUUUGGAGUAAUAAUUUUUCAGGUACUCUUUCGAAUGAAAUAGGUUUGCUUUCUGAGCUUGAAGACCUAGAUCUUCACUCCAAUUUUUUUGUGGGGCCGCUUCCGCCAAAUAUAUUCAAGCUGUCUAAACUAAGAACCCUUUUCCUCUGGGGUAAUAACUUCUCAGGUUCUAUUUCCAACGACAUAGGUUUGCUUUCUGAGCUUGAACACCUAUAUCUCGACUCCAAUUCUUUUGAGGGACCUUUUCCAACAAAUAUUUUCAAGCUUUCCAAAUUAAUACAACUUGGUCUCGCAAACAAUACAAAUUUAUUUGAAGGAAGUAUUCCUCCAGGACUGGGGCUCUUGACUAACCUAGAGGACUUGUCUCUUGCUUACAAUAAUCUUGGUGGCUAUAUUCCGUCUUCCUUUGGAAACCUAACACUACUAGUAUAUCUUAAUCUCGCUCGUAAUCAAUUGGUUGGAACACUAUCAAAGACCAUUUCUAAUCUCACAAAUCUGUGGUUUCUUGAUGUACAUCAUAAUAGUCUCUCUGGGAAUAUUCAGAGUGACUUCUGGAAAAACUCUACAUCACUGCUUUACAUUAAUUUGGCAGACAAUAAUUUUUCUGGGAACAUUCCUAAGGAAUAUAAUGUUCUUCCAAUCCUGGAUCACAUCAAUUUUAGGGGGAACAACUUUACAGGUAUUUUUAAUUCCAUAUUUUUUCCUUCUGUUGUAUUUAAUUAUGCUAACAACUACUGCCUCUGUUUUCAAAUACAUAUCGUUUGACUUUUUGGCACAAAACUCUAUAAUAAUUCUAACUAUAAGGUCAAUGAACUUAGAAAUAUAUGUCAAAAAGUCAAACGUCAUAUAUUUGAAAUUAGAGGGAGUAUGGCUUAAUGACCUUUUAGCCCUUAAAGUUUGGGUAGAAGUUCCGAUGCGGCGUCGAAGUUUAAAAACGUACCUUUCGACCCUCAAAGUAUCUUUGUCGUACCUUUUAACCCUUAUGGCGUAUACCGGUAUAUAACGGGUGGGCAAAGUUGACAUUUCACACGUGAGGGUUAAAUGGGGCAUUAAACAUUAAGGGUUAAAAGGAACAUUUAAUAUAUUUUAAUGUAUUAUUUAGGGAUUAAAAGGAACGAGAUGUAUACUUUAAGGGUUAAAAGGUACGCCCAAACUUCACCCCGAAUAUGAAUUGUCAAGUUUAUCCCCCGAUUUGUAUCGGUAUUUUUAAAAAGGGCUAAAAAGUACGACAAAGAUACUUUGAGGGUCGAAAUGUACGUUUUUAAACUUUGAGGCCGCAUCGGAACUUCCACCCAUUCUUCGAGGGCUAAAAGGUCAUUAAGCCGAGUAUAUAUUACAGUUUUACCAAAGUUUCAACAAUCAUGACAGGUGAGCUUCCACCAACAAUUUGCGAUGCAACUUCCCUUUCGAUUCUUGAUCUGUCAAAUAAUGGAUUAAGUGGUGCACUUCCACAUUGUUUGGGGAAUCUUGCUGAUAAAUUGAUUUCGAUUAAUCUUGCUAAUAAUCAGUUUCGAGGACCAAUACCAACAAAUUUCUCCAAGAGUUGUCGUCUGACGUAUCUUAACAUCUAUAACAAUCACUUUAAAGGAUUGGUUCCCCAGUCUUUGGCAAACUGUAAGCACUUGCAAAUUCUUGAUUUUGGAAAAAAUGAAAUAGGUGGAACAUUUCCGUCAUGGCUUUUUACUCUUGGAGAGCUAGAAGUCCUGGUCCUGCGAUCAAACAGAUUUUUCGGGAGAAUAACUAGAAGGAGCAUACCACACCCCUUUCCCAAGUUGCGGAUUUUGGAUCUAUCCAACAAUCAGUUCACCGGCUAUCUGCCAAUUUCAUACUUCAAGAAUAUGAAACCAAAUGAUAAUAAUUAUGAUUAUUUCAACAACACAAACGAAGCCUAUUACGUUUAUCAAGUUUCUAUCACAUUAAAUGUGAAAGGAAGCGAGCAUGAAGUGACAAAUAUUCUUUAUAUUUACACGGCCAUUGAUCUGUCGUGCAACAAAUUUGAAGGAAAAGUUCCAGACAUUACCGGAGAGCUUAGAUGGCUUGCAUUGCUAAAUUUAUCUCAUAAUAGUCUUUCGGGGCCUAUUCCAUCACAACUGGGAAAUAUGAAAGAGCUCCAGUCUCUAGAUUUGUCGUCAAAUCAAUUGACAGGUGUUAUUCCGGAUCAACUUACUAGUAUGACAUUUCUUGCUAGUUUGAACCUGUCAGAAAACCAUCUUUCUGGGAAAAUCCCUCGGAAAGGACAGUUCAGCACUUUUGGCGAAGAAUCUUACUUAGGUAACUCGGCCUUGUGUGGAGUUCCUUUGACAAAGAAAUGUAUAGACGAAGUGCCCCCUUCACAAGUUGGAAAUGGCGAUGAUGAAAAUGUUGAUGAAGAUGAUACCGUUGAUGAAUUCAAUUGGAAAGUGAUCCUGAUGGGAUAUGCAUGUGGAUCAAUAGGCGGAUUGUCUGCAGGAUACAUUGUCUUCACAGUUGGAAAGCCUUGGUGGUUUUUGAGGUACAUUGAGACACUGCAGCAGAAGUUGAUGUGAUGCGCAACUAGAAACAACCUUAUCUUAGAAUGAAUCUGAUCAAUGUUAGCAUAUACUGAACUUUUUUUUUUGUAAAUAUGAUUUCAAGUUCUCAUACUAAUACAAGAACCACUUGUUAAAUCUUGACCAUGCUAAGAGGAUGCUGAAUGCUGAUUUAACACUUUGCGAUGCAAAGCAGGGGCGCAUUAGUAUUUUAUAUGUGUUGAUAAUUUGCGCAAUGUUAACAGGGAUAGGUCUUCUUCUCUGCCAGAUCUUCGACAGACUCUUUCAAGGUCUUCUGAGGACCCAUCGGCUCGAAUUAGUCCAUCGUGAAUUAUGAUCUGAGAGCUAUCUGCACACUAUUUCCAGGUCUUCUGUCUCGUUAACUAUGAAAGGAAGAAAUCAUGAAGUGAAUAAAAUUCUUCAUAUUUACACAAUUGAUCUAUCAUGCAACAAAUUUUGAGGAGAAAUUUCAGAGGUUUCCGAAGAGCUUAAAUGGCUUGCAUUGCUCAAUCUAUCUCAUAAUGAUCUUACUAGACAUCUCCCCGUUGCUCGCCAUUAGAAAACAGGGAUUAUUCACUCGUCCGCCGCACCGCGAACUCAUUCUUAGGUGCUCGGAGGUUUUUGAGGAUUCUUGUUGAUUAUUAAUUUUGUGAUUUUGUUGAAUACUCUAUCACUUAAUAAUGUAAUAAUUGUGUUAUUAAAUAAUUAUAUUUUAAAUUGUUAAGGAUAUUGAACUAUUUGUUUGAUUAUUUGGUUUAAAUAUAAAUGUAACUCUUGAAAUACAUUUAUUAUAUAUAUAUUUAACAUGUUAAUAUUUACUGAAUCCCUCGCAUCCGAAUCCCGAUAUUUUUAAAUUUACGGAUUCUCGUAUUCAUGUACCGUGCACUACCAUACCUUCAACCACACUCAUACUUUCUAGCUGCUCGGAAAUAUGAAUCAAUCUUUAGAUUUGUCUUCAAAUCGAUUGACGGAGGCUAUUCCACACCAGUUAGGCAGUUAACUAGAUUGACAUUUCUAGAGGUCUUGAACUUCUCAGAGAAUAAUCUUACCGGGAAAAUACCGCAAAAAGGAAAAAUCAGCACUUUCGAGAAUAUAUGAGUCAGUGUGGUUCACCUGUCUAGACCAAAAAUGUCAUCUGAGAUUCUUAUGUUUUUUAGCUAUAUAUGAGUGGAAGAAAAUUGUCGAGUCGAGGUUAAUCGAAUAAGGCGAGCCGGCUCAUUUUAAUUUAAUUGAGACAAAACUUCUACGGAGUUCGACUCCUUUAAUUAAACGGCUAUGAAAUCUCAUUAAAGUCAGCCUUGUAUAUAAACUCAAGCCAGGUCGAGUUUUAUUGAACAAAUUUCAGCUCAAACCAGUCGCGAGCAGCCCAGCUCAAGUUCGAGGCCUGCUCAUCUGUCUUCGAGUCUUGGACGAGAUUUGAAUCAUCAACUCCUUCCAAAAAGAGUAUUACACUGACAAAAAUGCAGUAACAUGUUUAAUUUAAAAGUAUAUCAUCUGUUCCCGCAGUUUAAUUUUACCCAUAUUUUUGAGAUUCAUAUAAAUUAUAAUUCCAUAAUAUUUUUUCAAUCAUAUUGGUUUUGAAUAAAAAUAUAAAUAUCAAACUUUUAUUUUUAAAAAAAUUAUAAAAUUAUAUUUUAUAAGAGUCUCAAAUACGUGGGAAAGUGGGAGUAUUAAUUUCGCCCACUAAGUCACUGACAGGUUUGUUAAUUUGUUUCCAUUUGAAGGUGUACACUGCAUAUUUUCACCAGGGAUGGCAACAAGUCGAAUCAGUUCAGAUAUAUCAGAUAUCUCAAUCCAAAUCCAAAUUAUUUUUAAAAUCCAAAUCCAAUCGAGUUUCACAUAUCAAAUUCAAAUCCAAAUUCACGGGUUUCAGAUCGGGUUCAGGUUUGUUUGGGUUUAUCCAAAACCCGAAUCCAGAAAUGUAAGUAGUAUUGUAAAAAUAUUAUUUUUUAUUUUUUCACCCUUGAAUUUCAUUAUAUUUAAAACUAAACUACACACAUUCACACUUUAUCUAUCCAUAUUAUAAACACAAUUUAGUAUAUUUAAAAUUGAAAAAAAGUAUAUUAGUAUACUACAUACAUAUAUUUGGAUAUUUGGAAAUUUUUUCGGGUUUUGUGUUUGGAUCGAAUUUAGAUUUCGGGUCCGGUUUUGAUACGGAAUACUUAAUAUCUAAAUCCAAAUUCAAACUGGUUCGGGUCUAAAAAUUAAAUUCAAAUCCAAAUCCAAAAUAUCAUGUUCGUUAAAAUUCAUUCGGGUCGAGGUUGAGUAUCCAUUCGGAUCAGAUUUUUCUCUAACCAAUAAAUUUUGUAAAUGGUCUGCACAAACGCAGUUACCGGCCCAUUUCCGUAUGAAGCCCAUGAACAAUUAUUUGUUCUGUAUAUUUUUCAAUCAAACCAAACCCAAACGCUAACAGCAGAAUUAAUUAAAUUCCUUUCACAUGUGAUUUUGUAAUGGGCCUACAUUACAAAAAUACUGUAGGACUAUCCCACUAUCCCUGACCCUACAUGUUUUCUCAAUAAUUUUGAUAAAUAUAUUAAACAGAUAUUGAACUGUUACAAAAAUAUAACGUCUGUUUUUCAAAUAAGUAACGUACGGUUUCCGAGAGAUAAAGUUUGACUUAUAUUGACAAGAUAACGCUUGAAUUUAAUAUCUUUUUAAAAAAAACUAAUAUAAAAUCUAAAUUAAAUCUUCUUCUUAAAUGAGAAUCCAGAAAAAUCUCAAAAAUUCACAACUACAUCAAUAAAAUAUAAUAUCCAACAUUAAAUAAAAAUCUUUCAAUAUCCAUUUUUUGUGUAAUUUUCAACCAAUCUGCUCUAAUUAUUUCGUCACCUUUUAAAAUUUAAAAUUUUUAAAUACUCAAAACAAUUACCCUAACCGCCAACCACCUUAGAAUUAUAAAAUCUUAAAAUUAAAUGCUAAUAAGAUUAUCAGUGUUACUCACCUAAACCAAAACGGUUACAAAAUCUAACGGCAAUAUUAUAAACUUUUAAAAAUUAAAUUUUUAAUUAAUUUGGCAAGUGGUAUUCAUAUAGAACAAAACAGUUACAAAAUCAAACUGCAAAUUAUAAAAUCUUGAAAUUAUAUUUAAUACUGUAAGAUUUAGCAUGUGGGUCCCACACAAUCAGAAAAUAAUAUGAACACGAAAUCUUGCUCUAUUAAAUACACACACCUGUACAUACAUAUAUAAACACCCACCGCCUCUUCAACUUUCCAACAUCAAAACCCUCGUAAUUCAAUUGGGUUUCUGCUGUUAUUCUCCCCUCUCUCCUCUCUCUCGCCGAGAUUUUUAUAUGCAUACAUGCGUGGGUAUAUGUAUAUGUACACCCCCUUGGCAAAAACACAGACUAAACACUAAAAGAACCCACAGAAUCAUACCCAUGUUAUGGAUAUUAUCUGGGGUUUGUUGAAAUUGUUGUAGAAGGCCUAAAGAUUUGAUUUUGGAGUAGCCCAUUUGGUUCUUGAUUGAAUUUGGUUGUGUUUUGAGUGUGAAAAGGCAAGAUUUUAUGAUUCUUGAUGGAUGAAAGUGCUAUGUUUGGCUUGAAUGGAGAUAAUGANACAAAAUCUUGAAACGCUGUUUCUUGAUGGUAAUUCUUUUGAGGGGACGUUUCCACCGAAUAUAUUCAGGCUUUCUAAAUUAAAACACCUUUCCCUAUCUGCUAAUAAGUUUUCAGGUUCUGUGCCGGAUGACAAGUUGGUGUCGAAAGUGAGAAUGUUGCGGUAGGGGGUGAUUCGGAUGAGCUUGUUGUUGUUGGGGAGACAGGGCAGGUAUAAUGCUGCAUUUGUUGUUUUUGUCGAUAUUAUGUGUUGCUUUUGUGUUUUUUGUUAUGUUUUCAUAUGUUUAGUCCGUUAUUUUUUGGAGAAUUAAGUAGUCUGAUGAAUGUUGAUUAAUCCAAUAUAUAAGCUGGGCGUUUUUGUUUAAUGUGCUUAUUAUGAUUAUAUUAUUUUGUUUGAUAAUUGAAUUGUGUUUAGAUUGUUAAUCCAAAGCCAAGGUCAAAAGACGUAAGGUAACAUUGAUGUUAAUUGAUAAAACUAACCUCAGAAAGUAGAUUGUUUGAGGCAAUAGAGAGUGUGAGCCUCUAUCAUGACAAUUUAAGAAGUUUAUAGUUGAGUCGUUGACUGCAUUACUAUCAAAUGCAUAGGGGUAUGGAAAUGAAAACGGUUAAUAACAUAUGGGCAUUUAACCUAAUAAUUUGACAACUCGACACUCGGACUUGUAUAUGUAAGUUGUAGUAGAUGCAUACGGUGUUUUAGUAGUUUAUUUGUGUACAAAUUAUUUCAUUGGGUAUUAUUUGAAGUGAAUAGUAUAUUGGAUUCAUGCAUGUUCAGACUUUAAUAUCAACAUCUUUCAGAUUUUUCUGGAUAAUGGUUAAUAAAUUCUUUGUUUAAUAAUGACCGCUUCACUUAAUGUCAUUUCUCUUCUUUCUUUUUUUAAUUAUCGGAGUGGAUAUUUAUUUAAUUUUUUCUGAUUUAUGUUGCAACUUCCAAUAUAAUUUGUUUGGGUGCUAUACUUUGAUGGAUUAUAGGUCGCAUGUCGAGACUAUCCUCACCCACGAGAUCUUUGUGCUAAACUUCCCUUUACAUCUACUCCUCAUGAANUGCUAAACCAGGUAAUAAUAUUUUUUCUCAGAAUUAAUUAUUACACCUCUUUUCAGUGCCGAACGUUCUGCGUAUCUUAUUUGACCAUUGUCUGUUGCAGUGUCACUGUUAUGUUUGUGAUGCACCGGCUCCAUGUCUCAAAUGGGGAACUGGCAUAUCUGUCAGUGACCAUUGUCAUGCCACUGGGAAGGUGGAAUUCUGGAAUCAACAAAGCCUAAAUUUUUUGAAAAGGCUUUAAAAAAUUUGGAAUUUUUUAAAAAAAUGAAAAAUGUAAAAAUUAAAAAAAUCUAAAAAUAUCUGGAAAUUCAAAAAAUAUACCUAAAUUUUUGAAAUUAAAAAAUUUUAGAAUUUUUCCAAAUUUUCAGAUUUUUUCAAAGUUUUAAAUUUAUUUUCAAAAUUUUUAGAUUUUUUCGAUGUUUUUUCAUAUUUUUUAAAGUAUUUUAAAAAAAUUCAACUUUAUUAAAAAAUCGAUAUUUAUAUUUUUCUCAAAGUUUUUUUUAUUUUUUUUAAAGGAUUCUGUUAAAGGCAGCUGAUAUUUAACGUCGCAGUGACCUAUUUGCAAACUUUUAUUAGUUCAGUGAGUUGACUGCAACUUAAAUCGAGUUCUGUGAUCCGUUUGCAAACUUUUUAAGUUCAGUGACUUAACUGCAAGUUGGCCAUGAGUUCAAUGAUCUUUUCGCCUAUUAACCCGGACUAAAUCUACUAAAAUGAUAAUUAUGGACUCACAAUGUAUAUUUUUAAUUUAUAUGUUUAGUUAAAAAUUGGUUAAUUUGACUUUCGAAAAUCAAAAUGAACAUGUAAAAGGAGAUCGUGGUAAUAAGCCCCUCAACGUGUGUAAAUGUUAAGUAAAAGGGAUAUGUUUAUUUUUAUUUUAAAAAAGAAUUAAAAAUAUUAUUUUACAAAUUAAAUUAUAAAAUACUCUCUAUAUUCCAAAUUAGUGAGUUCGUUAAUUUUAGGCACACUAAUUUAGAUGAUUUAACUGCAUAGCUAUAUAAUUUAUUUUUAAUAUUUUUAAAAAACAAUUAAAAAUAAUUUCACGAAUAACAGAUGAUCAUUAUCUUUUAAAUCACAUGCUGAAAAUCGGAUGUUGCCCUUAUCAUUAUCACAUUUUUAAGUAGUAAUGUCUCGAAAAUUAAAUAUUAGAUCCAAUAUGAUUUCAAAUAUCACUUUAUAAUAUUCUUUUUUGUCAUAAUAUCACUUAAUAAUGUUAAAUGAGUGACGUUUAUAUUUUUUUUAAAGUGUUACACAAUGAGAAACUCUAAAAAAUAUAACGGUAGAUAAUGUAGUAUCAUAUCAAAACAUUACUUUAUCUAACCAGAACAUAAUAUUCCAAGGACAAUUUAACUUUUUUUAUAAUAUUCAGAACCUUCUUUUUUUUUUUUGAAUAAAAGACAAAUUUCAUUAAUACGAAAUGUCAUACAGAAAAAUCUCCAACAAUACAUCUCGAGGAGACAUAAACACUUUUUGACAAUUUAAAGAACAGGAUAAUUUAGCUACUAGAUGAGCUACUCCAUUCGCUUGUCGUUUAACAAAUGAAACUGAAUAACAUGGCUUCGAAUUUAAAAUAAGCUUGCAGGCAUUCAAGAUGUGACCAACUUCUAAAAGAUUUUCCUGAGAGUCAUGCAAGGCUUUAAUGGCCAGGAGAGAGUCUGAUUCAAUUUCCACCACCUCAUGAUUUAAUGAGCACAACCACGGGAGACCUUCAAAAGAGAAAAGGCCCCCAGUAACCUUUUUUUAGUGUCAAAUGCCCUAGUUGUCAUUAUAAUAAAAAAUGGCCCUCAUUAUCACUCUAUAACACUACUUAAACUCACGUUCUGUUUUUCCAUCAUAAACGGCACACGCAACAGUGUUUCCAGGUUUAAUACUUUUUAAAAAAAGUCUAACGUAACAUGAAGUUACGUUCACUGAUCUGAGUUUUUUUUUCAUAUUACUCACAUCUUGCUUAUUUCCAUAUAGAAAGAAAUUCACUCACUAGUCAACGUUAUAACAAAUUAUAAUAAUAUUUAACCAGUGCACCCCAAAGGGUAGCGGCUGCGGUUUCCUACGUUAAAAAGAAUAUUUAAGCGUUCAUACAUGGGGUUUAGAAAAAUUUGUUUAUAAUUGUAAAUUAAUUUUCUGAACGUUAGGGUUUAGGAUUGAGGGUGUAGGGCCGGUAGGCCCUACUCCCUCGAGCCUAAAACCUAAUUAAUGCGAGGCUGAAGGGCCGAAGGCCCUGAAGCCGAGAAAUCGGCAGAAUAAAUAAAUUUACAAUCGUUAACAUUUAGGGUUUAGAUUUGGGUUGCAGAAUGAUUAAUUCAUACUGUAAAUUAAUUGGCCGAACGUUAGGGUUUAGGAUUGAGGGUGUAGGGCCGGUAGGCCCUACUCCCUCGAGCCUAAACCCUAAUUAAUGCGAGGCUGAAGGGCCGAAGGCGAGAAACCGGCGGAAUAAAAAAAUUUACAAUCGUUAACAUUUAGGGUUUAGGUUUGGGUUGCCAUAAUGAUUAAUUCGUACUGUAAAUUAAUUGGCUAAACGCUAGGUUUUAGGAUUGAGGGUGUAGGGCCGGUAGACCCUCCUCCCUCGAGCCUAAACCCUAAUUAAUGCGAGGCUGAAGGGCCGAAGGCGAGAAACCGGCGGAAUAAAUAAAUUUACAAUCGUUAACAUUUAGGUUUAGGUUUGGGUUGCCAUAAUGAUUAAUUCGUACUGUAAAUUAAUUGGCCAAACGCUAGGUUUUAGGAUUGAGGGUGUAGGGCCGGUAGACCCUACUCCCUCGAGCCUAAACCAUAAUUAAUGCGAGGCUGAAGGACCUUCAAGCCCUAAACGCUCGAGCCUAAACCCUAAUUAACUCGAGGCUCUAGGGCCGUGAGACCCUAAAGCCGAGGAACCGGAAUUAAAAUAUAAAACAAAAUUUUAAAUGGCGUUUAAAGUGGCGACAGAAUUGUAAGUUGGGUGUUAAGCUAGCAAACGACAUUAAGUUACGUUUUAGAUUUUUAGGUUAUUAAAAAAUAAAAAAAAAAAUCAAGAACGUCACAUGAAGGCACGUUUUACUUCUGAUAUCAAGAACGUCACAUGAAGGCACGUUUUACUUCUGAUAAACACACCAGCACGUGACUAAAGUCUCGUUUUCAUAUAUAACAGCAAUUGAAGUGACGUUUUGCUUUUUUUAGUUUAAAAUAAUAACCCCAUAACGUGACCAGGAGUCACGUUUUAGUAUAAAUCCUAAACGCUGCUUCAGAACAUGUUUUGGAGUGACACCCGGGGCCAUUUUACGGGAUUGUGACUUUAAGGUCCAUAUUGUUACUGAUGGUGACUCACAGGGCCAACACCCCCUUCAAAAAUAGCGCUUGCUUCGGCUUCAAGGACAGUAGCCACCAUGGCUUUACAUAUUGUUUUACCCAUCACAAAAACUCCCUCGCUGUCACGCAGAACCAAACCCAACGAGACCGAGGCCUCACCGAAACGCACACCUGCAUCAACAUUUAGUUUGAGAACUCCAUCCGUCAGCUUUUUCCACUUCACUCGAGAAGAAGAUGCGGAACUAGAAGUACUACCAACCUGAACAACACGCUUAGCUUUAGCCUCCUUCCAGUCAGAAAUAAUCUUAGCGCUCCAAUCCAUAGCUAUAGCAGCUGUAACAACCUUGUGAUCCCAAACCUUCUUGUUUCGAAAAAACCAAAUUCCCCAAAGAACUCGAGCAAUAUUAAAAGUUUCAUGAUCAGGACCUGAUUCAAACCUAGCAAGUAACCAAGAGGGGGCAAACUCCACCAGAGACAAAUCAAAGACCAUACCUGAGUAUUGCCAACAUAACAUUGCAAACUGGCAGGUGAAAAAUAUGUGAAUAAGGUCUUCGUCACCAGAGUUACACAUGGGACAGUCAAGAGAAAGAUUUACUCCCUUAGAUUGUAAUCGACUUUUCACAGGCACAUUAUUCCUGCAAAAACGCCAUAAAAACACUUUGAUCUUAAGAGGAACCUCCAACUGCCAGAGUUUCUUCCACCCACUAGAUUGUGUAACAGUGCCAGUGCCAAUAUUUUGGGCAUGUCAAAACUGGUAACCUGUUUUCACAGAAUUUUGGCUGUUAGUAGUCUUUGACCAAGCUAGACGAUCCACGGUCGACCUACAGGGAACAUAAGUUUUUAAAAAUUAUGUAAUUCAUUCAAUUCCGUAUCAGACAAUACAUCUUAUCAUCGGUGAUAAUGAAAAUAGUGUAGAUGUUUGACCUAGUCCCUGUUUGACAACCAAUAUAAUAAGAAAUAAAUUCUUAUUUUUCUAAAAAAUAUAUUUUUGUAUAUAAAUGUUAAAGAGAUAUUUCUUAUUUGUUGUUUGAAAAAAGUAAAGACUUAUUUCAGAAUAAAAAAAAAUUAUUGUACAUUCUCUUUAUUUCUGAAAAUAAGUUUGGUCAAAUCAUCCAUAAUUCACGUAAUUCAAAAGCCCAUUAAUUUUUUUUUUCUUGCUAAUUGAUCAGCACACGCACACGUUUCCAACUUCCCGCAAAGGGUACAGGAGUACCACCGGAGUACCAUCACACCGACGCUUUGUUGGGCCCAAUAAUUGGCUGAAGUUGAACGGGGCUUUCUGCCUCCGCUGGACCCCAGUUGGGAGGACUCUUUCCAAGUCUUUCGGAGCCUCUUUCCCAUUGACUCCAACUUUCCAGGGUGUAUACAAAUUUUUUGAAAGAGGGUGUAUACAAAUUAUUCACGGCCAUCAAAUCAACCAGCGUAGCUGGUGAACAAAUAUUAUUGUUUAUUAUAAUUUUAUUUAAUUUAAAUGUGAUUAUAAGAACAUAAGAGGACGUUUGAAAGUGUGGGUCUUAUUUCAAACAGUAGAUUUAAAAAAAUAUGAUUUCAAUUGUUAUUUAAAAUUCUUAAAUUUAUAUUAUAUUAAAAUGUUCUUAUUCUAAUUAAUGAGUCACUAUUCGUAUUCUCAAGCAUGUUAGUUUGUUAAAAUUUAAAAUUUCAAAUGAAAUUAGGCUAAAAGACCAUAAUAUCAAAGCAAAAUCUCAUUAUCCAAUAUAUUGGUGGGCAAAAAUAUUAAACCUGGCUAUUCAUUAAUAUUGGUUCUUUAUUCAAAUUAUGUCAAAUUUAUAUAAAAUUUCGAAAAUUAUUUAUGAAUAAGAGUCGGCAUUCAUAUAUUUAUUAAGGAUACAAGUGAGAAAAUGUUAUUAAAUUAAUAUUUUUUUAAUAUACGUAAGUUUUUUAAAAUAAAUUUGUAGCGUGGGACGGGAGUAUUAGACUGAUUCUGGCUUGGAGUGAAUCAGCCCAUAAAGUUUACAGGGUAGAUGACCAUUCUUAAAUCUUAAAGAAUCUUACGGUGACAGCUAACUGAACGACUCGGUUUCAGAAGUGCUGAAAAGUUUCGACGUAAACUACAAUUUGCCUAGCAUGUAAUUUCCAUGCAUUUUCUCGUUACUAGUGACAGAUAACUUUUUUGAUAUUUAUAUAUUUUUAAUUAUAAUAAAGAUACUAGUGAUUAUGGUUAGCUUUUGGAGUACUUUCGGAGUACUUGGAAAUUUUCUUUUCGAGAAAGACGAGAGUACCUAUUUCAAUUUUUUACCAAAAAUUAUAAUUGAAAACAACGGACUUUUAUACUUAUCAUAACAAUUUUUAACAUCUUGUUUAGAAAUAACCUGUUGUUGUAUUAUGCAAAAGUAAUAUCACUAGUUUCUAUAUUCGUAUUCUAAUGAUAAUAAAAACAUCUCUAAUUCAUUAAAACUCUUACAUAGAAAAUGAUAAAAAAAAAAAAGAAGAUAUAAAAUAAUUUAUUAAAAAUAUAUCAAAGNGAAGAUAUAAAAUAAUUUAUUAAAAAUAUAUCAAAGUUUUUGCACUCGGUUAUAAUUAUUGUGUAAUUUCUUUUUUCAAUUCCAAGAUAUUGUUAUAAGAAAAUUUUACAUCAUAUAUAUAUUACAAAAAAAAUUAAUGUAUUCUAUAUAUAUAUAUAUAUAUAUAUAUAUAUAUAUAUAUAUAUAUAUAUAUAUAUAUAUAUACAAUAAANNNNNNNNNNNNNNNNNNNNNNNNNNNNNNNNNNNNNNNNNNNNNNNNNNNNNNNNNNNNNNNNNNNNNNNNNNNNNNNNNNNNNNNNNNNNNNNNNNNNNNNNNNNNNNNNNNNNNNNNNNNNNNNNNNNNNNNNNNNNNNNNNNNNNNNNNNNNNNNNNNNNNNNNNNNNNNNNNNNNNNNNNNNNNNNNNNNNNNNNNNNNNNNNNNNNNNNNNNNNNNNNNNNNNNNNNNNNNNNNNNNNNNNNNNNNNNNNNNNNNNNNNNNNNNNNNNNNNNNNNNNNNNNNNNNNNNNNNNNNNNNNNNNNNNNNNNNNNNNNNNNNNNNNNNNNNNNNNNNNNNNNNNNNNNNNNNNNNNNNNNNNNNNNNNNNNNNNNNNNNNNNNNNNNNNNNNNNNNNNNNNNNNNNNNNNNNNNNNNNNNNNNNNNNNNNNNNNNNNNNNNNNNNNNNNNNNNNNNNNNNNNNNNNNNNNNNNNNNNNNNNNNNNNNNNNNNNNNNNNNNNNNNNNNNNNNNNNNNNNNNNNNNNNNNNNNNNNNNNNNNNNNNNNNNNNNNNNNNNNNNNNNNNNNNNNNNNNNNNNNNNNNNNNNNNNNNNNNNNNNNNNNNNNNNNNNNNNNNNNNNNNNNNNNNNNNNNNNNNNNNNNNNNNNNNNNNNNNNNNNNNNNNNNNNNNNNNNNNNNNNNNNNNNNNNNNNNNNNNNNNNNNNNNNNNNNNNNNNNNNNNNNNNNNNNNNNNNNNNNNNNNNNNNNNNNNNNNNNNNNNNNNNNNNNNNNNNNNNNNNNNNNNNNNNNNNNNNNNNNNNNNNNNNNNNNNNNNNNNNNNNNNNNNNNNNNNNNNNNNNNNNNNNNNNNNNNNNNNNNNNNNNNNNNNNNNNNNNNNNNNNNNNNNNNNNNNNNNNNNNNNNNNNNNNNNNNNNNNNNNNNNNNNNNNNNNNNNNNNNNNNNNNNNNNNNNNNNNNNNNNNNNNNNNNNNNNNNNNNNNNNNNNNNNNNNNNNNNNNNNNNNNNNNNNNNNNNNNNNNNNNNNNNNNNNNNNNNNNNNNNNNNNNNNNNNNNNNNNNNNNNNNNNNNNNNNNNNNNNNNNNNNNNNNNNNNNNNNNNNNNNNNNNNNNNNNNNNNNNNNNNNNNNNNNNNNNNNNNNNNNNNNNNNNNNNNNNNNNNNNNNNNNNNNNNNNNNNNNNNNNNNNNNNNNNNNNNNNNNNNNNNNNNNNNNNNNNNNNNNNNNNNNNNNNNNNNNNNNNNNNNNNNNNNNNNNNNNNNNNNNNNNNNNNNNNNNNNNNNNNNNNNNNNNNNNNNNNNNNNNNNNNNNNNNNNNNNNNNNNNNNNNNNNNNNNNNNNNNNNNNNNNNNNNNNNNNNNNNNNNNNNNNNNNNNNNNNNNNNNNNNNNNNNNNNNNNNNNNNNNNNNNNNNNNNNNNNNNNNNNNNNNNNNNNNNNNNNNNNNNNNNNNNNNNNNNNNNNNNNNNNNNNNNNNNNNNNNNNNNNNNNNNNNNNNNNNNNNNNNNNNNNNNNNNNNNNNNNNNNNNNNNNNNNNNNNNNNNNNNNNNNNNNNNNNNNNNNNNNNNNNNNNNNNNNNNNNNNNNNNNNNNNNNNNNNNNNNNNNNNNNNNNNNNNNNNNNNNNNNNNNNNNNNNNNNNNNNNNNNNNNNNNNNNNNNNNNNNNNNNNNNNNNNNNNNNNNNNNNNNNNNNNNNNNNNNNNNNNNNNNNNNNNNNNNNNNNNNNNNNNNNNNNNNNNNNNNNNNNNNNNNNNNNNNNNNNNNNNNNNNNNNNNNNNNNNNNNNNNNNNNNNNNNNNNNNNNNNNNNNNNNNNNNNNNNNNNNNNNNNNNNNNNNNNNNNNNNNNNNNNNNNNNNNNNNNNNNNNNNNNNNNNNNNNNNNNNNNNNNNNNNNNNNNNNNNNNNNNNNNNNNNNNNNNNNNNNNNNNNNNNNNNNNNNNNNNNNNNNNNNNNNNNNNNNNNNNNNNNNNNNNNNNNNNNNNNNNNNNNNNNNNNNNNNNNNNNNNNNNNNNNNNNNNNNNNNNNNNNNNNNNNNNNNNNNNNNNNNNNNNNNNNNNNNNNNNNNNNNNNNNNNNNNNNNNNNNNNNNNNNNNNNNNNNNNNNNNNNNNNNNNNNNNNNNNNNNNNNNNNNNNNNNNNNNNNNNNNNNNNNNNNNNNNNNNNNNNNNNNNNNNNNNNNNNNNNNNNNNNNNNNNNNNNNNNNNNNNNNNNNNNNNNNNNNNNNNNNNNNNNNNNNNNNNNNNNNNNNNNNNNNNNNNNNNNNNNNNNNNNNNNNNNNNNNNNNNNNNNNNNNNNNNNNNNNNNNNNNNNNNNNNNNNNNNNNNNNNNNNNNNNNNNNNNNNNNNNNNNNNNNNNNNNNNNNNNNNNNNNNNNNNNNNNNNNNNNNNNNNNNNNNNNNNNNNNNNNNNNNNNNNNNNNNNNNNNNNNNNNNNNNNNNNNNNNNNNNNNNNNNNNNNNNNNNNNNNNNNNNNNNNNNNNNNNNNNNNNNNNNNNNNNNNNNNNNNNNNNNNNNNNNNNNNNNNNNNNNNNNNNNNNNNNNNNNNNNNNNNNNNNNNNNNNNNNNNNNNNNNNNNNNNNNNNNNNNNNNNNNNNNNNNNNNNNNNNNNNNNNNNNNNNNNNNNNNNNNNNNNNNNNNNNNNNNNNNNNNNNNNNNNNNNNNNNNNNNNNNNNNNNNNNNNNNNNNNNNNNNNNNNNNNNNNNNNNNNNNNNNNNNNNNNNNNNNNNNNNNNNNNNNNNNNNNNNNNNNNNNNNNNNNNNNNNNNNNNNNNNNNNNNNNNNNNAAUCAUCUGACAGGGCCUAUCCCCCAAAAAGGACAGUUCAGCACAUUCAACAAGGAUUCUUACCUAGGUAACUUUGCCUUGUGUGGAUUACCUUUAACUAAUAACUGUACACACACUGUGUCACCACCACAAGAAGGCGGAACUGGUGACAAUGAUGCCUAUGAUGAACCCGAUUGGGAAGUGAUCCUCAUGGGAUAUGGAUGUGGACUAAUAUGCGGAUUGUCCACUGGGUACGUUGUCUUCACAUUCAGAAAGCCUCAGUGGUUUAUGAGAUACACUGAAAGCGUGCAACAGAAGUUGAUGAGAUGAUGCAUGUUGAGUACCGUUCAAUCAUGAAGCACAACUGGAAACAAUGUUAUCUUAGGAAAACAUGUGUUCUGAACCAGUAGUGUUUGCACAAAAUUUGUGGUGCUAUGUAAUACUUAUAUAAUUGUACGUAUGAUUAUUGAUUAGUCGUUGAGAAAAUGCAUUUUAUUUCAGUGUCAAUGAUAAUCUACAUGUUUUGGAUACUUCCAGCUUCUCAUACUAAUAUAGGAACCACUUGAAAAAUUUUGCGAUGCAAAGCAGGGACUCAUGAGUAUUUUCAUAUGUGUAUUAGUUUUGAAGAUAAAAGUUGUAUGGACAAUUGUGUUGAUAAUUUGCGCAAUGAUAACUGGGAUAGGUCAUCUUCUCUCCCAAGUCUUGGAUGGACUCUUUCCAAGUCUUCUGAGAACCCAUCAGCUCAGAUUAGUCCAUACAAUGUCAAGGGUCCUAUGAUAUGGUCUACUAACAGCCCAGUGUCGGUAAUAAAUCCAAUUGCAUAUAACCUAUUCAAAAUCAAUCCCCUAUAAACAAUCAUCUCUAAAAACUAUUCACAUAAAAUAAAAUUUUAAAAAUAUAAAAUAUCUAGUUGUUUUCAAUAUAUAAUUUUCCACAGUAGAUAACAAAAUAUCUUUAUCAAAUUAUAUUAUUUAUGGGUUCAAUAUUUAAGCUAUAAUUCCAAUAACACGGCAAGCAUGCAUGCAGCAUAUAAAUAGAAGUGUGCAGUAUGUAUGGUAUUCAUAACCCAGUUGAGGAGAAACAUGGCACACUUUGUAAAGCCUUCUCACCUUCUUCUCUUUGUUUUCUUUCUCUCAUCACUUGAGUCCAUUCUUGCAACAAGACGAGAGGGAGAGGGAGAAGCUCUUGUGAAAUGGAAGAAUAGCCUAGCCCCUUCUUCUUUUCUCGACUCUUGGUCACUCACCAAUCUCGAUAAUCUUUGUAACUGGACUGGCAUUACUUGUAACUCUGCAGGUUCAGUCACUGAGAUUAACCUUUUCGGAAAAAAACUUGAUGGAAGGCUGUCCGAGUUUGGUUUCACUUCAUUUCCAAAUCUCAACAAUCUCACCCUUGCAGAUAACUUCUUCUUGGGUCCAAUACCACCAGCCAUUGAGAAUUUAACACAGCUUCAGUAUCUUGAUUUAAGCUUUAAUUAUCUCGAUGGUCCCAUUCCGUUCCAGGUUAGCCAUCUUCAAAGGUUGCUUGUCUUAAACGUGUCACAGAAUGCAUUGCAUUCUCCAAAUUGGUCCAAUUUCUCAAACAGAUGAAAUUAUGCAACUGAAAUUGAUGUAGUCUUAAAGAAUUCUCAGGCACUUAAACAUGUUUCAAAGAAUUCUCAGGCACUUAAACAUUUGGACGGGUUCUUUGGAAGCCAAGAUGCCCAGGUUAUCAUGGCCAUGCACAAAAUGCAGUAUAAAAAAAAAAUGAAUACCUUAAGAGAGAUUGCUCUGGGUCUCCCCAAGCCUUCUAGACUCAUUCCAAGUCUUCUGAGGACCACUGCCUCGCGCUUUCAAAGAUGUGAUGGUAGCUCGGGAGUGAUAUAAAUUAUUUUCGGGACACUAAUAAUAAAUAAUCAGAUCAAAUUAAUCAUCAAUAAUAAAUUGAGGAUACGAAAUCAAAAUUAAUCCUAAAUUUUGAUAAUAUAUAAAAAUUACUUUACGUACACUGUUUGCACGCAUUUUGAGCUCGUAUAAAGUAUAGUUUCAUAACUUUUUUUAAAAAAUUUCUUUUUUGAUAAAAGUUUAAACGUCAAACUUUUAUUCAGAGAAAAAAAAUUAAAAAAUAUAUCACGGAACUAUACUUUAAAUUAGUAUGGAAAAACGUGCCAAAAUUAACGUAAAGAAAUGAGGGGAACAAAGAUAGUAUAAUUAUAUUAUAAAUUAAAAUUGAAAUAACUUACGUGGCACUGAAAUUGAUAAAGGCAAUAUGGUUAAAUUGAUGAAAAGUCAAAGUCCUCUAAUAAAUCCAUAAAGAAUAUAAUAAUCAAAACGACGAAAAUUAUAAAUGAAAAAUCAAAAUCAUCCUAAUAAGUACACAAAAAGAAUAUGAUCGUUAGUGUAUUGGAAUAGUGUGCACACACUUAUAUAUCAAAAUUUGUGGUCCAAAAGCUAUGGCACAAUAUUCUAAAUACACCACAUUAAGUAAUAGUUCAAAAAUAUUCAAUAUAUAAUUGUUUUCAUUCAUAAUUUUGUUAUUAUUUUAAAAAAUAAUUUGGUUGCUGUUAACCUAUAUUUCAAUUAUAUAAUUAUAUUAUUUUUUAUUUUAUGUAUCUAGAAACAAUAUUUUUGUAAUAUUUAUUACAUUAAUUAUAUUAAAAGAUAUAAUUUGUUAAAAACUUGAAUAAAAUUAAGAGGAUAACUUUAUGUCUCUCCAAGUUCACAGCACGGGUGAGCAUUGGGUUCGGAUAUCCAUAUACCGAAUGGAUAUAUCAAAUCAAAACUAAUCAUGAAUUAUGAUAAUAAUUAAAUAAAUUAUAAUUAAGCUAUAUGAAUCAACUCCAAAUGACAACAACAGCACCAAACCUUAGUUACUUUAAUAUUGGUAAAUAAAUAUAAUAUAAUAAUCAAAUUGAUGAAAAAUCACAUCAUCUAAUAAAUUCACAAAAAAUAUAUGAUCAUUAGUAUAUUAUAUUAGUAUCCACACACUUAUAUUUCAAAAUCUAUCCUCCAAAAUUAUCAUCUCUGUAAGCUAGCCACAUAAAAUAAAAAAUUUAAAGAUAUUAGAUAUUUAGUUAUUUUCAUUAUAUAAUUUUUCCACACGAAAUAACAAAAUAUCUUUAUCAAAUUAUUAUUUAUGAGUUAAAUAUUCAAGUUAUAAAUCCAGUAUUCAGCGUAUAAAUAGAAGUGUGCAGUAUGAUAUCAGAUUCACAUAACCCAGUUGAUGAGGAGAAACAUGGCAUACUCUGCAAAGCCUUCUCACCUUCUUCUCUUUGUUUUCUUUCUCUCAUCACUUGAAUCCAUUCUUGCAACAACACGAGAGGGAGAAGCUCUUGUGAAAUGGAAGAAUAGCCUAGCCCCUUCUUCUUUUCUCGAUUCUUGGUCCCUCACCAAUCUCGAAAAUCUUUGUAACUGGACUGGCAUUACUUGUAACUCUGCAGGUUCAGUCUCUGAGAUUAACCUCUGUGAGAAACAACUUGAUGGAAUGCUGUCCGACUUCGGUUUCACUUCAUUUCCAAAUCUCAAGAAUCUCACCCUCGCAUACAACUUCUUCUCGGGUCCAAUACCACCAGCCAUUCAGAACUUAACAAGGCUUCAAUGCCUUGAUUUAAGCUUUAAUUAUCUCAAUGGUCCUAUUCCGUUCCAGGUGAGCCAUCUUCAGAGCUUGCUCAUCUUGAACCUGUCACAGAAUGCAUUGCAAACUCCAAAUUGGUCCCAUUUCUCUCCCAUGCCUUUCUUGCGCAUCCUCAACCUCAGUUACAAUCCUCUUGCGUCGAAAUUCCCAGAUUUUAUAUCCAGUUCUCAUAGCCUGACUCACCUUAGCCUUAAUUAUAACGAGUUUACUGGUGAUUUAGUACGUGAAUCAGUAUUUGCCGAUCUGCAUAAUCUUGAAAAGCUCAGUCUUGUUGGCAAUUCUUUCGAGGGGCCAUUUCCGCCGGAUAUAUUCAGGCUUUCCAAAUUAAAACAUCUUAGCAUGUCAGAUAACAAACUUUCAGGUUCAAUUCCCAAUGACAUAAGGUUGCUUUGUGAUCUUGAAUACCUAUAUUUAGCCAACAAUUCCUUUGAAGGACCGCUUCCACCAAAUAUAUUCAAGUUUUCAAAAUUAAAACAUCUUGUUCUUUGGGGUAAUAAGUUUUCUGGUUCUGUUUCCAAUGAUAUAGGUUUGCUUUCUGAGCUUGAAACUCUCGAUCUUAGCUCUAAUUUUUUUGAGGGGCCGCUUCCGCCAAAUGUAUUCAAGCUCUCCAAACUAAAAGUUCUCACCCUGUCAAUUAACAAAUUUUUAGGUUCAAUUCCCAAUGACAUAAGGUUACUUUGUGAUCUUGAAUACCUAUAUUUAGGCAACAAUUCCUUUGAAGGACCGCUUCCACCAGGUAUAUUCAAGCUUUCAAAAUUAAAACAUCUUUUUCUUUGGGGUAAUAAGUUUUCAGGUUCUGUUUUCAAUGAUAUAUGUUUGCUUUCUGAGCUUGAAACCCUCGAUCUUAACUCUAAUUUUUUUGAGGGGCCGCUUCCGCCAAAUGUAUUCAAGCUCUCCAAACUAAAGAUUCUUUCCCUUUAUGUGAACAACUUUUCAGGUUUUAUUUCUAAGGAUAUAGGUUGGCUUUUUGAACUUGAAACCCUCUAUCUUGGCUCUAAUUUUUUUGAGGGGCCGCUUCCCCCACAUGUAUUUAGGCUCUCCAAAUUAAGAGAUUUGGACCUCUCAGACAAUAGAAAUUUAUUUGAAGGAAGUAUUCCUAUUGGACUGGGACUCUUGACUAACCUCAGGUACUUAGAUCUACAUUUCAGUAAUCUCAGUGGCUAUAUUCCAUCUGACAUUGGAAACCUGAAGCUACUAGUACUUCUUGAUCUCAGUUCUAAUAAAUUGACUGGACCGCUUUCAAAGAUCAUUUCUAAUCUCACAAAUCUUAUAUUUCUUGAUGUAAGUGAUAAUAGUCUUAGUGGAAAUAUUCAGAGUGACUUGUGGAAAUAUAACGAUCAUCCAACUUUGGAAUACAUCGAUUUAAGUGGGAACCAUUUUACGGGUAUAGUUUUUCUCUAUAGAUCUUUUCUUUUUCUCAUAUGUAACUAAGCUAGUAAUCUGAUUAUUGCAGUUUCACCAAAGUUUCAACAAUCUUGACAGGUGAGCUUCCAACAACAAUUUGCAAUGUCACUUCCCUUUUGGUUCUUGAUUUGUCAAAUAAUGAAUUAAGUGGUGCACUUCCAAACUGUUUCGGGAAUCUUGCUGAUAGAUUGCUUUUCAUUAAUCUUGCUAAUAAUCAGUUUCGAGGAACAAUACCAACUACUUUCUCCAGGAGUUGUCAGCUGACAUAUCUAAACAUGGAUAAUAAUGAGUUUGAAGGAUUGUUGCGCCCAUCUUUGGCGAACUGUAAGCACUUGAAAAUUCUUGAUAUUGGCAAUAAUAAAAUAGGUGGUACAUUUCCGUCAUGGCUUUAUGCACUUGGAGAGCUAGAAGUCCUUGUCUUGCGAUCAAAUAAACUCUAUGGUACAAUAAGUGGGAGGAGCAUAGAAAAUCCCUUCCCCAAGUUGCGGAUUGUGGAUCUGUCCAACAAUCAAUUCACUGGCCAUUUGCCAAUUCAAUACUUUAAGAAUAUGAAAUCAACUGAUAAUUUGUAUAGUUAUCAGAAUGACACAGGAGUUUUUUCUUUCCAUUAUGAAGCAUCUGUAUCAUUAACUGUGAAGGGAACAGAGUAUGAAGUGAAAAAUAUCCUUCAUAUUUACACAACCAUUGAUCUGUCCUGCAACAAGUUUCAAGGAGAAAUUCCUGACGUUAUUGGAGAGCUUAGAUGGCUUGCAUUGCUGAACUUAUCUCAUAAUAGUCUAACAGGACAUAUCCCAUCAUUGCUGAGAAAUAUGAAAGGACUCCAAUCUUUAGAUUUGUCUUCAAAUCAACUGACAGGGGCUAUUCCACCUCAGUUAACUGCAUUGACAUUUCUAGAGGUCUUGAACCUCUCGGGAAACCAUCUUAGUGGAGAGAUUCCUCAGAAAGGACAGUUCAGCACAUUCAACAAUGAUUCUUAUCUAGGAAACUCCGCGUUAUGUGGAUCACCUUUGACAAAGAAAUGUGUAAACACAGCAUCACCUCCACAGGAAGUCGGAAAUGGUGAUGAAGAUGAUGCUGGCGAUGAAUGGACAUGGGAAGCAAUCGUGAUGGGAUAUGGAUGUGGACUGAUAUGUGGAUUGUCGUCUGCGUACAUUGUUCUCAGACUAGGAAGGCCUUGGUGGUUUGUGAGAUAUAUCGAAGUACUGCAACUGAAGUUGAUGAAAAGAUAUGCAUGAAGAAAGGUACUGGUAGAUCAAGAUGAACUUGAAAGUUAUUUUCGUGGAUGACAUUUGUGAACCAGUACUGUACUAGCUGCUUAAGUAUUUGGUAUUAUGUAAUAAUCCGUUUGGUCGGGACUCAUAAUGAUAUUUCUUGCUUCAGGGGUAUUAAUAUAAACCUUGGUAUUGUGUACUAGCUGUCUGUUUGGUCGUGACUCAUAAUCUUUCAUGUAUUAACAUAAGGUUUUAAUACAUCCCGUACCAGGUUAGCCAUCUUCAGAUAUUACACAUCUUACUGCUGUCGCAUAAUGAAUUGCAAUCUCCAAAUUGGUCCAACUUCUCUUCCAUGCCCUUUUUGCGCAUCCUCGGCCUUGGCAGCAAUAAUCUGGUGUCAAAAUUCCCAGAAUUUAUAUCUGACUCUCAUAGCCUCACUUUCCUUGACCUUUCUUUUAACAAGUUUACAGGUGAUCUUGUGCUUGAAUCAAUUUUUACCGAUCUACAUAAUCUUGAAAACCUCCAUCUUGCUGGAAAUUCCUUUGAGGGGCCGAUUCCACCUAGAGUAUUUAAGCUUUCCAAUUUAAAAGUUCUUGAACUCACGGGUAAUAACUUUUCUCGUUCUAUUUCCAACGAUAUAGGUUUGCUUUCUGAACUUGAGACCCUCUAUCUUGACUUCAAUUUUUUUGAUGGACCAAUUCCCCCAAAUAUAUUCAACCUUUCCCAAUUAAAAAUUCUUGAACUAACAGAAAAUAACUUUUCUGGUCCUGUUUCCAAUGAUAUAAGUUUGCUUUCUGAGCUUGAAAACCUCAAUCUUGCCUUAAAUUCUUCUGAUGGGCCUUUUCCAUCAAAGAUAUUCAACCUAACCAAAUUGAGACAUCUAAAUCUCUAUGGCAAUAAGAAUUUAUUUAAAGGAAGUAUCCCACUGGAUAUCAGAAACCUGAAGCUCCUGGAAUCUAUUAAUCUCGGUUCUAAUCAAUUGGUUGGACCACUUUCAAUGCUCAUUUCUAAUCUCACUAAUCUUAAGAUGGUUGGGCUAAGCGAUAAUAGGUUUUUUGGCAAAAUUCCUAGUGACUUCUUGAAAAACUUGCCAUCCUUACACGUCAUUGAUCUUUCAAAUAAUAAUUUGUCCGGAAAUAUUCCCAGGGAGUAUAACGUGCAUCCAAUUUUAGAAUACAUCAAUUUAAGUGGAAACCAUCUUACAGGUUUACUUCUCCCUCAAUAUAUUUUAUUUUCCUUUUGUAUGUUACAUUGAUUACACUUUUACCGAAGCUCAAACAAUUUUAACAGGUGAGAUCCCAGCAACAAUUUGCAAUGCUACAAACCUUUAUAUUCUGGUUCUGUCAGAUAAUGGAUUAAGUGGUGCCCUUCCGCAUUGUUUGGGAAAUCUUGCAGAUAAAAUGCAUUGCAUUGAUCUCGCUAAUAAUCAGUUCCGAGGACCAAUACCAACAACCUUCUCAGAGAGUUGCCAGUUAAGAUAUCUAAACAUGUAUGACAAUCAGUUAGAAGGACUUUUGCCCCGAUCUUUGUCAAACUGUAAGCACUUGAAAAUUCUUGACAUCGGGAACAACAAAAUGGGCGGUACAUUUCCUUCAUGGCUAUUCACUCUCAGAGAGCUAGAAGUCCUAGUCUUGCAAUCAAAUAAACUGUAUGGUCCAGUAAGUGGAAGGAGCACACAUCACAUCCAUUCCCCAAGUUGCGGAUUCUAGAUCUCUCCAACAACCAAUUCACGGGCUAUUUGCCAAUUCAAUACUCUUUAAGAAUAUGAAACCAGCUGCUGAUAACAUUUGUCUUAGGAUGACACAUGUUCUAAACUAUGACAAUAGUAUGCAAUCUCGUUUAAUACUUUCAUAUUAUGAACUAGUUCUGUUGAAUAAAUAAAUAUUAUUAAUUAAUCAAUCAUGUGCGCUCGAGUUUCCCUGGCCAGAUGCCCAGAUUAUUAGAGCAUCUCCAGCAGAGUCUUAACCGGUUCUCUAAAUAUAUAAUAAAAUAUGUAUCUUUUAAGGGAUUACUACAUUUUAGUGAAUGAGAACUCCAACAACAUUCCCUAUUUACAUUCUCUAUUAUUAUUAUAAUAUUAUAUUCAACUUGUAAUAAGAGAGAGAAAGUUUGGAAAGAGUAAAAGUGAGAAAAAAUAAGUGAAUAUUUUAUUCUUCAGAAUAAUAUAAGGAAAGAAAAUGCCAAAACAAUUAACUAUAAUCUACGCAAUAAUUUUUUAUAUUGAUUAGACGUUAUCUUUAUCAAUAUUUAGUCAGAUAUUCGGAUAUAUAUCAUUCCCUUUGUUUUUAUACCAUCUUUUUUUUGACUUUCGGGCCAAAUCACUACGUGGGUUGACUGGAUAGUAGAAAUUAAUAUUUUUGUCUGUUUUUUAAAAUAAAAAUCUGUAUUUUUAUUUUGAUUUCGAAGAAUAUAAUCCAUAAGGUAAAUAAUUUUUAANNNNNNNNNNNNNNNNNNNNNNNNNNNNNNNNNNNNNNNNNNNNNNNNNNNNNNNNNNNNNNNNNNNNNNNNNNNNNNNNNNNNNNNNNNNNNNNNNNNNNNNNNNNNNNNNNNNNNNNNNNNNNNNNNNNNNNNNNNNNNNNNNNNNNNNNNNNNNNNNNNNNNNNNNNNNNNNNNNNNNNNNNNNNNNNNNNNNNNNNNNNNNNNNNNNNNNNNNNNNNNNNNNNNNNNNNNNNNNNNNNNNNNNNNNNNNNNNNNNNNNNNNNNNNNNNNNNNNNNNNNNNNNNNNNNNNNNNNNNNNNNNNNNNNNNNNNNNNNNNNNNNNNNNNNNNNNNNNNNNNNNNNNNNNNNNNNNNNNNNNNNNNNNNNNNNNNNNNNNNNNNNNNNNNNNNNNNNNNNNNNNNNNNNNNNNNNNNNNNNNNNNNNNNNNNNNNNNNNNNNNNNNNNNNNNNNNNNNNNNNNNNNNNNNNNNNNNNNNNNNNNNNNNNNNNNNNNNNNNNNNNNNNNNNNNNNNNNNNNNNNNNNNNNNNNNNNNNNNNNNNNNNNNNNNNNNNNNNNNNNNNNNNNNNNNNNNNNNNNNNNNNNNNNNNNNNNNNNNNNNNNNNNNNNNNNNNNNNNNNNNNNNNNNNNNNNNNNNNNNNNNNNNNNNNNNNNNNNNNNNNNNNNNNNNNNNNNNNNNNNNNNNNNNNNNNNNNNNNNNNNNNNNNNNNNNNNNNNNNNNNNNNNNNNNNNNNNNNNNNNNNNNNNNNNNNNNNNNNNNNNNNNNNNNNNNNNNNNNNNNNNNNNNNNNNNNNNNNNNNNNNNNNNNNNNNNNNNNNNNNNNNNNNNNNNNNNNNNNNNNNNNNNNNNNNNNNNNNNNNNNNNNNNNNNNNNNNNNNNNNNNNNNNNNNNNNNNNNNNNNNNNNNNNNNNNNNNNNNNNNNNNNNNNNNNNNNNNNNNNNNNNNNNNNNNNNNNNNNNNNNNNNNNNNNNNNNNNNNNNNNNNNNNNNNNNNNNNNNNNNNNNNNNNNNNNNNNNNNNNNNNNNNNNNNNNNNNNNNNNNNNNNNNNNNNNNNNNNNNNNNNNNNNNNNNNNNNNNNNNNNNNNNNNNNNNNNNNNNNNNNNNNNNNNNNNNNNNNNNNNNNNNNNNNNNNNNNNNNNNNNNNNNNNNNNNNNNNNNNNNNNNNNNNNNNNNNNNNNNNNNNNNNNNNNNNNNNNNNNNNNNNNNNNNNNNNNNNNNNNNNNNNNNNNNNNNNNNNNNNNNNNNNNNNNNNNNNNNNNNNNNNNNNNNNNNNNNNNNNNNNNNNNNNNNNNNNNNNNNNNNNNNNNNNNNNNNNNNNNNNNNNNNNNNNNNNNNNNNNNNNNNNNNNNNNNNNNNNNNNNNNNNNNNNNNNNNNNNNNNNNNNNNNNNNNNNNNNNNNNNNNNNNNNNNNNNNNNNNNNNNNNNNNNNNNNNNNNNNNNNNNNNNNNNNNNNNNNNNNNNNNNNNNNNNNNNNNNNNNNNNNNNNNNNNNNNNNNNNNNNNNNNNNNNNNNNNNNNNNNNNNNNNNNNNNNNNNNNNNNNNNNNNNNNNNNNNNNNNNNNNNNNNNNNNNNNNNNNNNNNNNNNNNNNNNNNNNNNNNNNNNNNNNNNNNNNNNNNNNNNNNNNNNNNNNNNNNNNNNNNNNNNNNNNNNNNNNNNNNNNNNNNNNNNNNNNNNNNNNNNNNNNNNNNNNNNNNNNNNNNNNNNNNNNNNNNNNNNNNNNNNNNNNNNNNNNNNNNNNNNNNNNNNNNNNNNNNNNNNNNNNNNNNNNNNNNNNNNNNNNNNNNNNNNNNNNNNNNNNNNNNNNNNNNNNNNNNNNNNNNNNNNNNNNNNNNNNNNNNNNNNNNNNNNNNNNNNNNNNNNNNNNNNNNNNNNNNNNNNNNNNNNNNNNNNNNNNNNNNNNNNNNNNNNNNNNNNNNNNNNNNNNNNNNNNNNNNNNNNNNNNNNNNNNNNNNNNNNNNNNNNNNNNNNNNNNNNNNNNNNNNNNNNNNNNNNNNNNNNNNNNNNNNNNNNNNNNNNNNNNNNNNNNNNNNNNNNNNNNNNNNNNNNNNNNNNNNNNNNNNNNNNNNNNNNNNNNNNNNNNNNNNNNNNNNNNNNNNNNNNNNNNNNNNNNNNNNNNNNNNNNNNNNNNNNNNNNNNNNNNNNNNNNNNNNNNNNNNNNNNNNNNNNNNNNNNNNNNAUAUACACUUCCAUUUCCACUUUCCAGUAUUAAGUUUAGAAUUAAGAUCUUAACAACAUAGCAAUCAUUUAAACCUCGAAGAAAAUUGUGCACAUUAACAAGACCAAAGAGAAAACAGAUAGCAUAAAAUUGUGUAACACGUAUAAUUUAAAUCCACUUCUCAGUAUACUCCACAUUCAAGGUGAUCUAACUGCUACAAUAUUCUAAUUUUCACAGCUACGACACUGAACAAUAUAAGAACCAGUUUACUGUAAGUUUACUGAACAUAUAUAUACGACAUUGAACAAUAUAAAAUAGCUAUCCUUUGUAAGACCAAAAACAAAGGACACUAGCUAGCUAAUUCAAUAUACAAAACCACUCCAAUCAGUUUAUGAUAAGCAACUACAAACAUACAAAUACAUAUAAACAUACAAAUACAUAUAAACAUACUAUCUCAUUUUCCAAAAACCACAACUACAAACUAUCUCAUUUUCCAAAAACACACACUGAAAUACAUAUAUACAUACACAUACAACCACAAGGAUACCCAAACUCAAGUAAUAAAUAAGAAAUUACCUCCUCCAACUCGAAGAGAGCUUGAAUAGACUUGAACAGAGCUUGAACAGACUCCGAGCUCGAACUCCCUACAAACUCGAACUGAAGUACGAGCACCCACUAAACCCACAAACUCCACACUCGAACUGAACUCUGAGAUCUGUUGAAAAAACGAAUUAAAGAAGCAAAUGAGUAUUGUAAUCGAACAAACAUCAGUUUAUUAGGUACAAAUCAACCUUUAUCGCACAAAUUUAAGGAUGAAAUCGGCCGAAUUGGAACCUAGGGUUCGCUCGCUGAGAAAGGGGGAAGAACGGGGAGAGAGAAUGUAUUUUGUACAAAUGAUUUAAUUUAGGUAGUUUUAUUAGUUUUAUGUCUUUUUCCUUUUAAUUUUAUGUUUAAAGACAGGUGUUGAUGUCUUGUUCAGACAACACAUCAACUAAGCAGCGGGGUUUUAAAGGCGGGGUUUUUUUGUUUGUGAAAAAUUUGGCUAAGUGGGGAAUAGAAGCGGGGAAGCGCGGCCAAUUUUUUAAAAACAUGUUUUAGACAUCGGUUCUACACUAAGAUGAUGUCUAGUUUUUUAAUAGACAUCGGUUUUUAAAAUUUCGAUGUAAAAAAGGGUUUUAACAUCGGUGGUUUUUUUAACCGAUGUCUAAUCUGUGAUGUCUGAUCCUGUUUUUCUAGUAGUGAUCACUGCAACAAAAUAUUAGUUACGACGGAACAAUGUCGCUGGACUUUAUUUGUUUACAUUUUUUUAAUAGUAGUUAAUUUUUAAACUUGCGACGGAAAACAUACGACAGUCUACUUCGCGAGAGAAAAUCAUUUUAUUUUAUUUUUUAGCGCCAGAAUUUUAAUACUAAACUACUAUAGGGCCGUUUGGGCUAGCUUAAAAAAAGUGAUUUUUUACUUACAGUAAAGAAGUGGAUUAAAAGUGAGAAGCAAAUAAGUCAAUAAAAUGUUUGGAAAAGAAGUAGAAGCUGUGAGAGAGAAGUUAGCAUUCUCAGCUUCUUAAAAGUGCUUCUGCUUAUUUACAUAAACGGGUAAAAAAAAAAAAGCAAAAGCCAGAAGCAGCUUCUACUUCUCGAAACAAACAGGGCCAAUAUAUAUGAAGGAAACUGAUCUCUAUUGUUUUCAGCUUGCUCAUCCAUGGUAAGUAAUCCGUCGAAAAAGUUAGUUUGUUGUCGUGGUGUCUUAUCAUGAGAGAAAAUGGUAAUAUCGCAAAAUAUUUGCAACUGAAAGAUAAAUUAUAGUUCUAGAAACCAUUUAGGUAACGAUGCGCGGAGUUAUUUUCACUCACUUAGAAUUAAUGAUAAAUAUUUGCAACUGAAAGAUACAUUAUAGUUCUAGAAAAGGAUCCACGGAAUUAUUUUCACUCACUUAGAAUUAAUCCUAAGUUAUUGUGAGUUUUUGAAUAUGGAUUAUCUCAAAUUUUAUUAAAACACAUAUCGAUUCAUAUAGACAAAUUUGCCUACCUAAUAUUAUAAUAUUUAUGGCGAAGUUGUAUGAACAAUUGUGUAGAUAAUUAUACUUUACAAAGCAUACUUCUGCUAGCUGAAUUUUGAUUAAAAAAUCGAAAGGGAUAGGUCUGGGUCUCUCCAAGUCUUUGAGGACUCAUUCCAAGUCUUCUGAUGAGGACAAAAUAUAUCGCUGGUAGUCUUUCAGUCCUUCCUAGAGUAUUUUAUGCUCUGCACUGCAUUUGUGUUGAUAAUUUGCGCAAUGUUGAUGAGGAUUGCUCCAAGUCUUGGCGGACUCUUUCCAAAUCUUCCGAGGACCUAUCGGUUCAAUUUAGCCCAUUAAAAAUUUUAUUAUCUCAAAGCUAUCUGCAAAAUAAUAUAUAAGGUAAAAAUGAAUAUAUACCAUUGUUUUGUGAUUAAGUUGUAUAGGCAAUAUGCAUUGCAAAAUCAGCAACAGGAUAUAUGAAUACUAAUUAAUUACCUGAUAUCAGUAUGAACAAAUACUUUCUAUGUAGUUGUAAUAUUAGUCUUCUUUAAAAGUUAUCAUGAGGGAAGGUAUAUAUUGUGAUGCGGGAGAAAUAUUGUCACUGAAAAUAAUUAUAAUUCUAAAAUUUCCAUUAUACACUUUUUUUAGUGUUUGUACGUGGUAAGUACUUCAGACGACAUUUCUCGCGUAUGCCUCCGAUUAAGAAUUUGAUGUUCAGCCUAGUCCUAAACUAAAAUUAUUAUAAAUGUGUACUUCAAAAUUAUAUAUAUUGCUGGUAGUCUUUCAGUUCUUCCUGGUGUAUGCAAUUGUUUCAUUCAAUACCAAUUAUUUUAUACUAUGCACUCUGAUAUCAUGUUGAGAACAAUCCAUCAAAAACUUUAAACCUUAAUUAAGGUGUUAGAGGAAAAUACCAAUUAGAUCUUAUGCUAUAUUUCAAUACUUCCAACACUCUGCGAUGCAAAGCAGGGACUCUUGAGUAUUUUCAUAUGUGUAUUAGUUUUGAAGAUAAAAGUUGUAUAGAGAAUUGUGUUGAUAAUUUGCGCAAUUGCGCAAUGAUAACUGGGAUAGGUCAUCUUCUCUCCCAAGUCUUGGAUGGAAUCUUUCCAAGUCUUCUGAGAACCCAUCAGCUCAGAUUAGUCCAUACAAUGUCAAGGGUCCUAUGAUAUGGUCUACUAACAGCCCAGUGUCGGUAAUAAAUCCAAUUGCAUAUAACCUAUUCAAAAUCAAUCCCCUAUAAACAAUCAUCUCUAAAAACUAUUCACAUAAAAUAAAAUUUUAAAAAUAUAAAAUAUCUAGUUGUUUUCAAUAUAUAAUUUUCCACAGUAGAUAACANNNNNNNNNNNNNNNNNNNNNNNNNNNNNNNNNNNNNNNNNNNNNNNNNNNNNNNNNNNNNNNNNNNNNNNNNNNNNNNNNNNNNNNNNNNNNNNNNNNNNNNNNNNNNNNNNNNNNNNNNNNNNNNNNNNNNNNNNNNNNNNNNNNNNNNNNNNNNNNNNNNNNNNNNNNNNNNNNNNNNNNNNNNNNNNNNNNNNNNNNNNNNNNNNNNNNNNNNNNNNNNNNNNNNNNNNNNNNNNNNNNNNNNNNNNNNNNNNNNNNNNNNNNNNNNNNNNNNNNNNNNNNNNNNNNNNNNNNNNNNNNNNNNNNNNNNNNNNNNNNNNNNNNNNNNNNNNNNNNNNNNNNNNNNNNNNNNNNNNNNNNNNNNNNNNNNNNNNNNNNNNNNNNNNNNNNNNNNNNNNNNNNNNNNNNNNNNNNNNNNNNNNNNNNNNNNNNNNNNNNNNNNNNNNNNNNNNNNNNNNNNNNNNNNNNNNNNNNNNNNNNNNNNNNNNNNNNNNNNNNNNNNNNNNNNNNNNNNNNNNNNNNNNNNNNNNNNNNNNNNNNNNNNNNNNNNNNNNNNNNNNNNNNNNNNNNNNNNNNNNNNNNNNNNNNNNNNNNNNNNNNNNNNNNNNNNNNNNNNNNNNNNNNNNNNNNNNNNNNNNNNNNNNNNNNNNNNNNNNNNNNNNNNNNNNNNNNNNNNNNNNNNNNNNNNNNNNNNNNNNNNNNNNNNNNNNNNNNNNNNNNNNNNNNNNNNNNNNNNNNNNNNNNNNNNNNNNNNNNNNNNNNNNNNNNNNNNNNNNNNNNNNNNNNNNNNNNNNNNNNNNNNNNNNNNNNNNNNNNNNNNNNNNNNNNNNNNNNNNNNNNNNNNNNNNNNNNNNNNNNNNNNNNNNNNNNNNNNNNNNNNNNNNNNNNNNNNNNNNNNNNNNNNNNNNNNNNNNNNNNNNNNNNNNNNNNNNNNNNNNNNNNNNNNNNNNNNNNNNNNNNNNUGUAUUAGUUUUGUAAGAUAAAAGUUGUAUGGACAAUUGUGUUGUAUAAUUUGCGCAAUGAUAACUGGGAUAGGUCAUCUUCUCUCCCAAGUCUUGGAUGGAAUCUUUCCAAGUCUUCUGAGAACCCAUCAGCUCAGAUUAGUCCAUACAAUGUCAAGGGUCCUAUGAUAUGGUCUACUAACAGCCCAGUGUCGGUAAUAAAUCCAAUUGCAUAUAACCUAUUCAAAAUCAAUCCCCUAUAAACAAUCAUCUCUAAAAACUAUUCACAUAAAAUAAAAUUUUAAAAAUAUAAAAUAUCUAGUUGUUUUCAAUAUAUAAUUUUCCACAGUAGAUAACAAAAUAUCUUUAUCAAAUUGUUAUUUAUGGGUUCAAUAUUUAAGCUAUAAUUCCAAUAACACGGCAAGCAUGCAGCGUAUAAAUAGAAGUGUGCAGUAUGUUAUCAGAUUCAUAACCCAGUUGAUCAGGAGAAACAUGGCAUACUCUGCAAAGCCUUCUCACCUUCUUCUCUUUGUUUUCUUUCUCUCAUCACUUGAAUCCAUUCUUGCAACAACACGAGAAGGAGAAGCUCUUGUGAAAUGGAAGAAUAGCCUAGCCCCUUCUUCUUUUCUCGAUUCUUGGUCCCUCACCAAUCUCGAAAAUCUUUGUAACUGGACUGGCAUUACUUGUAACUCUGCAGGUUCAGUCUCUGAGAUUAAUCUCUGUGAGAAACAACUUAAUGGAAUGCUGUCCGAGUUUGGUUUCACUUCAUUUCCAAAUCUCAACUAUCUCACACUCGCAGACAACUUCUUCUCCGGUCCAAUACCACCAGCCAUUGAGAAUUUAACACAGCUUCAAUAUCUUGAUUUGAGAAAUAAUUAUCUAGAUGGUCCCAUUCCGUUCCAGGUUAGCCAUCUUCAGAGCUUGCUCAUAUUAAACCUGUCACAGAAUGCAUUGCAAGCUACAAAUUGGUCCAAUUUCUCUCCCAUGCCUUUUUUGCGCAUCCUCAACCUCAGUAGCAAUCAUCUUGUAUCGAAAUUCCCAGAAUUUAUAUCCAAUUCUCAUAGCUUGGCUAUCCUUGACCUUUCACAUAACAACUUUACAGGUGAUCUUGUGCGUGAAUUUACCAAUCUACAAAAUCUUGAAACCCUCUGGCUUUAUUGUAAUUCUUUUGAGGGGCCAUUUCCGCCGGAUAUAUUCAGGCUCUCCAAAUUAAAACGUCUCUCCCUGUCAAGUAACAAAUUUUCAGGUUCAGUUCCCAAUGACAUAAGGUUGCUUUGUGAUCUUGAAUCCUUAAACUUAAGCAACAAUUCUUUUGAAGGACCGCUUCCACCAAAUUUAUUCAAGCUUUCGAAAUUAAAGAGUCUUUUUCUUUGGAGUAAUAAGUUUUCAGGUUCUAUUUCCAAUGAUAUAGGUUUGCUUUCUGAGCUUGAAUUUCUCAAUCUUUACGAUAAUUUUUUUGAGGGGCCGCUUCCAUGCAUCAAAUAUAUUCAAGCUCUCCAAAUUAAGGGUUCUUUACCUUAACGGUAAUAAACUUCUAGGUUCUCUUUCCAAUGAUAUAGGUUUGCUUUCUGAGCUUGAAACCCUCAAUCUUCGCUCUAAUUUUUUUGAGGCUCCGUUUCCGUCAAAUAUAUUCAAGCUUUCCAAAUUAACAAUUCUUGACCUCGCAUACAAUAGAAAUUUAUUUGAAGGAAGUUUUCCUAUUGGACUGGGACUCUUGACUAACCUCAGCUACUUAGAUCUAACUUCCACUAAUCUCAGUGGCUCAUCUGCCAUUGGAAACCUCAAGCUACUACUAUAUCUUGGUCUCAGUUAUAAUCAAUUGACUGGACCGCUUUCAAACAUUGUUUCUAAUCUAACAAAUCUUAUAUUUCUUGGUGUGGAUCAUAAUAGUCUUAGUGGAAAUAUUCCGAGUGACUGGUGGAAAGCCUCUGUAUCCUUACUUUACAUUGAUCUUGGAUAUAAUUAUUUGUCUGGGAACAUUCCUAAGGAAUAUAAAGAUCAUCCAACUUUGGAAUACAUCGAUUUAAGUGGGAACCAUUUUACAGGUAUUUUUUUCUCUAUAUAUCUUUUCCUUUUGUCACAUGUAACUAAGCUAGUAAUCUGAUUAUUGCAGUUUUACCUAAGUUUUAACAAUCUUGACAGGUGAGCUUCCAACAACAAUUUGCAAUGCUACCUCCCUUUCGGUUCUUGCUUUGUCAAAUAAUGGAUUAAGUGGUGCACUUCCAAACUGUAUUGCGAAUCUUGCUGAUGGAUUGCUUUACAUUAAUCUUGCUAAUAAUCAGUUUCGAGGAGCAAUACCAACUACUUCAUCCAAAAGUUGUCAGCUGACCUAUCUCAACAUGGAUAAUAAUGAGUUUGAAGGAUUGCUGCCCCCAUCUUUGGCGAACUGUAAGCACUUGAAGAUUCUUGAUAUUGGCAAUAAUAAAAUAGGUGGUACAUUUCCUUCAUGGCUUUAUGCACUUGGAGAGCUAGAAGUCCUUGUCUUGCGAUCAAAUAAACUCUAUGGUCCAAUAAGUGGGAGGAGCAUAGAAAAUCCCUUCCCCAAGUUGCGGAUUUUGGAUCUGUCCAACAAUCAAUUCUCAGGCCAUUUGCCAAUUCAAUACUUCAAGAAUAUGAAAUCAACUGAUAAAUUGUAUCGCUAUCAGAAUGCCACAACAUUAACGGGUUUCCAAUAUGAUGCAUCAGUCCCAUUAACUGUGAAGGGAACAGAGUAUGAAGUGAAAAAUAUCCUUCAUAUUUACACAGCCAUUGAUCUGUCCUGCAACAAGUUUCAAGGAGAAAUUCCUGACGUUAUUGGAGAGCUUAGAUGGCUUGCAUUGCUGAACUUAUCUCAUAAUAGUCUAACAGGACCUAUCCCAUCAUUGCUGAGAAAUAUGAAAGAACUCCAAUCUUUAGAUUUGUCGUCAAAUCAACUGACAGGGGCUAUUCCACCUCAGUUAACUGCACUGACAUUUCUAGAGGUCUUCAACCUCUCGGGAAACCAUCUUAGUGGAGAGAUUCCUCAGAAAGGACAGUUCAGCACAUUUAACAAUGAUUCUUAUCUAGGAAACUCCGCGUUAUGUGGAUCACCAUUGACGAAGAAAUGUGCAAACACAGCAUCACCUCCACAAGAAGUCGGAAAUGUUGAUGAAGAUGAUGCGGGUGAUGAAUUGACAUGGGAAGCAAUCUUGAUGGGAUAUGGAUGUGGACUGAUAUGUGGAUUGUCAUCUGCUUACAUUGUUCUCAAACUAGGAAAGCCUUGGUGGUUUGUGAGAUAUAUCGAAGUGCUGCAACUGAAGUUGAUGAAAAGAUAUGCAUGAAGAAUGGUACUGGCCGAUCAAGACGAACUUGAAAGUUGUUGGACAUUUCUGAACCAGUAGUGUACUAUUCUCUUUGUGGCUGCAUAAGUUUUUGGUAUUGUGUAAUAUUCUGUUUGGUCUUGAAUUUCAGGGGUAUUAAUAUAAACCUUGGUAUUGUGUAAUAUUCUGUUUGAUCAAUGUUUAUAUCAAUAAUUUUAUGCUCCUCACUGCAUCAUGCAGCUCUCAUAUUAUCUUCAUAUGUGUAUUAUUUGGAUAUCAAAGUUGCAGGGACAUAUGGAUAUGUGUUAACAGGGACUGCUCGGUCUUGGACGGACUCUUUCCAAGUCCUCUGGGGUCCUAUCGGUUCAAAUUAGUCUAUUAUCUGCAUACUAAUUUGUCCAACUCGGGCUUGAAUAGUAAAGAUAAAGAGUGCGAGUUGAGUUUCUCAAAGUAUGAGUACAAUAUCGUUUUUGAAUGAUAGUUAGGGGUGCGAUAUGCAAUUACCUCAAAAAUAUAUGAUCAUUAGUAUAUUAUAUUAGUAUCCACACACUUAUAUCUCAAAAUCUAUCCUCCAAAAUUAUCAUCUCUAUAGGCUAGCCACAUAAAAUAAAAAUUUAAAGAUAUUAGAUUUUUAGUUAUUUUCAUUAUAUAAUUUUUCCACGCAAAAUAACAAAAUAUCUUUAUCAACUUAUUAUUUAUGAGUUAAAUAUUCAAGUUAUAUAAUUCGGACAUGCUGGGUAUAAAUUGAAGUGUAACGCCUAAUUUCCGGGGUCUGGGAGUAGUUGGCGGGGUAUGAGAGAGCAGGCUAUUUAGAAGUCUUGGUCAUGAAAACUUCCAAGCUAAACUUCGACAACGGAAUCUUCUGAGGCUACUAUUCUAAAGCACGCAUAAUCAUUGUAUCCAUUUUCCGACAAAAAGUCUAUUUAAGCAAAUGAAAUACAAACAACUGAGUGGAAUGCUGACCGAAAGUCUUUUUGACUAAGCUUAUGAUUUAUUAGUACAUGAUUAAUAUGAUAAGCUAAGCUGAGAGCAUAAGAUAUCGUGUGUAUAAUUUUGUGUUUAUUAAUGACUUAUAAAUUAUUAAAAAUAUAAUAAGAAAAAUAAAAAUGAUUUAUAACUAAUUUAUGUUUUAUGAGUAAUUUUUAUUAGAAAAAAGUUUUAAAAAAUUAUUUCACUGGAAAAAAAACCUCCAACUAACUUUUGGCUCUAAGUCAGUUUUUGAUUUAUUUAUGACUUUAUGUCGGAUUCUGAUUUUUACACAAAAAUCUGGUUUUAAACCUCUGAGUUUGGUUUCACUUCAUAUACAAACCUCAACAAUUUCACCAUCAAACACAAUGACUUCUCCAAUCUCCGGUCCAGUACCACCAGCCAUUGAGAAUUUGGCACAACUUCAAUUCCAUACCAGGUUAGUCGUCUUCGGAGAUUACACGUCUUAGACCUGUCAAAUACAAAUUUCAAUCUCCAAACUGGUCCGAUUUAUCUUCUAUGCUUUUUGUUGAGUCCGGCUCAUCUAAAGCCUUAAGAUGUUAGAGGAAGCACCCAAUGAAUCUUAUAUAUGCUAUAUUUUAACAAUUCUGAGCACACUCAACCUUGGUAUUAAUAAUAUUGUGUCGAAAAUUCCAGAAUUUAUAUCUAAUUCUCAUAGCCUAACUUUCCUUGACCUUUCCAUAUAACAAAUUUACAGUUAAUCCUGUGCUUGAAUCAGUAUUUGCAACCAAAAUUAUGCAAUUAUAGUGCAGGUAGUCUUCCAGUUUACGCUCUACACUCCAGGAUAAGCUCGCAUAUAAUUGACAGCUAUAAUCCUUCCAACACUUUGUGAUGCAAAGCAGAGGGAUAGGUUGGCUUAAAAAUAUAUAAGGUCACUUAUGCAUCGCUCUUCACACACUUAGACCCUGUUUGUGUGGGCUUUAAGUCCCGGCUCAAGCUAUUUCGACUUAAUCACUUCCGAGACCAAUACCAACAAGUUAAGAUAUCUAAAUAUGUAUGACAAUCAGUUAGAAGGACUAUUGCCGGGCAACAACCUUCUCAAAGAGUUGCCAGUUAAGAUAUCUAAACAUGUAUGACAAUCAGUUAGAACUUUAGAAGGACUAUUGCCCCCAUCUUUGUCAAACUGUAAGCACUUAAAAAUUCUUGACAUCGGGAACAAUAAAAUGGGUGGUACAUUCCCUUCAUGGCUAUUUAAUCUCGGAGAGCUAGAAGUCCUAGUCUUGCGAUCAAAUAGACUGUACGGUCCUGUAAGUGGAAGGAGCACAUCACAUCCAUUCCCCAAGUUGCGGAUUCUAGAUCUCUCCAACAAACAAUUCGCGGGCUAUUUGCCAAUUCUAAACUUUAAGAAUAUGAAACCAGCUGCUGAUGAUAACGCGUAUAGUUAUAAAAAUAAGUCACAAGGACUAAUUAAUUACAUCUAUGAAGCAUCUAUCUCCUUAAAUGUGAAAGGAACAGAGUAUGAAGUGAAGAACAUUCUUCAUAUUUACACAGCCAUUGAUCUAUCGUGCAACAAAUUUCACGGAGAAGUUCCAAAGAGAGCUUAAAUGGCUUGCAUUGCUCAAUCUAUCUCAUAAUAGUCUUGCCGGACAUAUGUUCUGAAUUAUUAUUAUGCUUUCAUCAAUAUUUUCAAACAUUUCUCAAUAUGUAUUUUCAAAGAAUUCUCAAGCCCUGGAACAUUUGGACCGGUUCUUUGGAAGCCAAGAUACCCAGGUUAUCAUGGCCAUGCACAAAAAUGAAUAAAUUAUUCCAAGUCUUCCAUGACUCAUUCCAAGUCUUCGGAGGAGACCCUGAGCACAAAGAUGCUCAGGGUCUCCCCAAGCCUUCCAGGACUCAUUCCAAGUCUUCGGAGCACGGUCUCGCCUCGCCCUUUCAAAGAUGUGAUAGUAGCUCGAGAGUGAUAUAAAUUAUUUUCCCGACACUAAAAAUAAAUAAUCAGAUCAAAUUAAUCAAUAAUGUAUUAAGGAUGAAAUCCAAAUUAAUCCUAAAUUUUGAUAAUAUAUAAAAAUUAUAAUUAUAAAUUAUAUACCAAAUCAGAAUUGAAUUAAUUCCUUGGCACUAAAAUUGAUAAAGAAAGUAUAAUAAUUUAAAUUUAAUUGAUGAAAAGUCAAAGUCUUCUAAUAAAUCCAUAAAGAAUAUGAUAAUCAAAAUAAUGAAAAUUAUAAUUGAAAAAUCAAAAUCAUUAGUGUAUUGGAAUAGUGUUCACACACUUGUAUAUCAAAAUUUGUGGUCCAAAAACUAUAGCACAAUAUCCUAAAUACACCACAUUAAAUAUUAGUUCAAAAAUAUUUAGUAAAUAAUUGUUUUCAUUCAUCAUUUUGUUAUUUAAAAAACUAAUAAUUUGGGUUGAUGUUAACCUAUAUUUUAAUAUAUAAUUAUAUUAUUUUCGUCUUAUUUAUUUAACUAGAAACAAUAUUUUUAUCAUACAUCAAUUAUAUUAAAAGAUAUAAUUUUAUUAAAAAAAUUGAAUUAUUAUUUAUGAAUUCCAGCAUGAAGCGUAUAAAUAGAAGUGUGCAGUUGAUCAGAUUUAUAACCCAGUUGAUCAGGAGAAACAUGGCAUACUCUGCAAAGACUUCUCACCUUCUUCUCUUUGUUUUCUUUCUCUCAUCACUUGAAUCCAUUCUUUCAACAAGACGAGAGGGAGAAGCUCUUGUGAAGUGGAAGAAUAGCCUAGCCCCUUCUUCUUUUCUCGACUCUUGGUCACUCACCAAUCUCGAAAAUCUUUGUAACUGGACUGGCAUUACUUGUAACUCUGCAGGUUCAGUCUCUGAGAUUAACCUUUGUGAGAAACAACUUGAUGGAAUGCUGUCCGAGUUUGGUUUCACUUCAUUUCCAAAUCUAAACAGUCUCACCCUCGCAGACAACUUCUUCUCGGGUCCAAUACCACCAGCCAUUCAGAACUUAACAAGGCUUCAAUACCUUGAUUUAAGCUUGAAUUAUCUCAAUGGUACCAUGCCUUUCUUGCGCAUCCUCAACCUCAGUAGCAAUCCUCUUGCGUCGAAAUUCCCAGAUUUUAUAUCCAGUUCUCAAAGCCUGACUCACCUUGACCUUUCAUAUAACAUGUUUACCGGUGAUCUAGCAUGUGAACCAUUAUUUGCCAACCUGCAUAAUCUUGAAGUCCUCAGUCUCGUUGAAAAUUCUUUUGAGGGGCCAUUUCCACCGGAUAUAUUCAGGCUUUCCAAAUUAAAACAUCUUAGCCUGUCAGUUAACAAACUUUCAGGUUCAAUUCCCAAUGACAUAAGGUUGCUUUGUGAUCUUGAAUACCUAUAUUUAGCCAACAAUUCCUUUGAAGGACCACUUCCACCAAAUAUAUUCAAGCUUUCAAAAUUAAAACAUCUUGUUCUUUGGGGUAAUAAGUUUUCAGGUUCUGUUUCCAAUGAUAUAGGUUUGCUUUCGGCGCUUGAAGCCCUCGAUCUUUAUUCUAAUUUUUUUGAGGGGCCGCUUCCACCAAAUAUAUUCAAGCUCUCAAAACUAAGGAUUCUUUCCCUUGGGAACAAUAACUUUUCAGGUUCUGUCUCUAAUAAUAUAGGUUUGCUUCCUGAGCUUGAAACCCUAUGUCUUGACUCUAAUUUGUUUGAGGGGCCGCUUCCCCCACAUAUAUUCACGCUCUCUAAAUUAAGAUAUCUAGACCUCUCAAACAAUAGAAAUUUAUUUGAAAGAAGUAUUCCUAUUGGAUUGGGACUCUUGACUAACCUCAGGUACUUAGAUCUAUAUUCCAGUAAUCUCAGCGGCUAUAUUCCAUCUGACAUUGGAAACCUGAAGCUACUAGUAGGUCUUAAUCUCGGUUCUAAUAAAUUGACUGGACCAGUUUCAAAGAUCGUUUCUAAUCUCACAAAUCUUAUAUUUCUUAGUGUAAGAAAUAAUAGUCUUAGUGGAAAUAUUCAGAGUGACUUGUGGAACUUCCCUAAGGAAUAUAACAAUCAUCCAACUUUGGAAUACAUCGAUUUAAGUGGGAACCAUUUUACAGGUAUCUUUUCUCUAUAUAUCUUUUCCUUUUCUCAUAUGUAACUAAGCUAGUAAUCUGAUUAUUGCAGUUUUACCAAAGUUUCAACAAUCUUGACAGGUGAGCUUCCAACAACAAUUUGCAAUGUCACUUCCCUUUCGGUUCUUGAUUUGUCAAAUAAUGGAUUAAGUGGUGCACUUCCAAACUGUUUCGGGAAUCUUGCUGAUGGAUUGCUUUACCUUAAUCUUGCUAAUAAUCAGUUUCGAGGAACAAUACCAACUACUUUCUCCAGGAGUUGUCGGCUGAAAUAUCUAAACAUGGAUAAUAAUGAGUUUGAAGGAUUGAUGCCCCCAUCUUUGGCGAACUGUAAGAACUUGAGAAUUCUUGAUAUUGGCAACAAUAAAAUAGGUGGUACAUUUCCGUCAUGGCUUUAUGCACUUGGAGAGCUAGAAGUCCUUGUCUUGCGAUCAAAUAAACUCUAUGGUACAAUAAGUGGAAGGAGCAUAGAAGAUCCCUUCCCCAAGUUGCGGAUUGUGGAUCUGUCCAACAAUCAAUUCACAGGCCAUUUGCCAAUUCAAUACUUUAAGAAUAUGAAAUCAACUGAUAAUUUGUAUCGUUAUCAGAAUGACACAGGAGAUUUUAUUUUCCAUUAUGAAGCAUCUGUCUCAUUAACUGUGAAGGGAACAGAGUAUGAAGUGAAAAAUAUCCUUCAUAUUUACACAGCCAUUGAUCUGUCGUGCAACAAAUUUCAGGGAGAAAUUCCAAAGGUUACUGGAGAGCUUAGAUGGCUUGCAUUGCUCAACUUAUCUCAUAAUAGUCUUACUGGACCUCUCCCAUCACUGCUUGGAAAUAUGGAAGCACUCCAAUCUUUAGAUUUGUCUUCAAAUCAACUGACAGGGGCUAUUCCACCUCAGUUAACCGCAUUGACAUUUCUAGAAGUCUUAAACCUCUCGAGAAACCAUCUUAGUGGAGAGAUUCCUGAGAAAGGACAGUUCAGCACAUUCAACAAUGACUCUUAUCUAGAAAACUCUGCGUUAUGUGGAUCACCCUUGACGAAGAAAUGUGUAAACACUGCAUCACCCCCACAGGAAGUCGGAAAUGGUGAUGAAGAUGAUGCUGGUGAUGAGUUGACAUGGGAAGCAAUCGUGAUGGGAUAUGGAUGUGGACUGAUAUGUGGAUUGUCAUCUGCAUACAUUGUUCUCAAACUAGGAAGGCCUUGGUGGUUUGUGAGAUAUGUCGAAGUACUGCAACUGAAGUUGAUGAAAAGAUAUGCAUGAAGAAAGGUACUGGUCGAUCAAGACAAACUUGAAAGUUGUUGUCCUGGUAGACAUUUCUGAACCAGUAGUGUACUAGCUGCAUAAGUAUUUGGUAUUAUGUAAUAAUCCAUUUGGUCGGGACUCAUAAUGAUUUCUCUUGCUUCAGGGGUAUUAAUAUUAACCUUGCUAUCUUGAUCUGUGUUAAUGCAAAUGAAAAAGAAUGGAAAAACAAAAAAAUUGCAUCAAACCUGUUGUACCAAGAUCCAUUAAUCUGCUUUCAUCUCUUACGCAACAAUUUAACAGCACUUUCACACUGUUUGAAUGAUUAUCAUAAAUUCGAGUUUUCCUCGCCAGCACCAAAUCCAAAUAUACAAUCCCACACAUUCCAGUCUCAGCUUCAGCUCCCAGGCUAGCAUUGAUUUAGCCAAGCACGACAGUGGCCGCUUGUGUGCCUAACAAUGACAGUUGGGGAUUUGAUGGAACGUGCCUUGGUCCUGCCUUCAAAUGUCUAACAAUAACAGUUGGAUAUGUCGACAAAAAAAUUGUUCCUCACACUGAGGAAUAACUCUGACAGUUCUUUUCAUUGUGCCUUGGUCCAGUAAGUGGAAGGAGCACAUCACAUCCAUUCCCCAAGUUGCGGAUUCUAGAUCUCUCCAACAACCAAUUCACGGGCUAUUUGCCAAUUCAAUACUUUAAGAAUAUAUGAAACCAGCUGCUGAUAAAGCGUAUAGUUAUCAAAAUAAGUCACAAGGACUAAUUAAUUACAUAUAUGAAGCCUCUAUCUCCUUAAAUGUGAAAGGAACAGAGUAUGAAGUGAAAAACAUCUCUUUAUAUUAUAGCUCCUGAUGCGUGAUUUGUACAGUUACCACACUGCUUAAUUCUUCACCUCAAAGUUCCACCUUAUUACAAAAAUGCCACCGCUCUAUUAAGCGGCACCCACGUAAGCUCAUUGCCACCACGUGCUAUCUUCCUGCUGUCUUUUGUUUAUUUUAUUCACUAAACCGUACUUACCCGAAGCUUAUGUAACAAGCUUACAUUCUUUACAUUUUACUCAUUUCAAAAUUUAAAACCCAGCCUCCACGGCUCCCUUACAAAAGUAACCGGUUUGAACGUAAAGUUUUCAAAACUAACCAGCCUACGUUCAACUUUUCAAAACUAACCAGCCUAAAUCAAAAAAAGUCGGGCGACCCUUACCUGUUUUUUUCCCGAGCACCGGUCGCCCUCCUCAGGGGCGUCCCCCAUUGGAGUUCAUCAAGCACAGGUCGCCCUCCUCAGGGGCGUCCCCCCUUGAAGUUCUGUGACGUGGUCCGCCCAAUCACGGGCGACCACGUGUGACACUACCCCCUUAAAACCCCCUCCCAGCCACACAAACACACAAUUACACACACAUUUGCACACACUCAGUUUGAAAACAACACUGCAGCAGCCACAGCAAGGAGCCGAAAGGGGAGAUUUUGGUAAAGGAAGGAAGAAAAGUGGGAGAGGAUCGCCCGAGCUAGCAUCAAGGUCGCCCACCCUAGCAAAAAAUUUGAAGGUACUACCUUAUUCCUCCCCUAAAUAUUAGUAUAUAAAGCCUUGAUUUGUAAUUUAUUACUUGAUUAGUUUGUCUUGCAUGUUACAAAUAUCGAUUAUGUUCAUGAUUAUGGCUAAUUUAUAGACUAGUGUUAUAAUUACCGGCUUGAGAUUAGUGUUAUAAUUACCGGAUUGAGAUUUGGUACAUUAUGAUUUUUAAAUUUGUUAAAAAAUUUAAAGAUUUAUAAUAGAAAUUAAGGAUAAUUUAUAGAUUUGAUAUGUUGGAAUUUAAGAUUUUAUGCUUUUUAGAUUUUGUAGGUAGUAAUUAAAUUUAGUUGGAGAGAAAAAAUAUAAUAUAAUAUUCGAAUUAAAAAGAUAUUGAGAAUAUAAUAUUCGAAUUAAAAAAUAUUCGAAUUAAAAUAUAUUAAAAUAUAAUAUUCGAAUUAAAAAUAUAAUAUAAUAUUCGAAUUAAAAUAUAAUAUAAUAUAUAUUCGAAUUAAAAAAUAUUCGAAUUAAAAUAUAUUAAAAUAUAAUAUUCAAAUUAAAAAUAUAAUAUAAUAUUCGAAUUAAAAUAUAAUAUAAUAUAUAUUCGAAUUAAAAAAUAUUCGAAUUAAAAUAUAUUAAAAUAUAAUAUUCGAAUUAAAAAAUAAUAUAAAAUAUAUUGAGAAUUAAAAAAAUUAGAAAGCAAAUAAAAUAUUCGGAUAAAAAAGAUAUUAAUAGCUAAUAUUAAAAAAAAUCGAUUUAUAAUAAUAAAAAUUCGAAAAAAAGCAAAAUAAUCGAAUUAAAAUAAAAUUUUCGAACAUAUAUUAAUAAAAAUCUUAAUUAUAUUAAUAUAUAAUUCGAAUAUAUGAAAUUUCGAGAAUUAGAAUAUUUAUGAAAUUAAGAGAAUUAAAAUAAAUAGGAAAUUCGAACAAAAAUUAAUUUAAGGUACGCUCUCGAUUCUCUCUAAAUUAAUGUGUAUAUAUAUAUAAUGACUUGAUUUGGAUUAUUGUUGUUUUAUUAGCUUGAGUUGCAUGUUAUAAGAUCGGUUAGUUUAUUGAUUGUGGCUUGAGAUUUGUUAUAAUUGAAAUUAAGGCUAAUUUAUAGAUUUGAUAUGUUGGAAUUAAGGCUAAUUGAAAUUAAGGCUAAUUUAUAGAUUUGAUAUGUUGGAAUUAAGGCUAAUUGAAAUUAAGGCUAAUUUAUAGAUUUGAUAUGUUGGAAUUUAAGAUUUUGUGCAUGUUAGAUUUUGUAGGUAGUAAUUUAAUUUAGUUAGAAACAAAAGCUUUGAAUUCGAAUUACAAAUAUUAUGUUGGAAUGAGAUUUUGUAUAUAUACAAAAGCUUUGAAUUCGAAUUAUAAAUAUAUUUGAAAAUUGUUGGCGCAGAUGGAUCCUGCAGCUUAUCAUCCCGGGCCGGUUAACGGCACUUUGUUGACAUUGCAGGACACGCAUAGGUCCACUUUUGUGUGGAACAGUAGUACGGUAAUGACUUGAUGGACUGUUGUUUAUUAAAGUUAAUGUUUGCUUCACUAUAAACUGCUGACAAGUUCCUGUAUUUUAAAUUGCAGGACAUUCCUGAUCUUAGAGUCAGGACGAACUUCGGUGAGUACUGGAAUGUAGUUGACCAAACCAGGCCGCCUCAGACGAUAAUAGAUGCUAUUAAUGAUGCGGGCUUUGAGUGGGUGUUCAGGUUGGGUCAGGUCAAGCAUGACAGGGGCUUGAUCACUGCUUUUAUCGAGAGGUGGCGUCCAGAGACGCACACUUUUCAUCUACCUUUCGGGGAGGCCACCAUUACACUGGAGGAUGUCCAUCACAUUCUCGGGUUACGAACCACUGGCCGGCCAUUUAUUCUACAUGGCUUCACCACCACAGCUCGCGAGAGAUUGGCCAUGAUACGCGAUGUUCUUGGAGUGACUCCUAAGCCGGCUGAUGUGAGGAAGAACGGCUUGAGGAUCGGUUGGUUGAUUGAAAAAUUUGGCGACUGUGCCCGGUUGGACGAGGCAGCGGAGGAUUUUGAUGCACAGACUAUCUUUCACAUCAGGGCACACCUACUGUGUGUUAUUGGAUCGUUGUUUCCUGAUAGCAGCGGGAACUAUGUGAAUCUCAACCUCCUUUGGAUGCUACGUGACUUGCAGAGCGUGGAUGGUUAUAGCUGGGGGAGUGCUGUUCUUGCAUACCUUUAUAGGAAGAUGUGCGAUUCCACCCAUAAAGUCACAACCGGCUUCAUUGGCUACGCCACCACUACGCCAUAUAUGAUCUAUCGCAAUGGUAUGAACGCGAGUGUUGCAAAAUUAUGUUGCAAUAGAGACACUGAUCCAUAUCUACCGCAACGAUAACCAUUCAUGUCAAUUAUAUGUUGCAAUAGCAAACAUUAUGUGUUGCAGCUUGUAAUAUACUUGUAAAAGUGUUAGCUUAAAGUAUUAUAAUAUUAUUUUAACAUUAAAUAAUAAUUUAAAUUAUUUUAACAAUAUUUUAAAGUGAUAUGCAAAUUAAAUAAAUAAGAUACGCGAUGAUAUGCAAAUUUUAUUCAUAAUAAUUAAAAAAAUUAAAAUAGGAAUUUUAAAAGUAAUUAAUUUUUUUAAAAGCAAUGAAAAGUAAAAAUAAUUAAAUUCCCCUUGUUUUGAUAUCAGAACUGAUAUAUAAGUUUCAAAAAUAAAAAUAUAGAUAUACGAAUUAUAAGUAGUAAUAAAUACAUAUAAUGAAUUUUGUUCCUAAAAUAAUUACAUGAAUUUUAUUUGUUAAAAUAAUAAAGUAUAGGUGCAGACGUGCAGUACAUUAUUUGACUUUAUUGAACUGGGCAAAUAUCGAGCUCAAAGCGGGUAAAAAUUAGGCUUACAGCCGCCCAAAUUUUCAGCCAAGUUUGAAAUUUUCACACAUACACUAUACACGCUCGAGUCUCCUUGAAUACCCUCAACACUCACUACACUCUCUCCCUCGCUCAACUCUCUCUCCCUUCUCUACUCUCUCUCUCUUGUUAAUCUCUCUGAAGCUAAUCUCUCUCUGGCCACCAUUUUCACUCAAUCUCGCCAUCACUUUUAAUUAACUUGGAUUUGCAUUUAUAGUUGGAGCACAGUUGAUUUGUGGGUCGAGGUUCCAAUUCUUCAAUUAGGGUUUUGGCUUUUCAAUCAGGGUUUUGGUUCUUCAUUAAACUUCAAUUAGGGUUCAAUUACUUACAUAUAAUCUCUUAAACUUCAUCUGAUAUCUCUUUCUCUUUGAUUUCAGGUGUUCUUAGUUUGGGUUUGCACUCCAAGACUUUAUUAUAAGGUAUUUUUGAAUUUAGGGCUUCAUGUUAUGAGUUUAUUUGCAUUUAGUGUUCUUUGUUUUUAUGUUUAUUUGGUUUAUUAUCUUUAUCUAGUUUAUUUCCUUUGAUUUUUUGUUUUUUUUUUCAUUUGUUUUGUGAAAUUGCAAUACUCUGUUUUUGUGUUAAUUUUUUUGUUGCUUAAAAGUGUUCAACAACAAUAUUCUUCUUAAUUAUAAAAGAUCUAUCACGAGGAAGAGGUCCCUGUUUUGUAUAAUAUCUUGUAUGUCUUUUCUUUUCUGUAUAUUAUUAAGCUACCUUGGGGCAUCCUUUUUCUAGACCAGAUUUCGUGCGCAAUCUUUAGUAAAGAGCAAAUAUUCCGAUUCUUUUGCAUUUGUCUCAAUGUCAGUGCUUUGCAUAUAUGGAUAUAUUUUACAUGAAAAUGGUGCUUUUGUUGUUGGCCUGCUUAAUGUUCAAGACAUGUAGUCAACUCAGUUUAGUGUGACAAUAAGACUUUCUCAUUUCAUUAUGAUUCUCACAUAUUUUAUGCUCGUCACAGUACAACACAGUUUUGUAUUUGGUGUGAGUGAGCAGUAAAGAAUUCUAUGGAAGAUGCUAGUGACUACCGGUGGUAUAUAACCAGGUAAAAAUAAUGCUCAGUUGAUAAUCCUUAUAAGGGAGGCUCUUACUAUUUCUUCCUCUUUAACAUUGAGUUGUUUUAAUGUACAUACUAGCUGGUUGCUCAAGUGUUCUAUCAUUAUAAUGUAUACAUUGGAUACAAUAUUUGUUCAAUGAGGUAUCUAACUAGCUUGCUGAUGGCCGGGGACUAUAGAUUUAUUCAUUGCUAAUUGGUUAUAUUCGUUGUACCUGUUAUGCCUCAAUCAUAAUGGCAUAGUGACAAUAAAAGGAAAACGAAUUAUAAAUAUUUCACAUAGCAUGCUCUAGUUAUCUACAACUAUUGUUUUGGACUUCUGGUUUGGCAUUUAUAAUAAGUUGGCAUAUGUCUUUGAAUUCAUAUAGUUUGUAGCAUGACCUAAUUGGCACAAGUCAUCCUCUGCCAUGUCUUAUAUCUUUAGUUAGUAAGAAUUAAUAUUUCCCAUGUUUCAGCCACUAUACAAAUAUUGAUCAUGGACGAAGUUCUUACCCUGUUUAGUAUUAAUUUCAUUAUCUGCUGCAACUUUAUUGUGUUAUCUGUGCACUGCCCAACUAAGUACACAUAAUUUGAGUUUAAAAUAAAGCAUGCUUCUUUACUGGAGCUCAGCUUAGUAGUUGCAUUGUAUUGUUGCAGGAGAAGCUUAAGCCGUUAAUGGAUCAACUUAACAAAGUCAAAGACUUGACUGUUCCAGAAUUUGGAAAUUUCCGAACUUGAGAAGUGCGAGCAAAUGCAAGAAUAUGUUUAUAUAUAAUAGUGUAGUGUAGUGGGAUGUUUGGUUGGAUUCGUUUAAUACUUUGAUUUGGUUGGAUUUGUUAGGUAGUUUUGUUUGGUUGGAUUUGUUAUAAACUUUGAUUUGUAUGAAAGAAUAGUUUAAUGUUUCAGUGGAUAUAGUGAAAUAUUGCAAAGUUGUUAAUUUAGUCUUGCAUUAGCACAUAUAUGUUGUAGUAGCUAAUAUAUAUAUGUUUCAAUUUAUAACAAAAAAUGUUGCAAACAUGCAACUGAAAAACAGGUGUCCAAACAUAGGACCCACAUGUGUGACCCACGUGUGGGUCCCACUUUUUUUGAAAUCAGGAGGUCUAACGUAACAUAAUAUAUUUGUUGCUAUAGGGUAGUCAGAUGUUGCAAUAUCACGUCUAUUGUAACAUAAAAAGCCGUGUUGCAGUAGGUUACCCAAAUGUUGCAAUAGAAGCCUAGGGCAACAUGAAAAAAUGCAACUUAAAUUUUAUGUUGCAAUAGCCCUUUUUCGGGCUAUGGCAACAUAUUUUGGGGUUAUGGCAUCAUUUUUUUGAUGUUGUCNNNNNNNNNNNNNNNNNNNNNNNNNNNNNNNNNNNNNNNNNNNNNNNNNNNNNNNNNNNNNNNNNNNNNNNNNNNNNNNNNNNNNNNNNNNNNNNNNNNNNNNNNNNNNNNNNNNNNNNNNNNNNNNNNNNNNNNNNNNNNNNNNNNNNNNNNNNNNNNNNNNNNNNNNNNNNNNNNNNNNNNNNNNNNNNNNNNNNNNNNNNNNNNNNNNNNNNNNNNNNNNNNNNNNNNNNNNNNNNNNNNNNNNNNNNNNNNNNNNNNNNNNNNNNNNNNNNNNNNNNNNNNNNNNNNNNNNNNNNNNNNNNNNNNNNNNNNNNNNNNNNNNNNNNNNNNNNNNNNNNNNNNNNNNNNNNNNNNNNNNNNNNNNNNNNNNNNNNNNNNNNNNNNNNNNNNNNNNNNNNNNNNNNNNNNNNNNNNNNNNNNNNNNNNNNNNNNNNNNNNNNNNNNNNNNNNNNNNNNNNNNNNNNNNNNNNNNNNNNNNNNNNNNNNNNNNNNNNNNNNNNNNNNNNNNNNNNNNNNNNNNNNNNNNNNNNNNNNNNNNNNNNNNNNNNNNNNNNNNNNNNNNNNNNNNNNNNNNNNNNNNNNNNNNNNNNNNNNNNNNNNNNNNNNNNNNNNNNNNNNNNNNNNNNNNNNNNNNNNNNNNNNNNNNNNNNNNNNNNNNNNNNNNNNNNNNNNNNNNNNNNNNNNNNNNNNNNNNNNNNNNNNNNNNNNNNNNNNNNNNNNNNNGCUUAUCCUCGUAUGUAGUUUGUUUAUGGUUAUGUACCUGACCAUGUACUCGUACAUUUUUAUUUCUUGAUCUGAUUAUGUACUCUUAGUCUAGUAGAUCGGUUGUUACGUUAUUAUGCAGUUCUUGUGCAUUCUUAUGUCAUAAUGUUUUAUAAUGAUUCAAGCAUUGAAAUUCAUAUGGACAAUAAAGGAAACCUAACAUAACAUAAUAAACGACAGAACACUAAAACACAUACACAUGUUGAUCUUUCUCGAAACCAGUAAAACUGACUUUAUUUUGACUAAACUUUACAUAUAUCAAAUAACUGAAAAAAAUAAUAUAAAAUUUGAAUUACUUGAACAACAAAAGUUGAGACAUUACAUAUAAGAUACAAUACAUAUAGUAAUGGGGGUGAUCUUUUGGAGAAAAUACCUAACUCAAAGGGAUUUCUUCAAAUAAUUUGAGAUGGGUCAGAGCUUCAAGAAUCUGUGUACUCUGCUUUUACAAGUACAAAGUGGGAAAAAGUGAGACAUAAAUAAAAUGUAGUGAAGUAUUUGAGAUGGGAGAAAGUAAAACUAACUUAAUUUCAUAUUAAUAUUGUGAAGAUAUUAGCAUAGAAUGAUAAAUAUACAUUUCUACUACCCAUUUAUAAAAGAAAUAUUAUAAAAUAUAAAACUCUACGCUUUAAAUUUAAAUUGUUUUAAGUUGUUUUCUAUUAAAUUAUUUUCCCCACAGGGGAAAAUAAUAUUAAAUUGUUUUAAUAUUAUUGUUUUAUUAUUAUUUGAUUAUUAAAUUAACGAGUACAUAAUUUGUAAAGUUUAGUGCUAAGAUAUAUAUAUUAUUUAAUUUUAUUAAUUAUAUUAAUUUCACAAAACAAUUAAAAUUUGAUUUUAAAUAAAAUAUUAAAUAUAUAAUACAAUAAUAUUAAAUGGCGUAUAAUCAGUGUUACAGAAAUCGGGAAUCGGACCUAAUCGGUUGAGCUACCGAUUCAGGGAUUAAUCGGAAAUCGGAGAUUAAUCGGACUGAAAAUCGGAUUUAUUUUAAUAUUAAAAUAUUAUUUAUUAUUUAGUUAUUAUUAUAUUAGGUAUCUAGUAACUAAUAUAUUUACUAUAUUCAUAAACUCUAUAAUUAUUCAUAUUUAAAGUAAUAUAGUAUUUUAAUUCUAAUAAUUUAUCACAUAUACUUCUAUUAGAAAAUAUGUUAUAAGGAUUAAUCGGAUUUUAAAAAUCGAAUCGGUGGCCGACCUUGCAGGAGAUUAAUCGAGGAUUAAUCAGUUAAAUCGGGGAUUUUUAGAACAUUCGGCGUAUUAUAAUACAAUUAUAUCAAAAUUUAAAAAAAAAUCAGUACCUCAGUUUGGGUAUCGGUCAGCCACCUAGGACAAGUGAAUGAGUGAAACCGCUACAAAAAAUGUAGUAGUAUGGGUCGCCCCUGUCAAGGGCGAUCCUAACUGUAUUUUGUAACAGUAUGGGUCGCCCCUGACGAGGGCGACCUGAACGGGGAAAAACUUCAGCUUGGGUCGCCCGACUUUUUUUGAUUUAGGCUGGUUAGUUUUGAAAAGUUGAACGUAGGCUGGUUAGUUUUGAAAACUUUACGUUCGAACUGGUUACUUUUGUAAGGGAGCCCAGCCUCCACCAUUGCAGCUCUGAGCAGCCAUGAACCAGGUUAUACUCCAGUCUCCUUUUCUCCCCCGCGUGUGUAAGUCUGUACUGCAGCCCACAUUUUCAACACGCUUCUGUCCUAAGCUUCGCAAGAAAUAUCUUUUUUUUGAAAUUCAAAAAAUUUGCGCACCAUAUCAUCGUCCAGCCAAACCACCAUCGGCGAAUCAGCAAAUAUACAUAUCAGAUCUAAUAUACACCAAUCUGAGCUUUGAUGACUGAGGUUUGAUUUGUGUUUUAUUUAAUAAAAUGAUAAAAUGAUGUCUUCUUUCAUGAUCAUGCGAUUAAUCGAUUGUAACUUUAAGGGAGAUGGAACAAGCAAUUCACGACGUCUAUUUACCUCCGAAGACAUGAUUAGUGGUAUGGUUACAUAAAUUUAACUUCUCUAUUUUUCUACCAUGUGUGGCCUAAUUGUUUCAUCUCUUGCUUUGUAGGUUAUCAGUCCAAAAAGCGGAGGAAAAGGGGCUACACAAUUAAGAGAUGAAACAGUAUUGAGCAUGUGAGCUUUAAAACUUGAUGAUUAAAUUUUUCAUAUUAUAUUUGUUCUGUAUUUAGAAAUUUGUGGAGGAUGUGUUUGAUAAUAUGUCUGAGAGAAGAAGUUAAUAAAUUUAUCGUGUUGAGGAUGUGUUUGAUGAUAUGUCCGAGUGAAAAAAUUAAUAAAUUUAUUUUCAAAAUGUUGCGAACAAAUUGUAAUUUAUAUCUAGCAGCUUCAAAUAAUUUUUUUUAGAGCAAAAAGAAUCGCAAUUGCAUGUGAAGAGAUGCACCUCCCUGAUAUUAGACUUUUAGUGUAAUUGCAUGUGUAACUAAACCGCUUGACUAUAAUGUUGGUGUAGAGUACGGAGCUUUAAUUUAUGAUGUUCUCCUCAAUCUGUCCAAAUUAUAGCUGAUCGUGGGAAUCAACUUUAGGGUAAGCUCUGCUCUGAAACUCAUUUUCUUAUAUUGGAACUUGGUUAUUUCUUAAAUGAAACGACUUUGACGUUUUCACCGAGUAGUCAUAGAUGCGUGAGUUGUACAAUAGUAAAAGAAAAAUAAAUUACAUAAAGACUGUCUGAGGUAAAAUAGUAUACAAGCUGCAAUUUUAUAUUUGGUACAUUGACGUAAAAAGUUAUUGUUAUGUUCAGGGGGAGGUGCUGAGAAAUGACAUGAUUAUAUCAUACGAGCGGCGACAAACUACUGAAGUUGCAAAAGAAAUGAUCUUAAAGAAAGCAGAGAAAGUGGGGGAGUUUUUUCAAGAAAAGAAUUUAAAGAGGAGAUGAGAUGCCAGAGUAUUACGCGCUAUUGCCGAAACAGGAUUAAAAACUAUAUUGGGUAUCUCUUCUUGAUCUCUUGAUUAAUUCCACUAGGAAGCUUCAAUAUUAUAUAGGAAGUUUUCUUUUUAAGCUUAAUUUUGAAUUUGAAUCCUCAAACUAUAACUACUGUAUAUCUCUUUAUAUUAUAGCUCCUGACGCCGGGAACUUCCCCUUCUACAACCAGCCCAACUGUACAUAACAGUUGCUUGCUUAUGAAUUUCAAAUUUAUAUUAUAAUGUUUAUAUGUAAUAUUGAAUCAAAGUUGCUUGCUUGCUUAUGUAAUAUUGAAUAUCUACUGUUGGAUGAUUGUUAACUGCUGUGUUACCAAGUGUUUGAUUAAAUUCCUACAAGUUUUGUUUGAAUUUUGUUCUUUAUUUAUCAUUAGUAUGUUUCAUUUUUAUGUUUGACUCUAUGCUAAUCGCUGAUAAGAUUUCUAUGAUUAUAGGAGAUGAGUGUUCUUAUGGCAUGAAUGAUAUUGGAAAAGUGAAAUGUGUUGAUGCUUUGUGUAAAUAAAUCAUGAUCUGCCGUUAUAGUUUUCUGUUUGUUUUCAAUUUGUGUGUACCUAGGUGGUUGUUACUGAGCAUUGAUCAACUGUGUUAAUUAAUUUAUUAAAAUGGAGUUGAGUCUGAGAACUAAAGGGCAAUUAUAUACUUCUUUAGGCUUUCCUUAACAUGUUUUUAUUCAUUAAAAAAAAUCGAUGAGUUUUUAUAAAUAUAUAUACUCUGUUAUUUUCUCUGUACCUAAUUAAAAGGAUUUUAAUUCGAAUUAUAGGUGUUUGUCAUGUGAAUAUUAUCUAAAAGAUAAUGGGGCCGUUUGGGUUAGCUUAAAAGAAGUGACUUUUUGCUUAUAGUAAAGAAGUGGAGUAGAAGUGAGAAGUAAAUAAGUUAAUAAAGUGUUUGGAAAAGAAGCAGAAGCUGUGAGAGAGAAGCUAGCAUUCUCAGCUUCUUAAAAGUGCUUCAACUUCUUUACACAAACAGGUCAAGAGAAGCAGAAGCCAGAAGCAGCUUCUGCUUCUCUUGGCCAAACAGGCCCAAUAUCUUUAAGGUCUCUUGCAUUGGUCAUUUAAUGUGUUAAUUAAAAGUUUACAUUUAAAUUUUUUGAUCUAAUAAUUUUGGAUAGAUGGUUUGUGAGGUUAAUGAAUGAACUAAUAUGGAAUGAUAAAAUGUAGGAGGUCUGGAAAGAUGGGUUUCAAUGCAGGUUUAUUGCUACUUUCCUUCAGGUCUGCAUUGCUUUGGUCUGUCUUCAGGACUGAGACUGUGAUUGGUUUCGGAACAGACACAAGUAUAUAUAUGGACCAAUGCAAAGCACCUGAUUAUCAUACUUUAGGCUUUUGCUCUGCUUUCUAUGGUAAAAAAAAGUGACAUUACUUCGAAUCUGAUACAGUUUAUCCAAGAGCUUGCUUCAAUAUUAAGAAUGCAAUACGUGUUGCAGAUAAAAUUUUGACCAGCAACAUUGGGGCACCCAACCCAAAUCUAGCAACAUUGGCCGUGGAGCUUUAAAUAUCUCCGUAAGAUUCUUUUCCCUCGCAGGCAGGCAUCUUUUUCUGCGAAAAAUAUACAAGAAAAAAGGACUAAUUUGUUUAAUUGAAAAUAAAUUUCGGAUGAGUUGGAUUAAGAAUCAAAUGGAGAGUCCUGUUUUGGUUUCAUUUUGAUGGAGAGGUUGCUUAGGUCCUGUUUUGAUCGAAAGGUUGAAAAAAUAUUUGGUAUUUUUUGGUCUCAUUUUGGUUUGUUUCGUUCCUUCACAGGUGUGCAACAAGUGAUGAUAGUAUUUAAACAUGAUUAGCAAACUGCCCAGCAAUCCAUGCAUGGCAAGGGGAAUGCACAGCUUAAUGAUUUCAGUCUCCGUACCAUCCAAGUGCAACAAAAAUCAAUUAUCUUGUGAUGUCUAGGAUUCUACAAAAGUAAGAAGCCUUCAUUCAUCUUCAUUCAUCCCCUGUUACUAGAAAAGCAUUGGUAGCCUAUAAGCAGGUACACUAAGUAGCUCACCUAAUUUUUGCAUUUCAGUAUCAACGGAAAGUGGUGCAGGACUCCACUUUAUAAUUAAAUUAUGUGUCUAAAUUAUGCGUGUUGUAAUGUUUAGUGACCAUGUUCCAGACCCGACAUGUCCUUACUUGGCAGAUCAAGUUAUCCAAGAUUUGGGAAGGAGUUUCGCCUUUGAGAUCUCCAACAAGUAAGAAGAAAUAAUGUCAAGGAAUGAACUAAUGUAAAAUGAUAAGAAGAUGAAGGUAUAAAACAAUGAUUAUAAUGUAGGCUUCUUCGUAAUGUAAUGAACAAAAUAAUGGAGUAACUAUAACUAUUCUUGCUGCAAGCCUGUGUUUGUUUAAUGCUAUCUGGCAGUAGUUUAGCAUUGGUAUAUUCCUUAAGGUGGAUUUGGAUAGAGUGAGAGGAGACAUUACUUAUCUUUACCUAGCUACUGCUUUUCAUGAGAUUUGGGCAGAGCGUAACAUUAGAAUUCAUCAUCCUAAGAGUUUUAAAGUUGCAAACCGGCUUAUCAAGGACAUAAUAGCCUCUGUUACUAUUUUUACAUGCUCCUCUAUUGUUGUGUGAACUUGCUGAACUCCUUUUUUCUGUUGUUCUACUUACUAAAAUCUUUUUAAUUUUCUUUUGUUAGGUACACUAAGUGGUUCACUCAAUUUUGGCAUUUUAGUAUCAUUGGCAAGUGGUGUAGGACUCCAUGAUUCUGUGUUGUCCACAAGCAACGAAAAAAANNNNNNNNNNNNNNNNNNNNNNNNNNNNNNNNNNNNNNNNNNNNNNNNNNNNNNNNNNNNNNNNNNNNNNNNNNNNNNNNNNNNNNNNNNNNNNNNNNNNNNNNNNNNNNNNNNNNNNNNNNNNNNNNNNNNNNNNNNNNNNNNNNNNNNNNNNNNNNNNNNNNNNNNNNNNNNNNNNNNNNNNNNNNNNNNNNNNNNNNNNNNNNNNNNNNNNNNNNNNNNNNNNNNNNNNNNNNNNNNNNNNNNNNNNNNNNNNNNNNNNNNNNNNNNNNNNNNNNNNNNNNNNNNNNNNNNNNNNNNNNNNNNNNNNNNNNNNNNNNNNNNNNNNNNNNNNNNNNNNNNNNNNNNNNNNNNNNNNNNNNNNNNNNNNNNNNNNNNNNNNNNNNNNNNNNNNNNNNNNNNNNNNNNNNNNNNNNNNNNNNNNNNNNNNNNNNNNNNNNNNNNNNNNNNNNNNNNNNNNNNNNNNNNNNNNNNNNNNNNNNNNNNNNNNNNNNNNNNNNNNNNNNNNNNNNNNNNNNNNNNNNNNNNNNNNNNNNNNNNNNNNNNNNNNNNNNNNNNNNNNNNNNNNNNNNNNNNNNNNNNNNNNNNNNNNNNNNNNNNNNNNNNNNNNNNNNNNNNNNNNNNNNNNNNNNNNNNNNNNNNNNNNNNNNNNNNNNNNNNNNNNNNNNNNNNNNNNNNNNNNNNNNNNNNNNNNNNNNNNNNNNNNNNNNNNNNNNNNNNNNNNNNNNNNNNNNNNNNNNNNNNNNNNNNNNNNNNNNNNNNNNNNNNNNNNNNNNNNNNNNNNNNNNNNNNNNNNNNNNNNNNNNNNNNNNNNNNNNNNNNNNNNNNNNNNNNNNNNNNNNNNNNNNNNNNNNNNNNNNNNNNNNNNNUUUUACAUGCUCCUCUAUUGUUGUGUGAACUUGCUGAACUCCUUUUUUCUGUUGUUCUACUUACUAAAAUCUUUUUAAUUUUCUUUUGUUAGGUACACUAAGUGGUUCACUCAAUUUUGGCAUUUUAGUAUCAUUGGCAAGUGGUGUAGGACUCCAUGAUUCUGUGUUGUCCACAAGCAACGGAAAAAAAGCCUGCAGAAAUGUUUCGAAUACUUUGAACGAAAUAAAGGUACAUUAUUAGGCAAGUGAUUGUGGCGGCAGAGAUAGCAGUUUGAUUGCUACACAAUUAUGUGUUUCACAAGAUUUUGCUAUUUUAAAUUAUAGUAAAUUUGAUUAAAUCCCACUCGGAAAGUUUGAAAUUUCUUGAUGUUGCUUAGUUAAAAUUUGGAUAUGGACAAUUAUGAUAUUUGUGAAUUUGGGUUCUUUUUAUAGGUGAUUUUUGAACAUUGCUAGAAUGAUAUAUGAUCUCAGGCCUCACACUCUUAACAUCUUUACGAGGCUUACGAGGUUCGAGAUGAGUUGGUUACUUAACAUGAUUCGUUUAAUUUAAUUAUGUGUUUGUGUAGUUGGGUUGAUUUGUUGUUUGUUUCGUUUAAUUGUACAAUUAAGGAGAUGGUGUUUACAAUAAUAAUAUUGAAGAUAGUUUGUAACUAGAGUAUGUUGUUAAUAAUUUGGUUAUGAGAAAUUGAGGCCGACACAAGUUUAAUCUGGCUUUCUCGAGAUGAUCUGACCUCGAGAAGAAAGAUUAUCUCAAAGUAGUUUUGUAAGUUGCUUCUCUCUGUUUUUGGACAAUGUAAAUUCUUACAUUACAUCUGCCUCUUGCAGGUAACAUCUUUGCUUUUAGGCUCUUUAUAUCGCCGAUGUAAGUUUUGCUCCAUAAAUUUCAGUGUUUGGCUAGAUCUCCUACAACUGUACUUUUAAAGAAAAAUAGAAGAAAUCAAGAACUGAGUUUACUGUACUUUUGCAGUGAUAAUCAGAUAUGUACCGGUUUUGCUUCGCAUAGUCACACCUUUUCUUUGUACAAUUGCAGACCCACUUUUAGGGGUAUUAUGAUGAGGAACGAGUGUACAGAAGACUUCUCAGGUCUUCCAUAUCUAUAUGCCCUCCUGCACUGCUUGAUUUGUGCCUGGUAUGGCAUGUCGUUUAUGUCAGAUGAUAAUGUGCUUGAUAACUGUAACCUUAUACAGCUACAUUUACUUUAAAUGUCUUGAACACAGUGGUUGCAAAUAAUGGUUAAAUGAUUAAUAUUUACACUGAUCUACUGCUUUUACACUGAUCACUGCUUAUGAUGUUGAAAAACCAAAAUUUGGUGGAGAAAUUGGGAUCAAUGGAGGGAGCUUGCACUGACACACGAAAUCUGUCAAAGCCUAGAUUACAAAGUAAUACUUUACUUGACUGAUCGACGGUUCAACUCAGCAGGAUAUGGAGUAUGCUCGCAGUGUACAUAACAUCCAAUCUCCCAAGGUCUCAUCAUCUACUUUGGAGACAACCUCAAAAUGGGUGUAGUUGCACUUGCACCCAAAAAUGAAGCCAGUGCAAAAAUCAAAGAGAUGACCCAUUUGUUAAAAAUGUUGAGGCUGAAGAGUACAAGGGAACCAAGGUCAGAGAUGUCUCCUCCGCUAAGAGAUGAGGAAAUAUGGCAGUCGUUGGUAUUUGGGAAAUGCAUGUUAGCAAAUACAUGGAUUAUAAAUUGUAUGAGUGACAGGAUGAUAAUAUAGCGUCUCAUAGUCUAAUAUUGCCAAUGACAGGGCUAAUAGCAAUAGCACUUUCAAAAGUAGGUUUGCAGCUGUGAAAUUCACUCAAAGUUGUGAAAUUUGUGAAAUUUGCUUUUGCUCUAACAUGUAAUACCCCGGGUUCCAUUCUUUUGUUUACUUGAAUUUGAAUUGUAUUGUUAUCUUUGUUUUUUUAUUAUAAUUAUCCAAAAAUAGAUGUCCAUCUUGACUUUUGGUUGGUUAUUAGACAGAGGAAUUGAGCCCGGAAAUAAAAGUGUUACUAAUUAUCAUCCAUUAUUAAAGCAAUUAUUAUAUUAGACCAAUUUUAUUUUUGCACUAUUUGAAAUAUUCACUUUAUCUGAAUGAUGAAUGGUUCUUCUUUCAGUUAAUACAGUGUCAUUCACUGGUUAACAAAUGACCUCUUAAAUUAUUCAUGAAAUCAUUUAAAAAUAUAUAAAGUUUAAUUGACAAAUUUAUCUUUUUUAAUAAAAUUAUACUCAAAUUUUUGGUUGAAAUGUAUGUAGCUUUAAGAUUAUAAUCACUUUUAGCCGAAAGUACUUUAAUAUUAGUGUUCAUAAAAAUAAUUUUUGAAUAACUUAUUAAUGAUUAAUUAUUUUAUGUAACGGUUUAAUAAAAUUAUACAAAUAUAAUGAUUUCUAAUUUGAGAAUAGUUUUUUAUAGUUCAAAACAAAAUUUAUAAUAAAAAAAUUUAACGAGUUAUCAGUAAUUAAUAAUAUACAUUUACAAUUAAAUUAUCCAAAUUAAUUAUAAAAUAUUAAAAUUUAAAAUAUUUGACUAAAGUGCGAGGCGUCACCGCUCGGCGACGUCGAGGGGCACUUGAUAGAAUAUGACUUUUCAUAUAUUACAAAGUUUAGCUAUAUAAUUAUUUUGAUUAUAAGAUAUUAAAAUAUAAAAUAUUCGACUAAAGUGUGAGGCGUCGCCGCUCGACGACACCGAGGAGGACUUGAUAAAAUAUGACUUUUCAUAUAUUACAAAUGUUUAGCUAUAUAAUUAUUUUGAUUAUAAAAUAUUAAAAUAUAAAAUAUUCUACUAAAGUGUGAGGCGUCACCGGUCGGCGACGACGAGGAGCACUUGAUAGAAUAUGAUCUUUCAUAUAUUACAAAGUUUAGCUAUAUAAUUAUUUUGAUUAUAAGAUAUUAAAAUAUAAAAUAUUCGACUAAAGUGCGAGGCGUUGCCGCUCGGCGAGCCGAGGAGUACUUGAUAAAAUAUGACUUUUCAUAUAUUACAAAUGUUUGGCUAUAUAAUUAUUUUGAUUAUAAAAUAUUAGAAUAUAAAAUAUUCGACUAAAGUGCGAGACAUCGCCGGGGAGCACUUGAUAAAAUAUGACUUUUCAUAUAUUACAAAUGUAUUAUAUAAUUAUUUUGAUUAUAAAAUAUUAAAAUAUAAAAUAUUCGACUAAAGUGCGAGGUGUCGCCGAGGAGUACUUGAUAAAAUAUGACUUUUCAUAUAUUGAAAAUGUUUAGCUAUAUAAUUAUUUAAAUUAUAAAAUAUAAAAUAUUCGACUAAAGUGCGAGGCGUCGCCGAGCGGCGACGCCGAGAAGUACUUGAUAAAAUAUGACUUUCAUAUCUUUAAAAAUAUUAUGUAAUUUUCGAACGUAAAUGAAUUUUAAUUACGAAUUAACUUUUAUAAAUACUCAAGUUAUACAACGGUUUUUGUUGAAUUUGAUUUUUAUUUUACACUGAACUUUUAUUUUUAUAACUACAAAAUCACAAGUUAUAUUUAAUAUUUUUUUUAUAACUCAAUUGUUGUUUUCUUGCAUAUAAAAGUUUGUAAGUAUAAGUAAUGGAUAUAAUAACGUCAUAUUAAUUUUCAAAAUAUAAUCAAUAUUUUAAAUCUUAUUGACAAAAAAAGGACUAAAUUCUAUCUAUUAUUUUAAAAUAUUAUUUUAAAAUAUUAUUGUAUAUACAAAUACUCACAAAUACUCCAUGACGCUGACGAACAUCCAAUAAUCAUUAUCAGGUAGUGAAAGAUCUGAGGAACACAUUAAAAUUUGUACUUCAAUAAAACACAAUUGAAAGAUGAAUUUUAGCCAAAAUAAAUAUGCAUGAAUACAGGUUGGCAAAUUGGCGUAACAACCACUGAGCUACUCAAGUACAAGGACUCGAUGAAAGGCCUCUACUACUCCCAGAACCUGAAAAUGCUAUUUCUAUAAUUCCAUCACGUUAUUUAUCUUAUUUAAUGUACUGUUCUGUGAUAACGUAUGGGAACUCGCUAAUAUGGAAUGCUAGCUUUGCAUUUGGUCUCCUCGCCAUAUUCACAAAUCAUUAGGAUUCAUAUAGAAUUGGUGCGUGUUCAAAACAGAAUUUUUUCAAGCACAAGAUCAGCAAAAAUAAAUUUAUUAAUCUUCUGCAAUUUAAAAUGCCCAGCAAGGCGGGCAUAAAUACUAGUUCUUCAUAUUUACACAACCAUUGAUCUGUCUUGCAACAAAUUUCAAGGAGAAGUUCCAAAGGUUACAUGAGAGCUUAAAUGGCUUGCAUUGCUCAAUCUAUCUCAUAAUAGUCUCACCGGACAUAUCCCAUCACUCCUCGGAAAUAUGGAAGCACUCCUAUCUCUAGAUUUGUCUUCAAAUCAAUUGACAGGGGCUAUUCCACACCAAUUAACUAAAUUGACAUUUCUAAAGGUGUUGAACCUCUCGGGAAAUAAUCUUACUGGGGAAAUCCCGCAAAAAGGGCAAUUCAGCACUUUUGGAAAUGAGUCAUACUUGGGGAACCCGGCCUUGUGUGGACUUCCUUUGACGGAAAAAUGCAUGCAUGCAGUGUCACCAACUCAAGAAGUCGGAAAUGGUGAUACUGAUGAAGAUGACGAUGCUGAUGAUGAACUUAAUUGGGAAGCCAUCCUGAUGGGAUAUGGAUGUGGAUUGAUAUGCGGAUUGUCUUUGGGGUACAUUGUUUUCAAGAUAGGAAAGCCUUGGUGGUUUGUGAAAUACAUUAAAAUACUACAACUGAAAUUGAUGAAAACAUGCACAAAGCAUAGCAGACGAAAGACUUGAGGAGAUGUUGUCUUAGGAUGCAAUCUCGUUUAAUACUUUCAUCAUUAUUCUCCAAGAUGUCUGAACAUGUAUUUUCAAAGAAUUCUCAGUUCACCUUUAGCCUUAUAAAGUAAAAGACAUUUUAAAGGCACUCUCAACUUACACCUAUAUAUACACGUACGGUUCACUUCAGUACAAAGAUUAUUAGCCAUGCAAAACAUGCAGAACCACUAGUAAUGCAGAAAAACAAAAUAUCAGUUUUCUCCAAAUAUCACUACAACAAAACUGCCAUUUUACGACGGAAAUCUAAUAUUCUAAAGGUUUACGACCAAACUAUGUUGGUGGACUUUAUUUUAAUUUACAGUUUUAACAGUAGUUAAUUUUGGAUAUCUAAACUUGCGACAGAAAACAUACGACAGUCUACCUCGCGAGAGAAAAUCAUUUUAUUUUAUUUUUUAGCGCCAGAAUUUUAAUACUAAAAUAUUAUAUAUAUGAAGGAAACUGAUCUCUAAUGUUUUCAGCUUGCUCAUCCAUAUGUAAGUAAUCCGUCGAAAAAGUUAGUUUGUUGUGGUGGUGUCUUAUCAUGAGAGAAAAUGAUAAUAUCGCAAAAUAUUUGCAACUGAAAGAUAAAUUAUAAUUCUAGAAACCAUUUAGGUAACGAUGCACGAAGUUAUUUUCACUCACUUAGAAUUAAUGAUCAUAAAUAUUUGCAACGGAAAGAUACAUUAUAGUUCUAGAAAAGGAUCCACGAAGUUAUUUUCACUCACUUAGAAUUAAUUGUAAGUUAUUGUGAGUUUUUGAAUAUGGAUUAUCUCAAAUUUUAUGAAAACACAUAUUGAUUCAUAUAUACAAAUUUGCCUACCUAAUAUUAUAAUAUUUAUGGAGAAGUUGUAUGAACAAUUGUGUAGAUAAUUAUACUUUACAAAGCAUACUUCUGCUAGAUGAAUUUUGAUUAAACAAAAUCGAAAGGGAUAGGUCUGGGUCUCUCCAAGUCUUUGAGGACUCAUUCCAAGUCUUCUGACGAGGACAAAAUAUAUUGCUGGUAGUCUUUCAGUCCUUCCUAGAGUAUUUUAUGCUCUGGACUGCAUUAUGCAGCUCUCAUAUAACUUUGCGAUGCAAAACAGUGGCAAGUAAGUAUUUCCGUAUGUGUAUUUAUUUGUAUAUUAAAGUUGCGUAACAUUUGUGUUGAUAAUUUGCGUAAUGUUGAUGAGGAUUGCUCCCAAGUCUUGGACGGACUCUUUCCAAAUCUUCUGAGGACAUAUCGGUUCAAAUUAGUCCAUUAAAAAUUUUAUGAUAUGAAGCUAUCUGCAAAAUAAUAUAUAAGGUAAAAUGAACCAUUGUUUUGUGGUUAAGUUGUACAGGCAAUAUGCAGUGCAAAAUCAGGAACAGAAUAUAUGAAUACUAGUAAUAUGAUAUCGGUAUGAACGAAUAUUUUCUAUGUAGUUGUUAUUGUGAUGCGGAAAAAAUAUUGUAACCAAAAAUAAUUAUAAUUCUAAAAAUUUCCAUUAUACACUUUUUUAGUGUUCGUGGUACUUCAAAUGACAUUUCUCGCGUAUGCCUCCAAUUAAGAACUUGAUGUUCAGCAUAGUCCGAAACUAAAAUUAUUAUAAGUGUGUAAUUCAAAAUUAUAUUGCUGGUAGUCUUUCAGUUCUUCCUAGUGUAUGCAGUAGUUUCAUUCGAUACCGAUUAUUUUAUGCAUUGCCCGAGAACCAGUCUAUCUAAAACCCUAAGAUGUUAUAUUUUUAUACGUGUAUUAGUUUUGAAGAUUAAAGUUGUAUGGACAAUUGUGUUAAUAAUUUGCGCAAUUGCGCAAUGAUAACUGGGAUAGGUCAUCUUCUCUCCCAAGUCUUGGAUGGAAUCUUUCCAAGUCUUCUGAGAACCCAUCAGCUCAGAUUAGUCCAUACAAUGUCAAGGGUCCUAUGAUAUGGUCUACUAACAGCCCAGUGUCGGUAAUAAAUCCAAUUGCAUAUAACCUAUUCAAAAUCAAUCCCCUAUAAACAAUCAUCUCUAAAAACUAUUCACAUAAAAUAAAAUUUUAAAAAUAUAAAAUAUCUAGUUGUUUUCAAUAUAUAAUUUUCCACAGUAGAUAACACAAUAUCUUUAUCAAAUUAUUAUUUAUGGGUUCAAUAUUUAAGCUAUAAUUCCAACAACACGGCAAGCAUGCAGCAUAUAAAUAGAAGUGUGCAGUAUGGUAUUGCAUUCAUAACCCAGUUGAGGAAAAAUAUGGCACCCUUCCUAAAGCCUUCUCACCUUCUUCUCUUUGUUUUCUUUCUCUCAUCACCUGAGUCCAUUCUUGCGACAACACGAGAAGGAGAAGCUCUUGUGAAGUGGAAGAAUAGCCUAGCCCCUUCUUCUUUUCUUGAUUCUUGGUCACUCACUCAUCUCGAUAAUCUUUGUAACUGGACUGGCAUUACUUGUAACUCUGCAGGUUCAGUCUCUAAGAUUAACCUUUUUGAGAAACAACUUAAUGGAAUGCUGUCCGAGUUUGGUUUCACUUCAUUUCCAAAUCUCAGCAAUCUCACCCUCACAUACAACUUCUUCUCGGGUCCCAUACCACCAGCCAUUGAGAAUUUAACCCAGCUUCGGUAUCUUGAUUUGAGCUAUAAUUAUCUGGAUGGUCCCAUUCCGUUCCAGGUUAGCCAUCUUCAGAGCUUGCUCAUCUUGAACCUGUCACAGAAUGCAUUGCAAGCUCCAAAUUGGUCCCAUUUCUCUCCCAUGCCUUUCUUGCGCAUCCUCAACCUCAGUUACAAUCCUCUUGCGUCGAAAUUCCCAAAUUUUAUAUCCAAUUCUCAUAGCCUGACUCACCUUAGCCUUAAUUUUAAUGAGUUUACUGGUGAUCUAGUACGUGAAUCAAUAUUUGCCAAUCUGCAUAAUCUUGAAGUCCUCAGUCUUCUUGGCAAUUUUUUUGAGGGGCCAUUUCCGCCAGAUAUAUUCAAGCUUUCCAAAUUAAAACAUCUUCACCUGUCAGGUAACAAAUUCUCAGGUUCAAUUCCAAAUGACAUAAGGUUGCUUUGUGGUCUUGAAAACCUAUUUUUAAGCAACAAUUCCUUUGAAGGACCGCUUCCACCAAAUAUAUUUAAGCUUUCAAAAUUAAAACAACUUGUUCUUUGGAGUAAUAAUUUUUCAGGUUCUAUUUCCAAUGAUAUAGGUUUGCUUUCUGAACUUGAAACCCUCAAUCUUCAAUUUAAUUUUUUUGAGGGGCCGCUUCCCCCACAUAUAUUUAGGCUCUCUAAGUUAACAGGUCUAGAACUCGGAGACAAUAGAAAUUUAUUUGAAGGAAGUAAUAUUCCUAUCGGACUGGGACUCUUGACUAACCUCAGGUACUUAGAUUUACAUUCCAGUAAUCUCAGUGGCUAUAUUCCAUCUGACAUUGGAAACCUGAAGCUACUAGUACUUCUUAGUCUCGGUUCUAAUCAAUUGACUGGACCGCUUUCAAAGAUCGUUUAUAAUCUCACAAAUCUUAUAUUUCUUGAUGUAAGUAAUAAUAGUCUUAGUGGAAAUAUUCAGAGUGACUUGUGGAAAUAUAACCAUCAUCCUACUUUGGAAUACAUCGAUUUUAGUGGGAACCAUUUUACAGGUAUAUUUUUUCUCUAUAGAUCUUUUCCUUUUGUCAUAUGUAACUAAGCUAGUAAUCUGAUUAUUGCAGUUUUACUGAAGUUUCAACAAUCUUGACAGGUGAGCUUCCAACAACAAUUUGCAAUGUCAUGUCCCUUUCGGUUCUUGAUUUGUCAAAUAAUGAAUUAAGUGGUGCACUUCCAAACUGUUUCGGGAAUCUUGCUGAUGGAUUGCUUUACAUUAAUCUUGCUAAUAAUCAGUUUCGAGGAACAAUACCAACUACUUUCUCCAGGAGUUGUCAGCUGACAUAUCUAAACAUGGAUAAUAAUGAGUUUGAAGGAUUGUUGCCCCCAUCUUUGGCGAACUGUAAGCACUUGAGAAUUCUUGAUAUUGGCAAUAAUAAAAUAGGUGGUACAUUUCCGUCAUGGCUUUAUGUACUUGGAGAGCUAGAAGUCCUUGUCUUGCGAUCAAAUAAACUCUAUGGUACAAUAAGUGGAAGGAGCAUAGAAGAUCCCUUCCCCAAGUUGCGGAUUGUGGAUCUGUCCAACAAUCAAUUCACAGGCCAUUUGCCAAUUCAAUACUUUAAGAAUAUGAAAUCAACUGAUAAUUUGUAUCGUUAUCAGAAUUCCACAGGAGUUUUUUCUUUCCAUUAUGAAGCAUCUGUCUCAUUAACUGUGAAGGGAACAGAGUAUGAAGUGAAAAAUAUCCUUCAUAUUUACACAGCCAUUGAUCUGUCCUGCAACAAGUUUCAAGGAGAAAUUCCUGACGUUAUUGGAGAGCUUAGAUGGCUUGCAUUGCUCAACUUAUCUCAUAAUAGUCUGACAGGACCUAUCCCAUCAUUACUGCGAAAUAUGAAAGGACUCCAAUCUUUAGAUUUGUCCUCAAAUCAACUGACAGGGGCUAUUCCACCUCAGAUAACUGCACUGACAUUUCUAGAAGUCUUAAACCUCUCGGGAAACCAUCUUAGUGGAGAGAUUCCUCAGAAAGGACAAUUCAGCACAUUCAACAAUGAUUCUUAUAUAGGAAACUCCGCAUUAUGUGGAUCACCAUUGACGAAGACAUGUGCAAACACAGCAUCACCUCCACAAGAAGUCGGAAAUGUUGAUGAAGAUGAUGCGGGUGAUGAAUUGACAUGGGAAGCAAUCUUGAUGGGAUAUGGAUGUGGACUGAUAUGUGGAUUGUCAUCUGCAUACAUUGUUCUCAAACUAGGAAAGCCUUGGUGGUUUGUGAGAUAUCUCGAAGUACUGCAACAGAAGUUGAUGAAAAGAUAUGCAUGAAGAAUGGUACUGGCCGAUCAAGACCAACUUGAAAGUUUGUUGUCCUUGUGCACAUUUCUGAACCAGUAGUGUACUUGCUGCAUAAGUAUUUGGUAUUAUGUAAUAAUCCGUUUGGUCGGGACUCAUAAUGAUUUCUCUUGCUUCAGGGGUAUUAAUAUUAACCUUGCUAUCUUGAUCAAUGUUAAAGCAAAUUAAAUGAAUGAAAAAACAAAAAGUAUGCAUCAAAUCCGCUCCUGCUGUACCAAAAUCCAUUAAAUUGCUUUGGUCUCUUACCUAACAAUUUAACAGCACACUUCCACACUGUUCAUACCUAAUUUGCGUGUAAUAUGAAAACUAAGAGGCAUGGCUUUUGUCUCUAUAAGUCUUUGAGAACUUAUUCUUCCAAGUCUUCUUCGGAGGCCUGCUGCCUCAACAACCUUUCAAAGAUGUAGCAGUUGCUCGAGAGUAACAUAUAUAUUAGAUAAAGACUAUGCAAUAAUCCACGUGACAGAAAAACCAAAGUCCAAUUAGUUUUCCAAGUUCAUAAAAAAUACUAUAGGAUCAUUAGCAUUACAUUAGUAUUCCACUAGCAUACAGCAUAUUAUAAGACAAAAGUAAGCGGAAAUAAACAUAAUUUCAAUAGAUUUAACUUACUCUUCAGAAUCGAUAAGUUUGGAACACGUUGAUUGAGCACAAGACGAAGGCCACACAUGCGCAUCAUCUGAUGCAGCUAUAUAUGGUGCCUUUACAGUUGCUCAUACAUAUAGUGAAACAAUAAGGAUCAACUCCUCCAUUGUACGUACACAUUUUCAUACAAGCUAUAAAGCAUGGUGAUAGAGUCUUUGCAAUCUCGUCAUGACCGGCACAUCCGAUUAUGAUAAACUCUAGCAGGAUCAUCCAAGUAAUAAUUUUCAUAAUGAUAUUAAUUAUCAUUGUGAAUAGUUGCAUUGAGUUAUAUAUGUGUGUGUAUAUAUAUGCAAUGGAUUUUGUGGUUGAGAAUAUCUAUUAGAUUUUGUAUAUCCAUAACAAUUAUUAAAAUUUAAACAAGAAUAUCUAUUAUUGGUUGUGGUUGACUAUUGUAGUAGUCCAAGAAAUCAAUGCAAGUGAAAUCUAUAUUAUAUUUUAAAAGAUUAUACAUGAAAUACAAAAGGUUUUUUUAGGACUGCUGUUAAAAAUUGUUAUGUUGUACGAAAAAAUGCUGAUAAAAAGAGUGUUAUACGAAAAAAUGCUGAUAAAAAAAAUGUCGUAUAAAUCAGAUAUGACAGCUUCCCACAAAAACUAAAAAAAACAGUUUUCCGUAAUAAUAUGGGAGAGGAAAAACUGUUUGUAGAUUUAUAGAACAAUUUUUCGGUAAAAAACUGUUGUUGUUUUCGAGAGUAAUGACAAACAGUGCCGAAAUCAUUUUGCAGGUAGUUAAUCUCACUUCCAUAUAAUAUACUCCUAUAUAUUACCGAAAAAACAUGAAAUGAUGCAAACCUCAUACUAUUGACAACAGCUAAACUCCUUGCAAUACUUUCAGCUGCAAAAUCCAUCAAAUUUUUUGAUUUAUCAUGUAACUGUUUGACAGAGUACUUCCAAGCCUAAGUAUCAAAAAUCACUACCUUACGAAAUAUAUCUCACCCUACCUUCUCUGCUUAACUGUUUCGAGUGCUUUUACCAAGCAUAUUUUCCAUUAAGCGUGAAAGGCACAGAAUAAUUAGGAUCACCGAAUAUCCCAUCAGUGCUGGGGAAUAUGGAACCAUCUUAUCAAUUAACUAGUUUAACAUUUCUUGCGGUCUUGAACCUCUCAGAAAACCAUCUUAUCCUAAUGUGCCGACUUCCUUUGACGGAGAAAUGGUGAUGCUGAUGCUAAUGAUAAUGAACUCAACUGGGGAGUGAUCCUUAUGGGAUACGGAUGUGGAUUGAUAUGCGGAUUUUCUUUGGGGUUUAUAUUUUGUGGUUUGUGAGAUACAUUGAAGUACUGCAGCUGGAGUUGAUCAUUAUAAAGAACAUAGGCAAGUUAAUCGCUUAUUGAAAUUAGUAAUUGUCAAAAGUAAAAUGUUGAAAUUACUUUUUUCGAUUGAAAUCAUUGAAAAAAAGUCUCUGUCGAAAUUGAUCUGCCAAAAUUAUGUUUAAUAUCUACGGCCAAGAUUAUCUGUCGAAUAUAUUUCCCGACAAUUUUAAAAGACAAAUUUUUCGCCUCUCAGCUGUGAGCGGGAACAGAUAUUUUCGACAGAAUUCCAUUGAAAUUAGCUAAUUUCAACAUAAAUUUUCUAUCGAAAUUACUUGAGUUCUUUGUAGCUUGUUUUCACAAAUACGCUGAUAGCCUUUGGGGACGGGUAUAUUGUUUUCACAAAGCCCUGGUGGUAUGUGAGAUGCUUCGAAGGACUGCAACUGAAGUCGAUAAGAACAUGCAGAAAGAAAACCGAUCCAUCUUGAUAAACUUGAAAAAUGUUGUCAUAUGGUGAUAUAUACUCCCUGGCCCCAGUCUCUUGGAAAGAACUUGGUUGAUUUUUUUUUUUCAGUAUUGUUGGAGCUGUCAUACUAGUGCUAGUGUGCCGACUAGCACUAGUAUGACAGCUCCAACAAGUAUCCAUCCCUAAUAAUUGCAGCAAAUUAAAAAAUAUAGCUAUAUCUUUUUAGCAAUGGUGCAAUUUGGAAAGCUUUCUCAUCAUCUUCUUCUUUUCUUUAUCUCAUUACUCUCAUCUAGUUCCACUGUCCUAUCUGCAACAAUUCGCGAAGGAGAAGCUCUUGUGGAAUGGAAGAACAGCCUAUCCCCGAAUUCAUUUCUUGGUUCUUGGUCACUAAUUAAUCUCACUUAUCUUUGUAAUUAAGUGGACUGGCAUUGUAUGCAACUCUGCAGGUUCAGUCAGUCAGAUUAAUCUUCAAGAACUCACACUUGCUAACCUCCGUUUCUUUUCGUUUCCAAAUCUCACCAAUCUCAACAUUACACAUAACAACUUCACUGGUCCAAUACCACCCGAGACUUUAGCUAUAGUAAUCUCAAUGGUACCCUUCCAUACCAGGUCAGCCAUCUUCAGAGGUCGGUCGUCUUAGGCCUCUAAUUUAAUCACUUGAAAGCUCUAAGCUUGUCCAAUUUUUCCCCCAUGCCUAUACUGGUUGGUCGCGGUCUUGGUGGUAAUAAGCUGGCGUCAAUUUUUCCAGAAUUCAUAUCUAAUUGCUAUAACAUGAUUAACCUUGAUCUUUCAUUUAACAUGUUAACUGGUGAUCCCUUCAACAACUUGCGAAUCUUGGAUCUCUUCGACAAUGAAUUCACUGGUUACUUGCCAAUCCAAUAUUUUAAUAAUAUGAAACCAGUUAAUACCGUGAUUGAUUAUUACAACAUAACAGUGAAUCAUGAUUAUCAAGCAUGUCUUGUUAACAUUUUGCACUCGUAUUAAUUGUCUUAUAUAUGACUAACUCAUCUUGCACUCGUAUUAAUUGUCUUAUAUAAUACUAAUAACAAAAAUAUGAGGCGGUGCUUAGUCAGAUGAUUUUAGUUGUUAAAAUAUUUUUGUGUUAUUUAUAGAUAGUGAAACAUGUCUAAUAUUUUAUCAAUUUUGUUUCGUUUCUUGAGAUUUCCAAAUAUUUAUUGGGACAUUGUACCAUGGUGUAUUUCACAUAUUCGCAAUUUUAAUUAUUUUGUAUUUUUAUUUUAAAGAUAUGAUAAAGUUUAUUUAUUUAUUUGUUUUUAUCUUAAAAGCGAUUUUCGAGUGUUGCUUAAACCUCGAAGAUUCCAAUCGAGUUUUAUUCUCGGAUCUGUUUCGGAAUUGAGCUUGGCCUUGAUUGUUUUCUGAAUAAAUCAGAUCUUUUGAAAUCAAAGGUUCGAUUGUGUUUUCCCGUCUCGCCUUUUGGCGUGUGUUGAUUUAGUACCCAAUUUUUGGGUGAUUCUGCGUUGUUAUAUUUGUGGUUGUUAUGUCUUUCUGUGUUAUCAAUGAGAAUGAUUGGGAUGGAGUUUUGGGAGAUUUGGCUUAUCGCAUCAUUACAUCUUUCGGCAUGUCUAUAGCUGGCUCCCGGCAUGUAGAUAGCUGGGGUAUGCUUGGAACGGUGGCGAUCGCAUGUGCUCACCUGUCACAAAUUAUAGUUGUUCAUUAUUCGAGGGCUCUUGUUCCUCGUUGCUUAGUUUUUACAACUGAGUCGUCUGAACACCGCAACAGCCAUGGAACUAUUGUGAAGGUCAAUUGUGAAGCUAUCAUUUUCGAGAUUGAUGUAGGCUGGAUUACUCGAGAAGCUUUUGUAUUCAUUUUCAGUUUCAAGAAUUCUUGAAUUCAGUGUGUUAAGCAGUCUGGAAACAAUGCGGCUAUUUGAUUAGCUCGUUUUAUUGUUUAUCAACCUGAUUGCAUUGUCAGUUGGGGAUUUGUCCCGAUUAAACUUGUUUUAAUAUAAUGGAAUGAAUUUGCAUUUUGUCAAAAAAAAAAAAAAAAAGCGAUUUUGAGUUGUUUGAGUUAGAUAUAUACUCCUACUGUGGUUCAACUAGUUUUGCCAUAAGUGAAUAACUUCCGGUCAAUAUUUUGAAAUUUGUCGUUAUCUUCUAAUUAAAAUAAAGGGUUAAAUAGCUACUUCAUCAUUAAUAUCGUUGAAAAUUUGCAGCUGAGUCAUGUUGUUGAAAAGACUUUCAAACUGCAUCAUUAAGUAAUUAAAAAAUUUCAAAAACACCACUCUCCGUCAGUUAUGUUAAACAAUUAACGGAAAGUUCGAAAAAAAAUAAAGAAAAGACAAAAAAACAUUAAAAAAAUUUGAAAAAAAAACCCGAAAAAAUGUGAAUAAACUAUGAUAUUUUUUUUCUUUUUUUGAAAAAUGUGAAUAAAAUCAAAAAAUCAAAAAAAAUGGGAAACCAAAAGUGGCAAGCUUUUUUUUUUUUUGUUCCUUUCAAAUUUUCUAAAAUCUGGGGAAAAAAGAACUUGCCAACUAAUUUUUUCCAAAUUUUUUCAAAUUCUUUUCAGAUUUUUGAAUUUUUUUCCAAUUUUUUCCUCACUUUUUUUCUGUUUUUUUUUGAAUUUAUUAAGAUUUUUUUUGUUUUUUCUGCUUAUUCUGAAUUUUUUAAGAUUUAUUCGCAUUUUUAAAAAAUAUUUUUGAAUUAUCCGUUAAGUAAUUAAUGGAACUGACGGAGAGUGAUGCUUUUGAAAGUUUUUAAUUACUUGAUAAUGCGUUUGAAAAUUUUUUCAACAACAUGACUCAGUUGCAAGUUUCCGGCGAGGUUAGUAAUGAAUUAGUUAUUUAACUCUUAAUAAAAAUCUAUCUAAACAAUAUUAUAAAUAUAAUGUUAUGGGUUCGAUGAGUCGUGUAAAACAUGGAAGAAGUUUAGGUGGGGUAAAAAGAGCCUAGCUGUGUGAUUUCCAUUCUGUUAUACGUGAUAUACUGUAGUUGAUCAUCUCCUUUGUCCGCUUCAUCCUGUGCAACCUUAACCUUUAAGGAAAAACUUAUGAGAUUCUCUAGUGCAUCUAAAUUCUUGUGUGAAGAAUGUGAAGAAAAAUGUUAGUCUCAGAUUAUUUUUCCUAAAAUGCUUGCAUGUUACAUUUUAUAUGUAUGUCCUGACUUUAAGUAUAAUUUAGCAUUUUUAUUUAGUAUUGUGUAAAAAUAAUAUAUUUUAUUCAGUCUUAUUAAAAAUAUAAUCAUGUUAUACUGUAAAAGUAUUUGUGAAUUUCUUUGUUACAUAUGUGUUUAAAUUAUUUUAUUUAUAUAUGUUUUACAAUUUUUUACAAAUAUAUAGGUUGAGUAUUGCAUAGGAAUAUAAUUACACGUUAGCAAAUAUGAUUAUGUGUAAACUGUUCUGCGUGCAUGUAUAUUGCUGCUAAGUUUUAAACUUCUUACUAACCGGAAUAAUUUUGACAGAUGUGUGGAACUUGAUUAAUUUAGUUGCACUAUAAGAGAAAGCGUUUUUGUCAAUAAAAAUUGUUAAGGAAAUUAGUCCGUUGGUAGUUCUCAACGGAUUUGUAACAAUUUGACUGGUCAAUGUUCUGUCAACCAAUUCGUAAUGAAAUACCCACACUUAUUUACAACGAGAUGUUCUAUUAGGAAAUAUAGCCACACAAUGGAAUAAUAACAAAAGACCAAGGAAUGAGCAACAGACUAGCAACGAAAGUAUCUGUUAUUACAUUCGUUGAUAUUCCCUUGAUAAAUACUAGACUUUUUAGCACUUUGGUGGCUUGUACUAUUUCAAAUUUGCACGUUAGUGGCCGACCUUUAAAAGUCAUCAAUUGUGUUGCUGAACUUAUUUUUUUUUAACACAUUAGGGGCUCCGCAUCAUAUCCGUUAAAUCGAAGUAACGGCGUCAAAUGAUCAAUACAUAUCUCCUCCUCCUCUUAUUUCCCUCCAAAUUAAAAAACGAAACGGCUACCCUCUUUUCCGAAGCAAGAACGACGACGAAUUCCUGCUUACAGAGAUGAGUUGGUUCCGGCGUCUUAAAGAGGAUGCUGAUGUGUAUUAGCCUCGACAGUGCCCCGAUUACUGUAGUAAGCUCUUCAACUUUUCUUCUUUGUAGCAUAUGAAAUGAGUUUAAUUGACCAUUAUUUCAGUGUUUGUUGUUGUUAGUGGCUAGUUGUUUAGUAUUAUGGACCUGCAAUUGCUUUAUACUAUUAAAAUGAAAGAUUCUGCUUGUGGGUUUUUAAAAAUUAAGGCUUUUACAUAGUCCAAGAUUCGGUCAUUAUAAAAUCAAUUUAUGCCUGUUUUAGUAUAGUGCUUGUUGUUAGUGGCUAUUUGUUAAGUAUAGUGUUGUUUAUUGUAAAUAAAACUGUUGCUUUGCACUCUACAUUUGCAGAACCUGGUGAUUUUACCCUAAAAAUAUAUCAUGGGGCCGAUUGGGUAGAUAACCCUAGGGCAUAUGUGGGAGGUACAGUAGAUUUCUUUGACUUCUGUAAUGCUGAUCAGAUCAGCAUAAUUGAGAUAUAUAGUAUGUUGAAAGAGGUUGAUGAGUUUGGGUUUCACCAACUGUGGUAUAAGCUACCUGGCACUACAUUCGAUAGAGCUUUUGUACUAAAUAAUGAUGAGGAGCUAAUGACCAUGUGUGAGCUUAUAUCUGAUGUGGAUAAGUAUAUGGAGAUUUAUGUCACCACUAUGGCACAUCUAAGUAUAGUGCCCUAUAGAGAUUUAGAGGUUGAAUUUGUUGAACCAACUCCUAAAGAAGCACCUGAAAAGAACAAUCCAUCACCUGAAAAGAUCAAUCCAGCACCUGAAAAGAUCAAUCCAGCACCUGCAAAGAUGUAUCCAGCACCUGCAAAGAGCAUUCCAACUGUGGGAAAUGAUGAUGAUCAGGAAGAGUUUGAGUUUGAUUUUGACAAUACACGGUUUUGGGAUACCACCCAAAAUGAAAUUGAAAUUGUGCAACAAGUUAGGGAAAUGGAGGGGUUGGAAGAGGAAUUUUCAGACACAGAUUCUGAUGAUGAGGAUUUUGUGCCAGAAGAAAAGGAAAGUAGUGAUGAGACCUUCCACUGUGAUAGUUCCAAUCAAGAUAAUUCUGAUGAUGAUUUGUUGUUUGAUGAUGAUUACUACCAUCCUUACCAGCAGAUGGAAACCAACAAAGAAAAAUAUACAACAACAACAACACAGCAAGAAUUUUCCAGUUCCUUGCUUGCUUCUGCGCCUCGGAUAGUUCUUCACUGUAGAAAUCCUUGUACUCAUCUUUGGCCUUAAUCAUUUCAGCAAAACAUUCAUCGUCCUUGUUCUUCAAACGCCUUAUCAGUCCAUUGAUUACACUCUUGCUGCGCGCAUCAAACUCGGGUUCAACCCACUUGAAGAAAUUGCACCUUCCAUUCACGCAAGUCAAGAAUCUUCUACCCGGAUUGUACUCCGUCCACGAUGUCUUCUCCACUGCCCAGCUUCCACACAUACAUUGUUGAUUCAUCUUUGCAGAGCUUUUUGGUUUGGAUGAGAGAUUUAGGUUUGAAUAUGCUCAAUUACACACAGCAGAAACGUAUAUAUAUACACAGCAUAUAGCCGUUGCAAAAAUAUUUUCCUGAAAUACCCCUGACGACCGUUACUUCGAUUUAAUGGAUAUGAUGCGGAGCCCCUAAUGUGUUAAAAAAAAAAUAAGUUCAGCAACACAAUUGAUGACUUUUAAAGGUCGGUCACUAACGUGCAAAUUUGAAAUAAUACAAGCCAUCAAAGUGCCAAAAAGUCUAAAUACUAACAGUUUCGUUAGUAAUUGAUUAUUAGUUUUACAUGGACAAUUGAUAUACACCACAUGAGCACAUACACGGAUACAAUGCCAGGCUCUUAGUUGAAAUGUGUGUACUGCUAAAGCUCAAGGAGAUUUAGUUGACUAAAUUGAUUUGAGUUGUAGAAAAAGGUUUAAUAAUAUAAUGGACUUUGAUAUAUGUAUUGUAGAUAUUAAGUAAUUCUCUUGAAUUUAUAUAUGUAACAUAAUUGUUAAUUGGCUCAUCCUUAACUAGAUAUUUUAUAUUACAUUCUUAACUACAGAUUUUGUAUUUAAAAUUUUUUUAAAAAAUUAACCUUUAUUUGGUAUGUGGAUUUUGUAGUCAAAUGUGGUCAAUUUACUUAGCCUUCGAUCGAAUACCUACCCAAAACAUAAAAAUAUUUUUUAAUCAUUUAUUUUCGACGAUCCAACUAUACGGAUAUUAUUGUAAUGUGAUAAUAUUGUUUACAAAUUUUUUUUAAAAAAAUUAGCCUUUUAUUUGGUAUGCGCAUUUUGUAGUCAAAUGCAAUUAAAUUACUUAGUCUUUAGUGGAAUCUUUACCCGAAACAUAAAACUUUUUUUUAAAAAAAAAUUUGGACAAUCCAACCGUACAGAUGUUAUUGUAACGUGUUAAUAUUGGUUAAAAUAAAUUUUGAGAAAAUAUGUCUUUUAUUUGGUGUGUGGAUUUUGUGGUCAAAUGCGGUCAAAUUACUUAGCAUUUAAUCGAAUACUUACCCAAAACAUGAAACUAUUUUUUUUAAAAAAUAAUUUCGGACGAUCCAACCGUACGGGGGUAUUGUAACACAAUAAUAUUGAUUAAUUUUUUUAUAGGAAAAUUAUAGCCUUUUAUUUGUUGUGUGGAUUUUGUUGUCAAAUGCAGUCAAAUUACUUAGCCUUUAAUGAAAUACUUACAUUAAACAUGAAUUUAUUUUUUUUUAAAAAUCAUUUGGAUGAUCCAAUCGUACGGAUGUUAUUAUGACAUGUUAAUUGAUUAAAAAAAUAUUUAAAAAAAAUGCCUUUUAUUUAGUAUGUGGAUUUUGUAGUAAAUGCUACUUAGCCUUUAAUCGAAUACUUACCCGAAACAUGAAACUAUUUUUCUAAAAAUCAUUUUGGACAAUCCAACCGUACGGAUGUUAUUGUAACAUGAUAAUAUUGAUUGUUUUUUUAUAUAAUAACCUUUUAUUUGGUGUGUGGAUUUUGUAGUAAAAUGCGGUCAAAUUACUUAGCUUUUAAUCGAAUACUUACCUGAAACAUGAAACUAUUUUUAAUAAAAUUAUUUUAGAUGAUCCAACCAUACAGAUGCUAUUGUAACGUGAUAAUUGAUUAUUUUUUAAAAAAAUUAGCCUUUAAUAUGGUGUAUGGAUUUUAUAGUAAAAUGAGGUCAAAUUACUUAGUCUUUAAUGGAAUAUUUAUUAGAAAUAUAUUUUAAAAAAUUAUUUUGGACGAUCCAAACUGUAUGAAUGUUAUUUUAACAUGUUAAUAUUGAUUAAAAUUGUUUUUAAAAAAAAAUUAGUUGUAUUUUAUGUGUGAAUUUUUAGUCAAAUACGAUAAAAUAUUUAUUUAGCUUGUAAUGAAAUAUUAAAACCCUACUUCAAAAGAAACUUGUCUAAAACUACCUAUAAGUGUUAGAGAAUCAUCGAUUUAGUUAUCAAAUUAGUUAUCAUAAGGGUUUUACUCCGCUUUUCUCUGGUAUGAUGUUGAUUUUUGGGGUUUGAUUGGUCGAUUUUCAUGUUUUAUAAGUUAUGUGAGUUCGAUUUUGAUGUUUUUACAAUUAGGUUUAUGUAUGUUCUUAUACAGGUUUCAUGUUCAUGUUUUGAUUUGUUGAUUUCCUAUUUUUCAUAUUUUGUUGAUUAGUUAUUUGUGUGGGUUUUGAACUUUGAUGAGUGUGUAUGUAAUCUCCUGUUUUUUUUUUUCAUUUUUCUGGUUCGAACACUUCGAUUAGUAGCUGGAAAAACAGCUGAUGCGGCAGUAGCGGCUAGUGAGAUGGAUAACAAGAAAAGGAUGAUUUCGAGGUCAUCUCGUGCAAGUCUUCAGAUAUAGUUUUGUUCCUUUAUGUUUUUAAUUGACAUAAAUUUUCACAUUUGAUGAUUAUAUUAUGGGGGAUUCUGGGUAUACUUGUAUAUAAUCUAGCAAGUUAUUAUAAUUCUGGACGGGGGGCUUAUUGUGAAAUUAAAUUGAGGGAUAAGUUGUGUUAUUGGUUCUAGUGGAUUAAAUUUAUGUUGACACUUGAUAUAUGCAUUGAUGUCGUAAAAUAAGUUGCACAUCAAACUAUUUGGCUUGUUUAAGUUGUAUGGAGUAAGGCUGUACGCGGAUCGGAUCGGUUCGGUUGGAGGGUAAUAACCAAACCAAACCGCAACUUACGGUUUUCUAAAAUCUCAAACCGCGACCAUACUGUUGGUUAAAAAAACCCAACCAAAUCCAUCCACGUAAUUGCGGUUGGUUGCGGUUCAACUGCUAAAAUAGUUAUAACAAAGAAAAUAUAUAAGUUAUUGCUUAAAAUCUUGCAUAAAGUACAGACUUUAACUCAAAAAUAUAUAAUUUAUCACUUAAAAUCUUGAAUAAAGUUAAUACAAUAAAUCUGAUUACAUAUUACAAAAGCAAACUACUCCGGAAAUAUAUAACUUGAAGCAGAGCUUCAAGUUAAUGGUUAUUAAAAAUUUCAUCCGCGACUGCCCACAUUUUACGGUUAUCCAUAAUACACGGAUCGGUUGCAGGUGGUUGUUGCGGUUAAUGCGGUGGAGCGGAUUGAACGUACAGCCCUAUGAAGUAUGGUUGCCAAGCAUUGGUUGGUUGUACACGUGUAAACAAAAUGAUAUUUUAAUAUUUAAACAAAACAAUACAGUCAUAAACAGAUCGUGUCGGGCUGGACUGAUUGUGAUUUUCCUUUUUGGAACUCGUACUCGGCAUCUUCCAAGCGAAUGAUAUUUAGAAGUUUGUUGCUAGUAUACUCCAUGUCAUAAUAAGAGUUCUUUAGAUUUUUUAUAUGUAAUUCGAAGUAUAAAAAACAUAUUUUAACAUAUUAUUUUUAAAUUUUUUAUACAUAAAAAUAUAACAUCUAUAUUUUUAUUUAGAAAAAAAUUUGAAAUAUAAUAUAUAGAUGCAUGUCUUUUUUAUACGUGAAAUUACAUGUAAAAAAUUAAAAGACUCUUAUUUUGAGUAAGAGAGAAUAUGAUGUACCAUAAAGUCAUCGAUCUUUUGUUAUCAAAUAAAUGUGAUAUUUAAUUAUUUAAGAGCAAGUCCAAAAGUAUCUUAGUUAAAGUCCUAAAUAUAAUAUAAAAUAUUACGUUCUGGUGAUUUAGGAUAUAUUUUACUAACUUGGACUCCAACAAUGUGUCUUAUUCUCAUAAGAAGUUUAAUAUUUUAUUAUUAAAGACUCUCUUUCAUCAUUAAAGCAUAAUAUAAAAGUAGAGAGAGAAAAAGAGUGUUGAUAAGAAUUAAUAAUAAAAUAUGGGAUAGGGUUAGGAGAGAUGUGCCUCAAAAAUAGGGUUUGAGGAGUUUCAUUAGGUGUGGACACGGAGACCAAGAAGUAAAAGAUGAGUACAGUUAAAUGAAGAUGUGGUAAAAUAAUGUGACCCAUUUAUAUUUAAUAAUACAUUUGAAAUAGUGGAGGAAAGUAACGAGUGUAAUAACGUUUAUAUUAUUAUAGCAUAUAGAUAGCAGAAGAAAGCAAUGGGUAUAAAAGUGUAUUAUAUUAUUAAAGUUUUGAAAUGUUUAGAAAUAAUGGGGCAAUCAAAAAGAAAACUGUAUAAAAAUGGACGAGAGAAUACAAUUCAAGAAGUAAUAUAUCUCAAUUCAAACUAGGUAAUAUAUUUAUGAAUUAUAUUAAAAAAAAUUUGACAUUCAAAUAUAAAAAUUUAUUUUAUCAUCUUAACAAUGGAAUAUUCGAUUAUUAACUUUCGUAAAUAACAUUAAUUUUUCAUUAUAAUAUACUCUAAACUUUUAUUUUAUGUGCCUGUUUGUUUACAAGAAGCUGGAGUCCUACUUCUCUUGACUCGUUUGUGUAAAAACGUAAAAAGUGCUUUUAAAAAGUACUGAGAAGGAAAUGGAAGUAGAAAAUGCUAGUUUUUCUUUAUAAUAUCUAUUUCUUUUCUAGACACUUUAAUAAUUUAUAUAUAUUAAUUUAUUUCUCACUUAUACUCCAUUUUUUUAUAGAGAACUUCUUUUAAACUAAUCGGCUCCUAUAAUCAGUAGUUUCUCAAUUUUAAUAGGAAUAAGAGCAUGUUUAUCUGAGCUUAAAGCCCGGGGUUUAUAUCAUCUCUGGCUUUAAGCUGAAAAAUGUAUGUUUGUGUAUUAAGUCGGAAGUCGGCUUAAAGUCGGAAAUAAGUCAAAAAUUGACCUAAAACCAGAAGUUAGUUUGAGAUACUUUUCUCGGUGACUAAUUUUUUUUUUAGCCAUUUUUUGAUAAAAAUUAUUCCUAAAUCACAAAUUACUCAUAAAUUACUUUUAUUAUUAUUAUUAUUAUAUUUUUAAUAACUUAUAAAUUAUUAAUAAAUCAAAAUUAAUCAAACAAAUAUUUUAAGUUCUCAUAUUAUGAGAUAACUAACGUUAAGUCAUGAAUCAACUGAACGGGAUGUAAGUCUUCUUCUCCCCGAGUCAUCAGCAGACUUUUUCCAUGUCUUCUGAGCCCCCAUUGGCUCACAAUUGGCCCAAAAAAUAUUUGGUUAUGCAUUGCUAUUCACACACUUAGACAUCAAAAUUUAUCAUCCGACAGGCGACAGCUAACUGCACACUAUUUUUCCCACAAGCUGAAAAAUCAACGAUCAAUUAAUUUUUCUUAUCAAUUAAUAAAGUUAUGAUUUCACGUACACGGCAGGCAAAAUGCUAAUAAAUAGACGAGUGCAGUAUAGUAUGGGUUCAUGAUCACCUUGAGAUUUAAUUGAAAAAUAUUAUGGUGAUAUAGAUUAAAUUAAAUUAUAAUAUCUUGAAAAGUUAUAAAUAAUUUUAAUUACUAAUAAUAUUUAUUUGUACAUUUAAAUAUUUUUAUAAAAACACAAAAAUAGCAUUAUACUCAUUUAAGUUUCUCGUAUCCGCCUCUCUUCUUGGAGAUUGUGGAUUUGCGAUAUUUAUAUUGAUUAUUAUAGGAAAAUGUUAUUUCCAGAGCAAACAUUUUUAUUUCCGGAGCAAAUUCAAACAAAUUUUUCCAAAUUGUUCUGGAAAUUAAAAUAUUGAUAUGGAUAUAACAAUUCCCUUAUUAUAUCCUAUGUAUAUUACAUUAAUGCAAUUAACAUGGUUGAUUGUUUUAGUAUAUAAUCAUAUUACUGUGACCUUUUAGUAUAUAAUUAUAUUAUUUUUGUUAUAUUUUAUGCAUCUAGAAACAAUUUUUUUAUGAUAUUUAUUAUAUUAAUUAUAGUAAAAGAUAUAAUUUUGUUUAAAAAAUUGAAUAAAACUAAGAGGGAUAGCCUACGUCUCUCCGAGUCUUCGAGGACUCAUUCCAAGUCCGAGAGGACCACAGCCUCAACCUUUAAGAGAUGUGAAAGUAGCUUGAGAGUGAUAUAAAUUUAUUUUUGACAAUAAAAUUUAAUAAUCAAAUAAAUUAAAUUAAAUUAAACUAGUUUAUAAUCGAUUAAAAAUAUAUAAAUCAAAAUUAUUCCCGAAUUAUGAUAACAAUUAAAAUCAUUUUAAAAGUUGCAUAAAUCAAAUCCAAAUCGAACAAAUUCCCCUAACACUAAAAUGUAGUUGCUUUAUUGUAGAUAAAAACAGUAUAAUAAUAGUAUUGAUGAAAAAUCAAAUUCAUCAAAUAAGUUUAUAAAAAAUACAUGAUUUUAAUUUUAAAAAAAAAACAUGAUUUUAGUGUGUUGUAUUAGUAGUGUGUCCACGCAUUUAUAUAUUAAAAUCUAUCCUCUAAAAACUAUCGAUCUAUUUACACAACUAUUGAUCUGUCGUGCAACAAAUUCCAGGGCGAAGUUCCAAAGAGAGCUUAAAUGGCUUGCAUUGCUCAAUCUAUCUCAUAAUAGUCUUAACGACAUAUGUUCUGAAUUAUUAUUAUGAUUUCAACAAUAUUUUCAAACAUUUCUUAAUAUGUAUUUUCAAAGAAUUCUCAAGCACUUGAACAUUUGGACCGGUUCUUUCGAAGCCAGGCAAUGCACAAAAAUGUCCAAAAAUGAAUAAAUUAAGAGAGAGUAGCUCACCCUUUCAAAGCCUUCCAGGACUCAUUCCAAGUCUUCGGAGGACCACUGCCUCCCCCUUUCAAAGAUGUGAUAGUAGCUCGAGAGUGAUAUAAAUUAUUUUCCCGACAUUAAAAAUAAAAAAUCAGAUUAAAUUAAUCAAUAAUAACUUAAGGAUGAAAUCCAAAUUAAUCCUAAAUUUUGAUAAUAUAUAAAAAUUAUAAUUAUAAAUUAUAUAACCAAAUCAGAAUUGAAUUAACUUACUUGGCACUAGAAUUGCUAAAGACAGUAUAAUAAUUUAAUUGAUGAAAAGUCAAAGUCUUCUAAUAAAUCCAUAAAGAAUAUGAUAAUAUGAAAAUUAUAAUUGAAAAAUCAAAAUCAAUAGUGUAUUGGAAUAGUGUUCACACACUUAUAUAUCAAAAUUUGUGGUCCAAAAACUAUAGCACAAUAUCCUAAAUACAUCACAUUAAAUAAUAGCACAAAAAUAUUCAAUAAAUAAUUGAUUUCAUUCAUAAAUUUGUUAUUUUAAAAACUAAUAAUUUGGUUGAUGUUAACCUAUAUUUUAUAUAUAAUUUCGUCUUAUUUUAUUUUACUAGAAACAAUAUUUUUAUAAUAUUUAUUACAUUAAAUAUAUUAAAAGAUAUAAUUUUAUUAAAAAAAUUGAAUAAAAUUAAAAGGAUAAGUCUCGGCCUCUCCAAGUCUACAAGACUCAUUUCAAGUCCACCGAGGGCCUCAACCAUUGAGAGAUGUGAAAGUAGCUUGAGAGUGAUAUAAAUUAAUUAAAUUAGUUAAUAAUGAAUCAAGACUAAUCAUGAAUUAUGAUAAUAAUUAAAUAAAUUAUAAAAUUAAAUUAUACAAAUAACACUAAACCUUAGUUACUUUAUUGGUAAAUAAAUAUAAUAUAAUAAUCAAAUUGAUGAAAAAUCAAAAUCAUUUAAUAAAUUCACAAAAAAUAUAUGAUCAUUAGUAUGUUAUAUUAGUAUCCACACACUUAUAUUUCAAAAUCUAUCCUCCAAACUUAUCAUCUCUGUAAACUAGCCACAUAAAAUAAAAAUUUAAAGAUAUUAGAUAUUUAGUUAUUUUCAUUAUAUAAUUUUUCCACACGAAAUAACAAAAUAUCUUUAUCAAAUUAUUAUUUAUGAGUUAAAUAUUCAAUUUAUAAAUCCAGUAUGCAGCGUAUAAAUAGAAGUGUGCAGUAUGAUAUCAGAUUCACAUAACCCAGUUGAUGAGGAGAAACAUGGCAUACUCUGCAAAGCCUUCUCACCUUCUUCUCUUUGUUUUCUUUCUCUCAUCACUUGAAUCCAUUCUUGCAACAACACGAGAGGGAGAAGCUCUUGUGAAGUGGAAGAAUAGCCUAGCCCCUUCUUCUUUUCUCGACUCUUGGUCACUCACCAAUCUCGAUAAUCUUUGUAACUGGACUGGCAUUACUUGUAACUCUGCAGGUUCAGUCUCUGAGAUUAACCUUAGUGAGAAACAACUUGAUGGAAUGCUGUCCGAGUUUGGUUUCACUUCAUUUCCAAAUCUCAACAAUCUCACCCUCGCAUACAACUUCUUCUCGGGUCCAAUACCGCCAGCCAUUGAGAAUUUAACACAGCUUCAAUACCUUGAUUUAAGCUUUAAUUAUCUCGAUGGUCCCAUUCCGUUCCAGGUUAGCCAUCUUCAGAGGUUGCUCAUCUUAAACCUGUCACAGAAUGCAUUGCAAGCUCCAAAUUGGUCCCAUUUCUCUCCCAUGCCUUUCUUGCGCAUCCUCGACCUUAAUAGCAAUCAUCUUGCGUCGAACUUCCCAGAAUUUAUAUCCAAUUCUCAUAGCUUGGCUAUCCUUGACCUUGGAUAUAACAACUUUACAGGUGACCUUGUGCGUGAAUUUACUAAUCUACAAAAUCUUGAAACCCUCUACCUAGAUGAAAAUUCUUUUGAGGGGCCAUUUCCGCCGGAUGUAUUCAGGCUUUCCAAAUUAAAACAUCUUCGCCUGUCAGGUAACAAAUUCUCAGGUUCAAUUCCCAAUGACAUAAGGUUGCUUUGUGAUCUUGAAUCCCUAUAUUUAAGCAACAAUUCCUUUAAAGGACCCCUUCCAUCAAAUAUAUUCAAGCUUUCAAAAAUAAAACAUCUUGUUCUUUGGAGUAAUAAGUUUUCUGGUUCUGUUUCCAAUGAUAUAGGUUUACUUUCUGAGCUUGAAACCCUCGAUCUUAACUCUAAUUUUUUUGAGGGGCCGCUUCCGUCAAAUAUAUUCAAGCUCUCCAAACUAAGGUAUCUUUCCCUUUGGGGUAAUAACGUUUCAGGUUCUAUUUCCAAUGAUAUAGGUUUGCUUUCUGAGCUUGAAACCCUCGAUCUUAACUCUAAUAUUUUUGUGGGGCCGCUUCCGCCAAAUUUAUUCAAGCUCUCCAAACUAAAGAUUCUUUCCCUUUAUAAAAAUAACUUUUCAGGUUUUAUUUCUAAGGAUAUAGGUUUGCUUUUUGAACUUGAAACCCUCUAUCUUGGCUCUAAUUUUUUUGAGGGGCCGCUUCCCCCACAUGUAUUUAGGCUCUCCAAAUUAAGAGAUUUGGGUCUCAGAGACAAUAGAAAUUUAUUUCAAGGAAGUAUUCCUAUUGGACUGGGACUCUUGACUAAUCUCAGGUACUUGAGUCUAUUUUCCAAUGAUCUCAGUGGCUAUAUUCCAUCUGAGAUUGGAAACCUGAAGCUACUAAAAGUUCUUGAACUCGGUUCUAAUCAAUUGACAGGACCGCUUUUAAAGAUAGUUUCUAAUCUCAAAAAUCUUAUAUAUCUUGGUGUAAGUGGUAAUAGUCUUAGUGGAAAUAUUCAGAGUGACUUGUGGAAAUAUAACGAUCAUCCAACUUUGGAAUACAUCAAUUUAAGUGGGAACCAUUUUACGGGUAUAGUUUCUCUCUAUAGAUCUUUGUCAUAUGUAACUAAGCUAGUAAUCUGAUUAUUGCCUUUUCACCAAAGUUUCAACAAUCUUGACAGGUGAGCUUCCAACAACAAUUUGCAAUGUCACAUCCCUUUUGCUUCUUGAUUUGUCAAAUAAUGAAUUAAGUGGUGCACUUCCAAACUGUUUCGGAAAUCUUGCUGAUAGAUUGCUUUACGUUAAUCUUGCUAAUAAUCAGUUUCGAGGAACAAUACCAACUACUUUCUCCAGGAGUUGUCAGCUGAAAUAUCUAAACAUGGAUAAUAAUGAGUUUGAAGGAUUGUUGCCCCCGUCUUUGGAAAACUGUAAGCACUUGAGAAUUCUUGAUAUUGGCAAUAAUAAAAUAGGUGGUACAUUUCCGUCAUGGCUUUAUGUACUUGGAGAGCUAGAAGUCCUUGUCUUGCAAUCAAAUAAACUCUAUGGUACAAUAAGUGGAAGGAGCAUAGAAGAUCCCUUCCGCAAGUUGCGGAUUGUGGAUCUGUCCAACAACCACUUCACAGGCCAUUUGCCAAUUCAAUACUUUAAGAAUAUGAAAUCAACUGAUAAUUUGUAUAGUUAUCAGCUUUCCACAGCAGUUUUUUCUUUCCAUUAUGAAGCAGCAGUCUCAUUAAUUGUGAAGGGAACAGAGUAUGAAGUAGCAAAUAACCUUCAUAUUUACACAGCCAUUGAUCUGUCGUGCAACAAAUUUCAGGGAGAAAUUCCAAAGGUUACUGGAGAGCUUAAAUGGCUGGCAUUGCUCAACUUAUCUCAUAAUAGUCUAACAGGACCUAUCCCGUCAUUGCUGAGAAAUAUGAAAGAACUCCAAUCUUUAGAUUUGUCCUCAAAUCAACUGACGGGGGCUAUUCCACCUCAGUUAACUGCGCUGACAUUUCUAGAGGUCUUAAACCUCUCGGGAAACCAUCUUAGUGGAGAGAUUCCUCAGAAAGGACAAUUCAGCACAUUCAACAAUGAUUCGUAUCUAGGAAACUCCGCUUUAUGUGGAUCACCAUUGACGAAGAAAUGUGCAAACACAGCAUCACCUCCACAAGAAGUCGGAAAUGUUGAUGAAGAUUAUGCGGGUGAUGAAUUGACAUGGGAAGCAAUCAUGAUCGGAUAUGGAUGUCGACUGAUAUGUGGAUUGUCAUCUGCAUACAUUGUUCUCAAACUAGGAAAGCCUUGGUAGUUUGUGAGAUAUGUCGAAGUACUGCAACAGAAGUUGAUGAAAAGAUGCUUGAAGAAAGGUACUGGUCGACCAAUAAGAACUUGAAAGUUGUUGUCCUGGUAGACAUUUCUGAACCAGUAGUAUUUGGUAUUAUGUGAUAUUCUGUUUGGUCCGGACUCAUAACGAUUUCGCUUGCUUCAGGAGUAUUAAUAUUAACCUUCCUAUCUUGAUCAAUGUUAAUGCAAAUUAAAAUGAAAAGGCAAAAAAUAUGCAUCAAAUCCCCUCCUGUUGUACCAAGAUUCAUUAAUUAAGAGGCAUGGCUUUUGUCUCUCCAAGUCUUCGAGAAAUUAUUCCAAGUCUUCUUUGGAGGCCUACUGCCUCAACAACCUUUCAAAGAUGUAGCAGUUGCUCGACAGUGAUAUAUAUAUUAGAUAAAGACUAUGCAACAACCAACGUGACAGAAAAAUCAAAAUAGGACAAAAUCCGUACGAAUCAAAAUAGUUUAUUUCUAAGGGGAAUAGCUGAAUUAAAUUGUAAGAGAAGUAAAACAGAUUCUUUUAUAUUUUGGAAUAUAACUGAAAAAGAUUUUGAGAUAAUUUUCAGAAAUCAAACCAGUCAAAUAAAUAUUCGCUGAAGGAACAGAGUAAAGAUACAACGAAUAUAACAAGUUGUAAGAUGAAUAUCGCUGAAUCAAACAGGGUAGAACCCGUACAAAAACGCCAAACAGAAAGGAUCAAAACAGAGUAAUCAAAUUUACCUAACACUAAUAGAAGUAGUGCUGAAUAAAAGAGAACGAAAUCUGUACCUUAAAAAUAGCAAACGCAAACACUAACCAACCUCACAAGGGACCAUCUAAACUCCCUAACCCCGACUUUAUCUUAAACUCCAAAUAUCUCCCUGACUCCAAUAUGCCCAGAACAAUAAACGAAUGUUUUGACCUUCUAAACGAUGUUUUCUGGAAUAACGCAAAACACGAAAAUCGUAGAGAACGAAAAGACCUUUCCGAAAAGGUAAGGCUCGUCAAGAACGGAGUCAUAACGAAUCGGGAAUUAAAUAAAACGUCCGCUGAUUCAGAACUCAAAGCGAGAACAGGAUCUGAUUAAGUUUUGUAAUUUUGAGAACAGUUUGAAACAUAAUCUGAGAAAACAUUAUAAACGAAAGUAUAUGAGAUUGAAAGAGCUUUCCGAAACAUCAAGAAUCAUCAAAUUCCGAUAAGAAUUGAAUUUUCUACGAAUUUUACAAGACAGCUGAUUUGUGAGAAUAAAGCCCUACGAAUUUUUGUCAUAAAAAUGAAGAGAAGGUUGAGUAGCUCUCAAAAGUAUAUAAAAAGAAUGAGAGAACAAAUCAAUAUACUCCCUUUGUCCCUCUCGUUUAUUUACAGUGUUUGACACGCAUUUUAAAGCGCAUAUAAAACAUAGUUCUAUGAUUUAUUUUCAAAAUUUUUCUUUUUUGUAUAAAAAUUUAAACAUCAAAUUUUUAUCUAGAAAAAAAGGAAGUUCAAAAUAAUUUAUUGAACUACGUUUUACGAGAGCAUUAGAAUGCGUGCCGAGCCCCCGUCCCCCAAUGUAAACAAAUGAGAGGGACGGAAGGAGUAUAUAUACAGAGUCUUGAGACCCUAAUUCUAAACCUAUCCAUUAUCUGAAUGCAAGGCUGAUCUAUAUUUUAAGUACACUAUCCUAAUUCAAUUUUAAAUCCUAUUCAUAAUCUAAUUUUAAUCCUUUAUUAUUAUUACUAACCAAUUAAUAUUAUUUUAAAAAAAUACUGGAUAUUACAUUCCUGAUCAGACUAGUGAUCGGAUUGCAACCGCAAAGCAGCCUAUAUAUAGUGACAAUUAAAUACACAACAAAACAACUUCUUUCUUCUCUCUUGGGUUAUAAUACUCAGACGGACAAGCUAUAUCUGAGGCGAUUUUCUGGGCGAUUAAACACACAAUAAAAGCAGCUUCUUCUUCUUCAAUUAAGGUUUAUUCUACACCCAAUCACAUACACACACACACUUUAAUAUGACUAGUGAGUUCAAUUUUUGGUGGUAUUAUAUGAUUAUCAUGUUCUCUUUUUAAAUAUUAGUAACGUUAUUUUCGGAGUGGACUCUGUUGAUGUUUAAAUUUGAUAUAGAUAUUGUAAUUGAAAAUUUAUGUUGAUUUGUUGUUCAGAUUUCAAGUAUUAAUUUGUGUGUGAUCAAAAUUUUGCUUCUACAUCGAUUAUCAGGAGGAAAUAUGAGGCCGAUCUUGAUCAAAGGACACGAAAGGCCAUUAACAUAUCUAAAGUAUAACAAGGAGGGUGACCUCCUCUUCUCCUGCGCAUUAGACAGAAACCCCGCUGUUUGGUACGCUGAUAAGGGAGAGCUUUUAGGCACUUACCGUGGGCACAUUGGUUCUGUUUGGGGUUGUGAUGUUUCUAGGGAUUCAAAACUUUUAAUAACUGCAAGUGCGGAUCAAACAGCAAAGGUAUGGGAUGUUCAAACUGGGUCUGAGCUGUUCACGUUUGAAUUUAAGUCCACUGUGAAAUCAGUAGAAUUUGGUGUCGGAGACAAGCUUGCUGUCAUUGCAACAGACUCCUUUCGUGACAUGUCUUCUGCAAUUCAUGUCAAACACAUAGCCAGAGAUCCUAGUGAACAGUGCGGUGAUUCUGUGAUUGAAUUCUCACCUGGAGGAAGAAUCAAUAGAGCUGUUUGGGGACCUUUAAAUAGGACCAUAAUAAGUGGUGGUGAACAAGGCGUUGUUCGUGUGUGGGACGUUGAGACAAAGAAAGUGAUUUAUGAGUCAGACAAGGAUACUGGUCAUCAGAAGGCCAUUACAUCACUUGCAAAAUCAAGAGACGGUUCACAUUUACUUACUGCUUCCAUUGACAAAUCAGCUAAGCUUUGGGACAUCAGAUCAAUGAAACUUCUCAGGACAUACAAGGCUGAAGCCCCAGUUAAUGCAGUUGCACUCUCUCCACUACUUGAUCAUGUCGUGCUCGGAGGUGGUCAAGAUGCAUCGACUGUUACAAACGAUCCUCGUGCUGGCAAGUUUGAGGCCAAAUUUUAUUCCAAGGUCCUUGAAGAAGAAAUUGGAUCUGUGAAAGGACACUUUGGUCCGAUAAAUGCAUUGGCAUUCAACCCUGAUGGAAAAAGUUUCGCAAGUGGAGGUGAAGAUGGUUAUUUGCGAUUACAUCACUUUGAUCAUGACUACUUCAACAUGGCGAUUUAAUUCGAAUUACUUACAUUGCUACGUCUUUUUUUUUUUUUUUCCGGUUUUAUUCAAGUUAUUUUCUGGUUUUUAUGUUGAUCUUAUGUUCUUUGUUAUAAAUAGAAGUGUGGUUCCUUUUAAAACUAUUUACAUAAGUUUUUGGCUUUUCAUGUAAUUUAAUCAAAGUAAAUGCCAUGAGAUCCUGAAUAUAUCUACUUAUCUAUCUAUCUACUUAUUAAAGCAGAAUCAGGGGAAAAAUAUACCAGAAAUUGGAUGAAAAAUUUACAUACACACCCUCAAUUAUUCAUCAAUUCCGAAAUUGGCCUGUAGUUUAGCUGUUAACUUGCAGGAUUUUUGUAAAAGUAGGAAUCAGCGAUUCUUAGGUACCCCAGUGACCCCGAAUCGGUUUCUCAGAUUCUUGGAAAUCCUCGGUCAGUUGAUUUAGAUUGUGGGCAUAUAUACACCUAUAGUCAGCCUCCGGCGGUGCAAUCUUUUGGUGGUGUUUUUCAGCCUUUUCUGCUAUAGCGAUUCUUGUUAAAACAUUCAGGUGCUAGGGUUGUUUUGUUGGUAAAGGGAAUUGGAUUGUUGUAUCUGCGGUUGUGGCAAAGGUAAUUUUCUUGCCCUUGCUAUUCUUUUGGGAUGUCUGAUUAUAAAUAGCCCUUCUAACUUUGUUCACCUGUUCUGUAUGAUGUGUGUCAUUUGUGAUUGAGUCGAGCAGUAUAUCAUUUUGAUGCAUAUUGUUAAUUUCACUCUGGGAAAUUUUUAUGCUGAUGUUUGGGCAAUUAAUUCUGGUUAUUUCGUUGAUUUUGUUUGUGGUUUGUUUCCACCUGCCAUUAGAACUGUAAAGUAAAGUGUAUUUAUUGAUCAUGAUUCAAGUGUUUGUAGAUAAUCGAUGUGGGUGACAAAGAAGCUGCAAAUGAUGAUGGUUCUUCACAAAUUUUAUCUGCUUUGCUUCCUUUUGUUGUGGCUCUCACCAUGGUUGUCAAGUCGACGACUGCUGUUGCUGCUCUUGCUCAGCCCUCAACUUUCACCUGGUAACAACUUUUGUAUGUUUGGUAAAAUAUUUUGAUUUUUUUUUUUUUGUAAGGGUAAAAUAUUUUGAUUGUGAUAAGCUAAUUUAUUGUUUUUUAAUGAUUCCAACACUACAACAGAUUUAGCAUCACACAACGGUUUUUGCCCGUUGUCUGAGACCACGGAAAACCGUGGUCUAUCGAGACGCCGUCUGAUAUGCGUAUCAGACAACGGUGCGCACCGUUGUGUGAUAGUGCUAAACACGAUGGUUUACGUUAAAAAAAUUGUUGUGCAACACCCAGAACCAACAACGUUUACUCUUAAACGUGGUGUUGUUAGAAACACUCCUUAACAAUAGUCGAUUUCAAAAAUGGUGUUGUUAGAGAGACUAUCCACAACAGUUUUAUUAGCUCGCAAGACUUGUUGGAAAGAUGAUCAUACAACAGUAGUUGAAAUAGAGAAGCUCGUUCUUUCCUCUCUUGUACAACGGGUUUCGAACACCAAGCCACUUGUGUAAGGCCCCUUCUAACAAUGUUUUAAUUAGUGAGGUUGUUGUGUUUAGUUACGUCAGACAAUGGUUUUCUUUCAUAGUUGGUUGUCGUUUACAUGUUUUAACAAUUGUUUCUGUUUCAUCAUUAUUGCAAGUCAUUUGUUUGGACAAUGGUUUUGUGACAAUAAAUCAUUGUUUCCAGUUUUAUGAGACAAUGUUUUUAAUGAAUAAUGAUUAUUGUAUCAUGUUCAGUAUGACAAUGGCCCUGUAUUAUCCCAUUACCUAAAUACAUAAUAGACAAUGAUUAACAUAACUCGAUUAAACUAAGCUAGAGAAUGUAAUUAAAAAGCCAAAAAUUUGUAAACAAAAAAUUUCAUUAUGCACUAAUAACCAUUGUUACAACCAAAUCAUAUAUACCAUCCAAUAUCCAGAAAUAUUUCCCCCGAGGAUGGCAAAUCUCAAAAAUAUAAAUACCUACAAUAAAUGGUAGCAUCUAGAGAGGCAUAUGUGACUACAAGAGUCUUUUGUGAGCUUUUCAACUACCCAGCCCAGGAACAAUCCUCUGAUUGCAUUCUUUUGAUUCGGAUGGAGCCCUCCUGCUAUCUCUUUUGGAAGUGACUCUACUGCAACCACCUGUAAUACAUAAAAAAGUUCUUGAUAUGCUUUUCGUACAAAGAAAUUAAUGUGGUUGAGGAGUAUGUUUCGAGUUCAAAAUAUACCAGUGUGCCAUCUUCCAUGGUUUCACGUCAUUCAUACACAAUAAAUUGUAGCAAUUGUGAGCCCUAUCAACAUACCAGUCUUUCUGUAUUUAGAGUUGGAGCAGCUAAGCCAAAAUCAGACAAAUGGGGAUUGAGUUCAUCAAGUAAAAUAUUUGCUGACUUUAAGGUACUAUUAACAACAUAAGGAACAACAUCAGCAUCUUGCUUCUAUCAUCAGUGAAGUAUAAAAACUCUUGCAAGCUACUAUUUGCAAUAUAAUCAUGGACCAGAAGACGUACCAUGUUCAGCGGAAUAUCAUUCAAAUCUCUGGCAUGGUUGUUGUGAUGGAUAAAAAUAAGUUCCUUUAUGACCUGAAUUAAACAUUAAAAGAUACCAAAUUAACCGAAAUGCGUAGAGAUGCACAAAAAGUCCAGGCCCGAAAAUAUGGUCAUAGAGAUUUAAAAAAAGUCGAAAAUAAAGACAAACCAUGUGAGUAAAAAGCAGAGUAAGGAGGAUUGAUGGUAGUGUUUGAUAUAGAUGCCAUGUGGGUAGAUCCAUAUGAGCUGCUGGAAGCAGAGAGAUUUCUUCCAAACUCUCUUACAUUAUUGACAACAUUUGUGUUAACAUAUAUGUGUUGUAUAUGAAAUUUUAAAGAUUAGAUACAUAAAUAUAAUAUUAUUCGGAAAAUAUAACAUACCAUCUCGAGUCAUUUUCUUGCUUGGUCAUUAAAAUAACCUACAGCAAGUAAUGUACCCUCACUCUAUAAGAAGAAGAUGGACAAAAAGAAGUCAGUUGUAUGGAUGCCUCGGAAUAUAUACAAGAAUGUCCCAGGGAUAUUUAUUCAGUUGAUGAAGCAUGUAUAUCUAGAAAUUAACAAACCUCAUCAGCCAAAACAAAUAUAAAAUUAAUAAAAUCAUCUGUCUCCAAACACACAGAUUAAAAUCAAAGCACAAAUGUUAUCACACAAAACCAAGACAACACAAGAUCCAUCACUAAAACACACAACUACUACUAAAAUCAAACACACAAACAAAAAUCUCAUAUAGAUUCAAACUUUAUCCCCAAAAUCAAGUAUAAUUACACAGUAAAAAGCAUUCGUUUACCUCUUCAUAAGGUGAAUUGUUGUUAAACUAAUCAGCACGGUCAACACCGGCAUCAAAAACUUGAAUGGCCUUUGGGGUUAUCGCCGACAGAACAGAUCUGAGUAAGCUUUGUAGAAAAUGAGAUAGAGACGGGGGAGGGAGGGGAGAGUUCAGAGGAGGGUGAGGGAGAGACAGAGGGCGAGAGGGAGGGGAGGGGCGAGAUGCUUUAACAAAUCAAUUGCGGCAAGAGUGGGGAAGACACAGCCGCACCAGAAGAGGAAGAGAUAGAUUCAGAAGAAGAGAGAUUUACUCUCACUUACAAAUUUUAGGUCAAAAUAGAGGGGGGGAAAUGAAAAUUUGGAUAAACAAGUAGAGAGGGAAUUGAAAAUUUUUGUAAGGUGGAAAUCAUUCGUUCAUCCCGUGUAAAUAACAAAAUCAAUGUAUUAUAAUAUCCAUAUAGUUGAAUUAUAAAUAAAUGAAUUUUUUAAAUUAUAUUUUUGUAUUUGAUUACAAAUAUUUCAUAUUAAAUAAAUUUUAAAAACAAUUUUAAUGUAGAUGUCAAUAUCUAAUUAUUUUAGUUAUUUGUGAAAAUCUUCAAAAAAUUAAAAAUUAAUCUGGUAAAUCUUUUUGACAAAAUAUAGUUGAAAUACAACUAUUUAAUAAAAAAUUAAUAAUUCUUUAAAAGUUAAAAUUCUCAUUUUCUCGAUGUAUUCCGUUUUUGUACUCUUUGUCUAAAUAAAAUAUACACAAAUUUUUAUUAUUCAUUUGUAAUAAGAAGAUAUUUGUGUGGUUCAAAUGUCAAUAUUAGUAUAAAUUUCAUAUUUACAAUAUAGGAUGUACUUAAUAGAAGUUUUGUGAUCUAUAUGAUUAACCCCGUAUUAAUUUUGAAAUAUUUUCGAUCAUCCAAACAUAUAAAGAUCUUAAUAUCUAUCAAUAUUAGUCAUGUAUAAUAUUUUUAAAUUUUUCUAUAUUUAUUUAUAUCUUGUUGUAACAAAACUAGUGAUGAUCGUUGUUUUUAUGUCAUUUCUUAUUUUUGUACUUUUUAUCAAAAAAUUAUAUUUAUAUUAUGCAUAUGUCCAAAUUUGUAUUAUUCAUUUGUAAUUGGAAGAUAAUUUUGUUGUUCGGACCUGAGUAUUACUAUGUGUUUUAUGUUCACAAUUUAGGAAGCACUAGAUAGAAUUUUUGUUAUCUACAAAAUUUGCUCUGAAUUAAUUUAUAAAUAUUUUUUUCGAUGAUAUAACCGUACGGAUGUUAAUAACUAACAAUAUUAGUCAUGCAUAAAAAAAUUAGAUUUUUUUAUGCUUAUUUUAUAUGCUUUUUUUACAAAACUAGUCAAUUGUAAAUUUUGUCUUAUUGUAAAAAGGUAAUUUUUGUCUUGUAGUGUCCAACAGACAACGGUACUUAUAGGCACGUGUGUUGUAUGAGUUAAAAUGACACAACUGUUAUGGACAUUAUACAGUCAUAACAAAAUCUAUUGUCUAAAAUAGGCUCAAACAAUGUUUCGGGAAAAACUCGUUGUGUGUAAGUAGUGUAGACAAUGGUUUCUGGGAGGCAAACCGUUGUAUAAUAAAUUUUCAUUUUUAAGAGUUAGAAAUUCACAUUUUCUUGAUUAGUUCUUGUUUUUGUACUCUUUGUCUUAACAAAUAUACUUAUAUUAUGUAUAUAUGCAAAUAUCAAUUGUCAUUUGUACUAUGAAGAUAAUUUUGUAGUUCGAACAUGAGUAUUGGUAUGUGUUUUAUAUUUACAAUUUAGAAAGUACUGAAUAGGAUCUUUGCUAUAUAUAAGAUUAGCUCCGUAUUAUUUUAUAAAUAUUGAUUUUGAUGAUCUAACCGUACGGAUGUCGAAAACUAACAAUAUUAGUCAUGUAUAAAAAAAAUCAAUUUUUUAUGUUUAUUUUGUAUGUUUUUUUUAACAAUACUAGUCAAUUGUAAAUUUUGUCUUACUGUAAAAAGGUAUUUUUUGUCAUGUAGUGUCUAACAUACAAUGGUUUUUAUAUGCACCUAUGUUGUAUAAUUGAAAAUGAUACAACUGUUACAGAAGUAUACCGUUCUAAGAAAAUCUAUUGUCUAAAUUAGGCUCAAACAACGGUUCACGGAAAAUCCGUUGUAAAAAAGUAGUGUAGACAACAGUUUAUGGGAAGGAAACCGUUGUAUAAUAAAUUUUCAUUUUUAUGAGUUAAAAAUUCGCAUUUCCUUGAUCAAUUCUUGAUCUAAUGCAAGAAAAACAUAUGACUAUCAAGAAAUUGAUUGUUUUGUUAUAACUUUGGUUAGGACUUUGAAUCUUUGCACUCUCUUAUGUACAUCCAUUUUCUUAAAAUUCAUUCAAUCAUACAACAUUUUAUUAGUUAGUAGAGGCUUGUCUAUAAUGCCAUGCUACAAUGCUAACAAAAACACUUGUAUGUUAGCUUCCCAGUCACACAACACUAUAUAAAACCCUUGUUUGAACUCCUCGUAAACAACACAACAAAUAAAACACUUGUCUAAUUACAACGACGGUUUCUUGAACUAUUGUCUGAAGUUUCUUCACACAUCGGCUCUCAAAACAGUUGUCUAACAUGCAUCAUUACACAAUACCACAGUUAAGAAACCAUUGUCUAAUUGAAUUUACUAGACAACAAUUUUUUAACCGUUGUAGGUCGUAGAUGUUAGACAAUAGUUUUUCGAGGCCGAAAAGAAAGUGUUGUGUCUUUUUUCCAAACAACGCUUUUUUCACCGUGCGUUGUCUGAUCAGUGUUGUCUAAUGGUGUUAUUGUUGUAGUGCAAGUUGGAUUUAUUUAAUGCUAAUAGGUACUUGUUCAAGUGAGGAGAUUUAACUGAGAUUCAGGUUCUGGCAUUUGUCUUGUGUUGUUAUUUGUUUAUGUACCGGUUUUGAGAGUCAUUAGAGAUAUGUAAGGUAUUUAUUCCUAUUUUUUAUUAUUAGUAUUACAUCGUUUUCGGGUAAAAUAAUCGAUGAUUGUUUGUUUUAACUGUGUAAUAGCCUUAUGAUCUGCCAACUUAUGUAGACAUGUGAUAAACAUGUUGACUGUGGUCAAUAUUUUAGAUGAGGUAGUGUGUUUGUUGUUAUUGCAAGACUUUUUGGAAUAAUCAUUGUCAAAAAGAACUAACGAUGAAUGGAAAUGAAGUUCUGAAGAAGUGAUGAUACAAUGUUAAAGAGAUUGCUUUUUGUUGAAUUUUUCUGACUCUGGAAUUAAACUGCGUUAGUAUCUUCUUCUCUGAUUUUCCUUAUUUGGUAGACCUACUACUUUCAGAAGAUACAUGUGGUAUUUGUUUGGUUGAUUAAUUUUGGUAAGAUACAGUUUCCGUUUGGAAUCAGACUAUCCAUUGAACAAUCAGACUAUCCAUUGAAGAUUUUAUGCUCGCUCUUAAAUGGUUGAUCCACUGAUCUUAUUCUUACUUCAUAUGAGCUAAAGCCAGCUCUAGGGGUGUUUCUCGCAUACAAAAAAAUUAAAAAAAAUAUUAUGAAACUAUACUUUGCAGGAGUCUCAAAAUAAAUAAGUGUAAACGAUAAACUUAAACACCUAACUUCUUAAACACCUAGCAUAACACGGGUGAGCAUAUGGUCAAUCAUACCAAAUUGAAUAAAUCGAAAUUAAAAUUUAAAUAUUUUUAGACUGGACCAAACUGAAAUAUUUUGUCCGAUCCAGUUCAGUAUGAUCGAAAAGAAUUGAUUCUUUUGGAAAAAGUAACUUAAUAUUAUAAAUAAAAUUAAGAUUUAUAAUUUAUUUAAAAACUAUCAAUGAAUCAUCAACACUUCUUCAAAAAUAGAUACAUUUGAAUUUAUACAUUAGAUAUUAUAACUUCUAAAAAGUAUAUAAAAAUAUAUAAUAUAAAUAUAAAUUUAUAGUAUAAUUUUUUUGACUAUUUAGAAUAUAUUUUUAACCCAAAUAUUUUUUUUUAAAAUCAAAUUUUAUUUCGAUGAACUUUUCUAGAAAAUUAAGAUAGAAACGAAACUCAUUCCUACAGUAAGGUUUCAGUUUUUCGGCUGCAAUACGGUUUUGCUCAUCAUUAGCAUAAAUGGAGUAUGUAGUAAAUAUGAAUGAAUGGCAUGGGAAUUCUUGGAAUGGUAUCAAGAAUUAAGAUUAAAGCACAUUAGAAGUUUAGAACCAUGAAUGUUAUUUUUGAAAAUAGUAAUCCCUCCGUUUCUUAUCACGUUUCUCGUUUGAUAUGUCGGAACGGUUCAUAAUAUGAGACAAAUUAGUAAUUUAUGUCCAAUUUAUAAAAUUAAAUAUAGUCAUGAGUGAUCUUGUUGGAUUCGUAUCUAUGAGUACUUUAAUAAGAUGAAAUUUUUAUAUUUAAUGUUAAUACAAAAUUAAAAUAUAUUAAUUAAAAAUAUAUAUUGACAAACGUGAUAAAAACAAACAGCAAAAAUAUUAAGAAACGAAGCGAGGGAGUAAUAAAUAUGCUUUAUGCUGAACUGAAUUGAGUGCGUGGAAGCUUGGGGAGGCAGCUUACUACAGUAUCUACGUGUAUCUGUAUAUGCAAUAAAGACACAAAUACUCACAGGAGAUUAUUUUUCAAACACUUAAUUUCCCCCUUUCCUUCUCGUAAUAUUCAACUCAAUUCAUCACAUCAUCUUCUUCAGACAAACAACUAUACUCACUUCAGAUCAUCACAUCAUCUUCUUCUUGACUUCAGAUCCACAUUUCAAACCCUAAUCAUUCGCUUGGUCCCCUCCCUCUCUGUAAUAAUACAAUUCUUUCUACACACAAACAAUAACAUCAUCAUCAUCGAGUGAAGCUUCAUAUCCACAUUCCAAGACCUAAUUACUCGCCAAACCACUCUCGCUCUCAUGGAGGAGGCCUUAGAAAUGGCGAGAUCGAAUGAUACCAAGAAGCGAAGGGCGGGAGUGGAUCGGCUGCAACAGCUUCUUGAAGAUUCAAGAAAGUGCUUGUCAUCGUCGGAAGUGACGGCGCUAGUCGACACGUGUCUUGAGCUUUUGAAGGACACGUGUGUUGCUGUCGUCGGCCGCGGAGUUGUUUAAGUUGCAUUCUGAUAGAAUUAUGACGGCGGUUGUUGAUAGGUUGUGGGAUGGGGAGCAGCGGGUUCGAGACUCGGCGAGGAGGCUGUUGAUUACCCUUAUGGAGGUAAUUUAUUAAUUUUCUUGGGGAAUGCCAGUUGAUUUUAUGGAAUGUGAUAUAGUAUAGUUUCUAUCAAUCGAGUAUCUUAAAUUGAUGACUACAACAAGUAUUAUCGUUUUGCACGCAAGUGGCUAAACUUUUAUGCAUGCCAAAUUGCCAAUCGGGUUUCAAUUUCAGAUCUCUGCCUUCACUUGCAUACGAACACAUUUGAGUUUAAAAAGAUGAAUCACCUCAUAAAUAUCAUUAAUAAUUAGUUGGUGUUAAUAGUGCACUGAAAAAUGGGAGAGAAUGACAAGACUAUAGACAGUAGUAGGGCUGAGCGAGAUGUUAAUUGAGUACUUAUAUGAUGCUUCACUAUGUUCAGGGAGUUAGUUUAUUGCUUCUUUCCUACACUUUCACUUGAAUUAGUACUAAUUAAUAAUUCCUUCUCUAUCUUGUAAAAUUUCUCCUUCAUUGCUAAGCAUAUCUACUCUGAUUAAUUUUCAAACAAACUUUACUACUGAGAUAGGAUUGUUUGCUGGGUAGGAGCACCAUAGAAUGAGUAGCUCUAUUGCUAUAUACUGAAGGGUGCGGUGGCAUCCUCGGUUAUAUUUUAAGUGCUACUUCGAAUUUAGUUGUUGGCUUUUGCAAUUUAUUUUCAUUCACAAUGUUUUAAUAAUGAUACCCCAUAUUAGGUGAGAGAUAUUAGUGCCAGGCUGGAGCAGAUUCAGAUUCAACCAGCAACUUCCGUCUCUUCCAUCUCUGAAGGACUUAAUAGUAAUCUUCUCCACCAUGCACCUGAUUUAGAAGUAUAAUGUAUUAAUGUGAACUUUUUAUUUAUAUUUAUUUCCAUGUGUAGUAAAACGAUCACAUCUUUUAAGAGCUUAGUACAAUGUUAUGUACAAUGUGUAAUUAAUUAAGAGGUUUGUACAUAGUUUAGUAUGAAAUGGAAAAAGUUUGUACAGAAGUUUAUUUGUUCACAUUACAGCUGAGACGAGCAAGCAAAAACCAUCAGAGAAUUCAAAGGAUAAUGAUAAAGGAAUUGAGCCCCUACUGGAACUGCCGGAAGAUAUUAUCUUUCUACAAAUUCUGCCUAAGUUGAACAGCCUAGAUGUUCUUCCCCUGGUUUUGGUGGCUAGGAGUUGGGCCUCCUUUCUUUUGCAUGAGGGACCCAGACUGAUGUUAUUCAACCCACCUAAAAAUCCUACACCUAAACACACUUCAAUUUUAUUUGAUGUAAGCCCGAUUCCGUACUCUGUUUCAGUUUUGUUAUCCCCAGAGAGCCGCCAACUGUGUCAGUCUAGGUGUAUAAUUGUUCCAAUCUUGAAUUCUGGUAUAAAACAUGCUGUUCCAAUUUUCACUGACUACCCAGAUUUUUUAAAGCAGGGGGAAGUCCCAACUGUAGUGGGAUCUUCCAGUGGUAUUAUAUGCCUCUAUAUCACCAGUUCUCCCUCUAGAUACAUCCUGCUAAACCCCUUAACAAAACAUUAUAAAGAGGUUGGGGCCCCUUAUAUUUUUGUACCAGAUUGUGAGCAAGCUUCUGUAACUUCUGGAUUCUUUUAUGAUGAAUGGACUGAUGACUUAAAGAUCGUACAAUUGUUGAGAUGGGAUCAAAGGCUUACGAGCUUGGAUGCUCCGGGACCCAAAAAGAUACAUGCGCUUCGCGUUUGUUCUGUAAAUUCUGCAAAUUGGGAAGUUGUUGACUUGGGGCCAAUGAAAGUCUCCGAUCGUCUUGGUGGUGUGUUAUUUUUGCCGAAAGCUCUCGUCACAUUUGUAGAUGCGUUUGCUACAGAGCCGGAGAUUAACUUUUGGUUGGAUUUUCGUGAUUGCCGUCUAAAGGCAGUUCCGGAAUUAGAAGGGGCUGAACUCAGUAUGAAAUCGGUUUGGUGGAAUAACCAGGUUGGUGUUAUUGUUGGAACUGACAGCAUUUAUGUCCUUGAUGAGGAGUUUGCAGCCUGGUAUUACUGCACAGUGCUUCCGGACGUGGGAAAUUGUGUAUUCUGUUUAGAUGAGAACAAAAUUGUGGGGAUGGGGGCUGGGGAAAGCGGAAGCGUAAAUGAUUACAAUAUUCUUAAUUCCACAAGCGGCGAAAUCCAACAUAUAAUCUCGUUGCCUUCUUGCAGGGUUUUUCCGUAUGUUCCUACAUUCUACUAUAUCGAGGGAAUGGCUAAUUUUUAGACUUUUGCAAGUCACAAUGUAAUAAAAGAAUGUAAACAGUACAUAGCAGCAAUACCUCUCUAUAGCAUAUAGUUUCAGAUACAACAUGUAUUGUGAUGCCAGCUUGUAGAGUACAAGUAUUAUUCUAGGUGAUUGAUUGUUGAGAAUAAUAGAGGCAACCGGUUGCAUGAUGGUAUCCUUGAAACUUUCAUAAUUACUAAUAUCGAACUCAGAUAGCAUGCAAUUUUUCCGGAGAUCAUAUUCUUUAGCUAUCAACUAACUCUACAUUAUAUAUUAUGUCCCAGAUCAAUGAGUUUGUUUGCUAUAAUGUCCUAUUUUAUAUGUGAUUUAGGAAUAUGUUCCAUUAACUUGUUAUCACCCUCAAAUCUAAAAUCUAAGACUACCAUGUCCUUAGUUUAUUUUGUUUAAUAUUUGUGAAUAGACUCUAAUCUGAUCAUAUCAAUUAUAUUUUAGUAACAGAUGUUUAAAUGCAUAUGUUUUUGUUAUCUAGUUAUUUCAAUGAUGAUGGGAUUAAAUUUUUUUAUUCUUGUAAUAUGUACAAUGAUUGGUUUAGCUUUAAUAUUUAUUUUUAUUUUUAUUUACCAAUUUUAAUGUAGGUAAAGUUUUAUCAGCAAAUUUUAUUUUUUGUAUGCAGUAAUCUGUUCUAAUAUCAAAUUUUGAUUUAGAUCGAGUAUUAGUAUGUUGAAUUUGCAUUCAUCUAGUUAGAUGAGUGAAACUGGCUAAUUAAUGGAAAAUCAUAAGUACCUGAGUUGUUUUCAAAUUUUUUUCCCAAAUUUUAAUUGUUUGAUUGGUUUCUUCAAAUUAAUAUUAAUGGAAUCAUGAACGCACAUAAAUAAUUUAAUUAAAAAUUAUUUAUUUAUGUGUCAUUUAGAAAAAAUUGGGGACAAAAUUUGGGAUAGUAAUGGGGACGAAAUAUGUGUUAGCGUUAAUGGUUUAGCGGCAGUGGAGAACGCAAUUUAAGAGCAAAUCCAAUAGUGUCCUAAACUAGUAUCCUAAAUUAAAAAUUAAGGUAUUUAUAUAAAUGAGUGCUCCACCUAAUGAGUGCUCCACCAAUGUCCAGUGAUACCUUAAAAUACUAGGAAAUCCAUCAAGCGUCUCGUUUUUAAGACAUCACUAGGCAUGCCCUAUUUCACUUCUAUCAAUAAAAUAUAUCUUUCCCUCGUUUUUUACAGAUCUCUUCUCUCUCAUUUUUUCCAUUUAUGCCCAAUUAUAAUUCAAAUAUAAUACACCUUCAGUCCCUUUUUAGUUGUGAAAUUUACAAAAAUAAUUUGUCCUUAAAUAAUAUUCUCAUCCUUGUUCCAAUACAUAUUUAUACAUAUUUUUUCAUGUUUACCCCUUGAUUGUUGGUUCAAAUGUUUGACUGUACUACUAAUAUAUACAGUUUUGACUUAGUAUUUAAUAUAAUAAAUAAGGGCAUGCGUGGAAACAACUUACAACAUUUAAUUUUCUUUAAUAUAUGUAUUUUUGCAAAUGUGACAACUAAAAAGGAACAGAGAGAGUAUUAUUUUAAUCAUAAAACAUAUUGUUGGAGUUAAUAUAAAAAAAUCAUGUCUUAAAUCAUAAGAUUACUAUAUUUAAUUAUAUUUAUAAGGCAUCUAAUAGUACAAUAUUGGAUUUGCUCUGAUCACAGAUCAAUCAAAUGAUCGGCAACUUAAGCGAUCAAAUGAGAUGACUCGCAUAGUCCACGCUAAUCGAUAUCCUUAAGAGGAUGUUUGCCUGGGCUUAAAGCCCUUGCUUUAAGCCAUCUUUGGCUUUAAGCUGAAAAAUGUCUGUUUGUGUAAUAAGUCAGAAGCCAGCCUAAAGUCAGAAAUAAGCCAGAAGCUGACUUAAAGCCAGAAGUUAAUUUGAGGUACUUUUUUCAGUGGCUAAAUUUUUUUGAACUUUUUUUUUGAUAAAAAUUACUCCUAAAUCAUAAGUUUCUUAUAAAUCACUUUUAUUUUUAUUAUUAUAUUUUUAAUAACUCAUAAGUCAUUCAUAAGCCAAAAUUACCCAAACAGACAUUUUAAGCUAUCAGCUUAUCAGAUAAGACACGUUAAGUCACAAGUCACAUUAAGUCAUAAGCCAUAAGCUCAGCCAAACGGGCAAGUUUUCUAAGAGACAUUCCUGCUUAGUGCAUUUUUAAUAGGGUUGCCUAAAUCGUUGACGAAAUUGGACAUGUGAGACAUUAUAUAAAAUUUGUUAAACAUGUAAGUGAUUGUGUUUCAAUAAUGUUAACUACAUUGAUAGAUUAUAACUUAAAAAUAGUAUGUUAUUAAUAUUUAGAUUGUUAUAAAAAAAUAUAUGAGUUUAAUAUGAUAGGAAAUGAUGUGUAAAUUACCCCGAUUAUAUAUAUAUAUAAAUAAUAAUAUAUUUAUAUAUAUUAUACUAAAUAUAUUAUUAAAAAUAGAUAAAUUUUAUAAUAUAAUCAAAAGUAAAAAAUAAUCUUUAUUUUUAUUGAUUGAUUAUAAAUAUAUUGUAAUAUAAUAUAUUUUAUAAUUUUAAAUUGUUGUUUAUUUAUAUUAUAAAUCAAUUUUAAUAUGAUUUGAGGUUGAAAAUAUAAGAUAAUAUUAUUUUAUUAUUAUAUUAGGAGUUUGUAGUUUGUUUUUUAAUUAAAAAAAUAUAUUAUAUAUUAUAAAAUUAUUAUGUUUUUAUUAAAAAAUAAAAUUCCCCGAAACCCCGCGGGGAUCCCCGUUCCCCGUUCGGGGCGGGGAUCGGGGCGGAAAAUAAUCCCCGUUCGAGGUUCGGGGCGGGGUCGGGUAGGGCCGUAGGGGUAUUGAAUUCGGGGAUCGGGGUCGGGGAUAGCACUCCCCGCCCUCGAAGUCUCCCCGUGCCCAUCCCUAGUCGAACCUCUAGAGGUCCGUAAAAAAUCUCCAAGAAGAUUACACUAUGUAAUCUUCUUGGAGAUUUUUUACGGACCUCUAGAGGUUCGACAAAUAUAGUGGCCGGUAGGAUGUUGGUUAAAAUUAUAGAUAAGUGGUGUCUAUGGUUGAGUGUGAUUUUUUUGAAUAGAAUGGCUAUAUAUUUUAUUUUUGGGAUGCCAACUCAAUUUUUAAACUAAGGACUUCUCAUAUUUGGAGAUGCUAUAUGAUGGCAAAUCCCGCAAAUCUUCAAUUUUGACAUAUAUUAUCCUAAAUUCUCUUUCAACAAUGAUUGAUUCAAAUUUGGAUCAAGAUUGUUGGAUCCCGCUGACGUGGCAGUGACGUCAUGUUGACGUGGCGCCCUGGGGUGGACCCCGGUGCUGACGUGGCAGAUGACGCGGCGGUGACAUGGCGCCUGGUUGGGGUCCCAUUACUAACGUGGCAUUUGGGUAGAAAGUAUAAAUUACGGAAAAUUGAUGACAAACUGAGAGGUGCAUAUUAUAAGUUUUAAAAAGUAUGAGGAGAUAUUUGAUCAGUUUAAAACUAGUUUUUAGGUUUUUAGGCUAACCGUGGUUUGUAUAUUCGAGCAUCCCCGUGUAUAUUGACAUAUAGGUAAACUCCUUGCAAUACUUUGAGCUGCAAAAUCCAUCAAAAUUUUGAUUUAUCAUGUAACUGUUUGACAGAGUACUUCCAACUUUCAAGCGUAAGUAUCAAAAUCACUACCUUCAUAUGUUCCAUUAAGCGUGAAAGGUACAGAAUAAGAAGUGAAAGAAAUCCUUUAUAUUUACACGGCCAUUGAUCUUAUAGGAUCACCUAGCCCAUCAGUGCUAGGGAAUACGGAACCAUCUUAUCAAUUAACGAAGAAAUGUAUGCAUGCAGUGUCACCACCACAAGUCAGAAAUGGUGAUGAUGCUAAUGAUAAUGAACUCAAUUGGGAGUGAUCCUAAUGGGAUAUGGAUGUGGAUUGGUAUGCGGAUUCUUUGGGGUUUAUUGUUCUUACAAUGGGAAAGCCUUGGUGGUUUAUGAGAUACAUUGAAGUAAGUUGAUAAUGACAUGCACGGCUUAAUUAAGAUUAAUUAAGACAAACACCUUGACAAAAUGUUGUCUUAGAAUGAUAUGUAUUCUGAUUUUUCCUAAUUUAAAAUCAAAUUUAUUACAAUUAAAGUUAAAAUCUGCGUAGCACAUACUAUACUUUGAUUAAAUUUUUAUUGAAGUUGUCCAUAUUAACCUAGUGGCCGAAAGUGAAUAAAUUAAAUUAGUGGGGUCUAAUAUAAAAAUUGCAUUAAUUAAAAUUUGUAAUGUAUAGAUUAUGCUAAAGCUAUUCAUUAUAAAGAACAUAGGAAUGUUAAUCUCUUUAUAUGUUUGCAUGCGGAUAGUCUCUCGGGAGUGUGGUAUAUUGUCAUGGCUGGAAAAACGGCUAAUUUCUACGGUUUUUUUUUGACAGAAAUUAAUUUUGACGGAAUACUGUCGAAAUAUCGAAAGUCGAAAAUAAGCCGCAAAAUUACUUUUUUCAAUUUUCAAUUGAAAACUGUCAAAAAAGUCUCUGGCAAAAUUAUAUUUAUUUCUACAGAUAAUGUCGAAAAUAUUUUCCUGCAAAUUUCCCGCACCUUAGUUGUGAGCGGAAAUAGAUAGUUUGGACAGAAUUCCGUCGAAAUUACGCGAGUUCUUUGUAGUGUGUUUUCACACAUACGCUGAUAAUCUUUGGGGACUGGGGUAUAUUGUUUUCGCAAAGCACUGGUAGUUUGUGAGCUUGUCCAAUUUUUCCCCCCAUGCCUAUACUGGUUGGUCUCAGUCUUAGUGGUAAUAAGCUGGCGUCAAAUUUUCCAGAAUUCAUAUAUAAUUGCUAUAACAUGAUCCGAUGCCUGAAUCAGCAGCUAACAAUUUACGUAAUCUUGAAGAACUAUAUCUUGGUGCCAAUUCUUUCGAGGGCUCAUUUCCAACGAAUAUAUUCAAGCUUUCCAAAUUAAGGGUUCUUGACCUAUCUGUGAAUAAUUUUUCAGGUUCCAUUCCCAAUGGUAUAGAGAUGCUUCCCGAUCUUGGAAUAAAUCGUAUUUAUAAUAAUUCAUUUGAAGGAAUUAUUCCUUCUUCAAUUAGUCUACUUAAAGAUCUUCAACACCUAGACUUCGGUGACGACAACCUUGUGGUUUCAAGUAUAAUGUCUUACGGGUCCAAUCUAACCGAUCAUUACAGGCAACCCCAUUGGAGAUGCUCUUAAUAACAUUUUAACUAGAGAGUAUUUUCUAUCAAUUGCAUUUGUAUUAAAUUUGAUUUAGAUGAAGAGAAACAGAAUACAUAUGAUCCCGAGACAACAUUUUGUCAAUGUUUUCGUCUUGAUUGAACAGUCUUCUUCAUGCGUGUCCUUGUCAACUUCAGUUGCAGUAAUUCAAUGUAUCUCAGGAACCACCUUGGCUUUCCCAUUUUGAUAACAAGUAUCCUGAAGAUAAUCCGCAUAUCAAUCCACAUCCGCGCGUAUCCCAGUUGAUUUAUUAAUUUAUUCAUGAAGUGUUGCGAACGACAUUCCUGCAAAAGUAAAAGUCAGUGGAAUUUGUAUGAUAGCAUGAUGAAUAUUUAAAGUUUCAGUUAAAAUUUCACCAAGUAUUUUAUUUCUGGCUUAAGUCCCGGAUUGACGAAUUCUGCUGAUCACAUUUCUAAUCGACCAAUUCUGGUCGAAUAAAUUAAAUGGCACACUUCCUGAGUUGGUGGUAGGGGCGUUCUUCUUGUGUUUCUUUCUUUUCAUUAUUGACAUUGUUAUCCAGGCCCUUGCUUCUGGGCUUUUGUAAAGCACCCAUUUACGCCAUUGUCAUGAUCAUAGCUAGUCUUCCAUAUCCAAGAUACGCGCAUUAUAGUGGAUUUAUCUUUAUUAGUGAUUUCUGUGGAAAUGCAUAAUCUUAAUUAUAAGCUCCAAUAUUAUAAAAUAAACCUAACUUAUUAGAGUUAACAGGGCAUUUGUGUUGAUAAUUUGCGCAAUGUUAAUGGGGAUCGCUCCCAAGUCUUGGACGGACUCUUUCCAAGUCUUCUGAGGACCCAUCUGCACACUAAUUUGUCCGCCAACUAAAAAUUUAUAUAUAUUUUUCCAUAGAAUAUAAAUAGUUGGGGGUACUAACAGAACCUCUAGUAAAAUUAAUUAAUACCGUUAUGAUUUCGCAAACACAGCAGACAGCAGGCAUAAGGCUUAUAAAUAGAAGUGUCGUAUUUGGUUGAUGGUCAAGUUGAGUGGAAAUAUGGCACACUUUGUAAAGCCUUGUUAUCCUCUUCUCUUUGUUUUCUUUCUCUCAUUACUUCAAUCCAUUCUAACAACACAAGAGGGAGAAGCUCUUGUGAAAUGGAAGAAUAGCCUAGCCCCUUCUUCUUUUCUCGACUCUUGGUCACUCACCAAUCUCGAUAAUCUUUGCAACUGGACUGGCAUUACUUGUAACUCUGCAGGUUCAGUCUCUGAGAUUAACCUUAGUGAGAAACAACUUGAUGGAAUGCUGUCCGAGUUUGGUUUCACUUCAUUUCCAAAUCUCAACAAUCUCACCCUCGCAAUUAACUACUUCUCGGGUCCAAUACCACCAGCCAUUGAGAAUUUAACACAGCUUCAAUAUCUUGAGUUGAGCAAUAAUUAUCUAGAUGGUCCCAUUCCUUUCCAGGUUAGCAAUCUUCAGAGGUUGCUCAUCUUAAACCUGUCAGAGAAUGAACUGCAAGCUCCAAAUUGGUCCAAUUUUUCCCCCAUGCCUUUUUUGACCAUCCUCGACCUUUAUAAAAAUAAUCUUUUGUCAGAAUUUCCCGAAUUUAUAUCUAACUCGUGUAACCUUACGUACCUUGACCUCUCAUCCAACAAGUUUAGAGGGGAUCUUGCGCGAGAAUCAGUAUUAACCAAUCUAGGUGAUCUUGAAACCCUCUAUCUUAUUAGAAAUUCUUUCAAGGGGUCAUUUCCGUCAGAUUUAUUCAAGCUUUCUAAAUUAAAACGUCUUCACCUGUCGAGCAACAAAUUUUCAGGUUCAAUUCCUAAUGCCAUAAGGUUGCUUUGUGAUCUUGAAUUCCUAUAUUUAGGCAACAAUUCCUUUGAAGGACUGCUUCCACCAAAUAUAUUUAAGCUUUCAAAAUUAAAACAUCUUGUUCUUCGGAGUAAUAAGUUUUCAGGAUCUGUUUCCAAUGAUAUAAAUUUGCUUCCUGAACUUGAAUAUCUCGAUCUUAAUUCUAAUUUUUUUGACGGGCCGCUUCCUCCAGAUGUAUUCAAGCUCUCCAAACUAAGGUUUCUUUACCUCUCGGGUAAUACCUUUUCACGUUCUGUUUCCAAUGAUAUAGGUUUGCUUUCUGAGCUUGAAACCCUCGAUCUUAACUCUAAUUUUUUGAGGGUCCGCUUCCGUCAAAUAUAUUCAAGCUCAAAUUAAAAAUUCUAGACCUCUCAAACAAUAGAAAUUUAUUUCAAAGAAGUUUUCCUAUUGGACUGGAACUCUUGAGUAACCUCAGCUACUUAGGUCUAAGUUCCAGUAAUCUCAGUGGCAAUAUUCCAUCUUACAUUGGAAACCUGAAGCUACUAAUAUCUCUUGAUCUCAGUUCUAAUCAAUUGACUGGACCGCUUUCAAAGCUCGUUUCUAAUGUCACAAAUCUUAUAUUUCUUGAUUUAAGAGAUAAUAGUCUUAGUGGAAAUAUUCAGACUGACUUGUGGAAAUAUAACGAUCAUCCAACUCUGGAAUACAUCAAUUUGAGUGGGAACUAUUUUACGGGUAUAGUUUUUCUCUAUAGAUCUUUUCUUUUGUCAUAUGUAACUAAGCUAGUAAUCUGAUUAAUUGCAGUUUUACCAAAGUUUCAACAAUCUUGACAGGUGAGCUUCCAACAACAAUUUGCAAUGUCACUUCCCUUUCGGUUCUUGAUUUGUCAAAUAAUAACUUAAGUGGUGCACUUCCAAAAUGUUACGGGAAUCUUGCUGAUGGAUUGCUUUACAUUAAUCUUGCGAAUAAUCACUUUCGAGGAACAAUACCCACUACUUUCUCCAGGAGUUGUCAGCUGAUAUAUCUGAACAUGGAUGAUAAUGAGUUUGAAGGAUUGAUGCCCCCAUCUUUGGCGAACUGUAAGCACUUGAAAAUUUUUGAUAUUGGCAAUAAUAAAAUAGGUGGUACAUUUCCGUCAUGGCUUUAUGCACUUGGAGAGCUAGAAGUCCUUGUCUUGCGAUCAAAUAAACUCUAUGGUACAAUAAGUGGAAGGAGCAUAGAAGAUCCCUUCCCCAAGUUGCGGAUUGUGGAUCUGUCCAACAAUCAAUUCACAGGCCAUUUGCCAAUUCAAUACUUUAAGAAUAUGAAAUCAACUGAUAAUUUGUAUCGUUAUCAGAAUGACACAGGAGUUUUUUCUUUCCAUUAUGAAGCAUCUGUCUCAUUAACUGUGAAGGGAACAGAGUAUGAAGUGAAAAAUAUCCUUCAUAUUUACACAACCAUUGAUCUGUCCUGCAACAAGUUUCAAGGAGAAAUUCCUGACGUUAUUGGAGAGCUUAGAUGGCUUGCAUUGCUGAACUUAUCUCAUAAUAGUCUAACAGGACAUAUCCCAUCAUUGCUGAGAAAUAUGAAAGGACUCCAAUCUUUAGAUUUGUCUUCAAAUCAACUGAAAGGGGCUAUUCCACUUCAGUUAACUGCAUUGACAUUUCUAGAGGUCUUGAACCUCUCGGGAAACCAUCUUAGUGGAGAGAUUCCUCAGAAAGGGCAGUUCAGCACAUUUAACAUUGAUUCUUAUCUAGGAAACUCCGCGUUAUGUGGUUCACCUUUGAUGAAGAAAUGUGCAAACACAGCAUCACCUCCACAAGAAGCCGGAAAUGGUGAUGAAGAUGAAGCUGGUGAUGAAUUGACAUGGGAAGCAAUCGUGAUGGGAUAUGGAUGUGGACUGAUAUGUGGAUUGUCAUCUGCAUACAUUGUUCUCAAACUAGGAAAGCCUUGGUGGUUUGUGAGAUAUAUCGAAGUACUGCAACAGAAGUUGAUGAAAAGAUAUGCAUGAAGAAAGGUACUGGUAGAUCAAGAUGAACUUGAAAGUUGUUGUCGUGGUAGACAUUUGUGAACCAGUAGUGUACUAGCUGCAUAAGUAUUUGGUAUUAUGUAAUAAUCCGUUUGGUCGGGACUCAAAAUGAUUUCUCUUGCUUCAGGGGUAUUAAUAUUAACCUUGCUAUCUUGAUCAAUGUUAGGGCAAAUUAAAAAGAAUAUAAAAGCAAAAAAUUUGCAUCAAACACCUGUUGUACCAACAUGCAUCCAUUAAUUUGCUUUCAUCUAUUAAGUAACAAUUUAAGAGCGCUUCCACUCUGUUUAAGCAUGGAGAUAACACAAAGAAGGCAAGUCCAUGGACUAAUAUAUUAACACGUAGUCCACAUCUAUGGUAUGAACAAUUCAUAUUGCUCUUCUAUCUGUUCAACAGUCUCCCGAAGAUAGGCCAAAAAUGUCAUCUGUGGUUCUUAUGUUUGUCAGUGAAGGAGAAUCUCUGAUGCCUACACAACCUGGUGUUUUUACAGAAAGGAAUGUAGGUGAAACCAGGGGCGUAAAAUGAAUCAGGACUAAAAUCUGCUAAAAUGAUAAUUAUUUACUCAUCAUUCAAGAUUAGUCGGGCUCAAAGAUUUAUAUGGAUUUUAAGAACAAACUAUGACUAAAUAUGAAAAAAUCAUUAAUUUUUCCGACUCAAUAUUUUUUAGCCUCCCCCGGCCCUGGGUGAAACCAUAAGCUUCUCUGGUGCACAUCCAAAUCAUUCAGUUGGUUCUACUUUCAGCUCACCCACAGGAACAUCAUUCUGCAGGUACUCUUUUAUCUGUACUUUCUUAUAUUGUAUGCCAGUAAAUUUUAUAUCGACAAACUGCACAAUACACCUCGAUCUCAUAUUAUUGACAGGUGAGCUCCUCUCAUAAUGCUCACAGGCGAACCCCUGCAUAUAUACUUUGUGAUGUCAUUGAUGAUCGAUAGACUUGAAAAAAAAUUAUGACAAAGAUUCAUAAAAUAUCUACUUCCAUCCUAAUUCAGUAUUCAAUAUUAUUCAUUCGUAUCAUCAUCCAAUCAAUUCUAAUAGUUCUUCUUUAAAUCAGUACAAAUAUUGUUAAAUACCUGGAUGAUGGUUGUCUUUCCGCGAACCAAUCAUGAAAUUACCUCUGUAUAAAUCCAUCGGAAAUAAGACAGUUAAUAUCCCAAUCGAAUACACCCCGUCAGUUGUCAAACUCCUCGAAACGUAUUAAUCACUUUAGAAAAUUUGUUCCACUGGCGCUAGUCAGUCCCAGAGUUGGUGGUGGGUGCUUCUGGGCUUUCGAAAAGCACCCAUUUACUCCAUUGUUUAGAGAAGUAAAACCCCACCUUCCGCUCAUUUGAUUGAUCAGCUGAAUUAGGCAGAGUUUACAUGGUCAUGAUCAUAGUCUCCCAUNUUAAUAGUCUGACAGGACCUAUCCCAACAUUGCUGAGAAAUAUGAAAUAACUCCAUUACUCCAAUCUUAGAUUUGUCCUCAAAUCAACUGACAGGGGCUAUUCCACCUCUGUUAACUGCAUUGACAUUACUUUUCUCUUUAUAUUCUUUCCUUUUGUAUGUACCUAUGCUAAUUAUCUGAUUAUUAAAAUUAUAACAAAGCUUCAAGAUUUUUAACAGGUGAGCUUCCACUAAAAAUUUGCAAAGUCACUUCCCUUUCGCGUCUCAUUAUGUUAGAUAAUGGGUCAAGUGGUGCACUUCCACAGUGUUUGGGGAACCUUUCUUUGCUUGGUUUCAAUAAUCUUGCUAAUUAUCAAUUUCAAGGACCAAUACCAACGACUGUCCAAGACUUGUCUGUGCAUAUCUAAACAUCCAUAACAAUCACUUUGAAGGUUUGUUGCUCCAAUCUUUGGCAAACUGUAAACACUUACAAAUUCUUGAUAUUGGAAACAACGUUGGAGAGCUAGAUGUCCCAGUUAGGGCGGUAAUUCGACUAGAGCAAACCGAGUUUUGAGCGGAGCCAAAUUCGAGCCAAGUUUAAUCGAGUCGAGCCGAGUCGGCUCGUUUAGCUAAUCGAGCCUAAAACUUAGCCCGAACUCGACUCAUUUAAUUUCACGAGUCGAGUCGAGCCAACUCGUUUAGCUAAAUGAGCUGAUUUUAACAAGUCGAGCGAGCGAGCUCGUAUAAUUUUAACUUAGUCGAGCCUGAAUCUCUACCCAAACUAUUGGCUCGUGUAAUUUCGCGAGUCGAAUCGAGCCGGCUCGUUUUAUUAAACAAGCCGAAAUUUUUGCCCGAAUUUGCUCGUUUAACAAGCCGAUCUGAGCCUAGUUAAAUGAGUUCGAGUUAGUCGAGCUCGCGAGCUGCGAGCUCACCUGCCAGCUCUAGUCCUAGUCUUGCAAUCAAAUAGGUUUAACGGUAUAGAAAGUGGAAGGAGCACAAGGCAUCCAUUCCCCAAGGCUAUUUACCAAUUCAGUACUUUGAGGAUACAAAAUCAUUCUGCAGGUACUCUUGUAUCUGUACUUUCUUGUACUGUAUGCCACUUUGACAGUAGAGUAAAAUUUAUAUCGACAAACUGCAUAUGUUCUGAACUACUCCUCUAUCCCAAAUUAGAUGAGCUAGUUGACUUUGAGCACGUAACUUAAGGUACAUUGACCAACUAGUUCCGAUAUUUAUUUUUUUAAUUUUUCUUUUGUAAAUGAAAAUUUCAUAUUUAAAUUUUUAUUUGCAAAACUAAAAUUUAAAAAUAUGUAAUGUGGCUAUGCGGUCAAUGUCAACGAGCUCAUCUAAUUUGGGAUUGGGAUGCAGGGAGUAUUACGUACUAUGUUAUGCAAGCUGUUUACAACUUUCAUCAAAAUUUUCAAACAUUUCUGAAUAUGUAUUUUCAAAGAAUUCUCGGGCACUCUUAAGGCCUAUAAUUAUUGGAACUCUCACGUUAUGGACCAGAGGACCACUAUGUAUUUUACAAGCACGACGAAUCAUGUGGUCAUUAUGGACUCCCCAAGCCUUAGAGGACUCAUUCCAGGUUUUAGGAGGACCACUGCCUAGCUCACCCUUUCGGAGUGAUGUAAAUUAGUUUCCAGACACUAAAAAUAAGUAAUCAGAUUAAUCAUUACAAAAUUUUGAUAUAAAAUCAGAAUAAAUCCUAAACUUUGAUGAUACAAAAAAAAUUAUAAUUGUAAAUUAUACAAUCAAAUUAAGAUCGAAUUAACUUCCCUCACACUUAAAAUUUAUAGCGAUCAAAUCAAAAUCGAAUUAACUUUCCUAUUACUAAAAUUUAAUUACAAUAUUAUUAGAUAAAGAGAAUAUAUAAUAAUCAAGAGAAAAUAGAUUUUUUUUUGCCACUCAACUUAUUGUGUUUUAAGAAACUUACCACCCAACUAAAUUUUUUUCCUUUUGCUCACUAAUGUUAGGUUUGGAUUUGUUUUUAGCCACCAAAUAAGGUUCGGAUUUGAUUACCAGCAUUAUGAUAAUUUUUUUUGUCACUAAACUUAUUGCGUCUUUAGAAACUAACCACUGAACUAAAUUUUUUUUAUUUUACUCACUAAUGUUAGAUUUAGUUUUUUUUGUCACUAUAGUUAGGUUCAGAUUUGAUUAUUAGCAUUACAUUAAUUCUGUGUAGCAUUUUUAAAAUAUGGUAGUAGUCUGUGAUAUUUAGAUGAUUUGAUAUAUGUCUGUAUUUUUAUAUAUAGUAUAUUUUAUGUCCCCAAGGUCGUUUACCUUGGGUCAUAAAAAUUUUACACUCAUUUUAUGACUUUUAAAAGAUGUAGUUUCAUAAAUAAUUUUAUUUUUUUCUUUCGAAUUAAAAUUCAGCAUUUGAAUUUUACACACAAAAAAAUCGCAAGAAUAAGAUAUGAAACUAUGCUUUACAAGAGUCUUAAAAUACGUGCUAAACGGUAGAAAAAACUGUAAACUAAUGAGAGGUACAUAGGGAGUAAUAAUAACAUAAAAUGAUGCACAAUCAUCGAAUUAAGUUUUCCUCUCUCUAUAUAUUUAUUUUGUAAAUUUUAAUAAGAUAAAGUUAUUAAAAUUUAUGAUAUAAAUUUAAGAGAUAUCUUAGAUUGAGUGGCAAAAAUUUAGUUGGGUGGUAAGUUUCUAAAAACACAAUAAAUUGAGUGGGAACAAAAUCUAUUUUCCCAAUAAUGAGUGGGAAUAAAAUCUAUUUUCCCAAUAAUCAAAGUGACGAAAAAUCAAAGUCAUCUAAUAAGUCCAGAAAAAAUAUGACCAUUAGUAUAUUGAAAUAAUAUUCACGCAUUUAUAUACGAGAAUAUAUGGUCCACAAGUUAGUGCACAAUGUCCAAGAAUCUUUAUCAAAUAACACGGCAAGCAUGCAGCAUAUAAAUAAGAGUGGGCAGUAUGGUAUUGCAUUCAUAACCCACUUGAGCAGAAAUAUGGCACACUUCCUAAAGCCUUCUCACCUUCUUCUCUUUGUUUUCUUUCUCUCGUUACUUCAAUCCAUUCUACCAACAAGACCAGAGGGAGAAGCUCUUGUGAAAUGGAAGAAUAGCCUAGCCCCGUCUUCUUUUCUCGAUUCUUGGUCACUAACCAAUCUCGAUAAUCUUUGUAACUGGACUGGCAUUACUUGUAACUCUGCAGGUUCAGUCUCUGGGAUUAACCUUUAUGAGAAACAACUUGAUGGAAUGCUGUCCGAGUUUGGCUUCACUUCAUUUCCGAAUCUCAACAAUCUCACCCUCGCAUACAACUUCUUCUCGGGUCCAAUACCACCAGCCAUUGAGAAUUUAACACAGCUUCAAUAUCUUGAUUUAAGCAUCAAUAGUCUCGAUGGUCCCAUUCCUUUCCAGGUUAGCCAUCUUCAGAGGUUGCUCGUCCUAAACCUGUCACAGAAUGCAUUGCAAGCUCCAAAUUGGUCCCAUUUCUCUUCCAUGCCUUUUUUGCGCAUCCUCAAGCUCAGUAGGAAUCAUCUUGUAUCGAAAUUUCCAGAAUUUAUAUCCAAUUCUCAUAGCUUGGCUAUCCUUGACCUUGGCCAGAACAACUUUACAGGUGAUCUUGUGCGUGAAUUUACCAAUCUACAAAAUCUUGAAACCCUCUGGCUUUAUCGUAAUUCUUUUGAGGGGCCAUUUCCGCCGGAUAUAGUCCAGCUUUCCAAACUAAAAGAUCUUGCCCUGUCAAGUAACAAAUUUUCAGGUUCAGUUCCCAAUAACAUAAGGUUGCUUUGUGAUCUUGAAUACCUAUAUUUAGGCAACAAUUCCUUUAAGGGGCCACUUCCACCAAAUAUAUUUAAGCUUUCAAAAUUAAAACAUCUUGUUCUUUGGAGUAAUAAGUUUUCAGGUUCUGUUUCCAAUGAUAUAGGUUUGCUUCAUGAGCUUGUAACCCUCAAUCUUAACUCUAAUUUUUUUGAGGGGCCGCUUCCGCCAAAUGUAUUCAAGCUCUCCAAACUAAAGUUUUUUGCCCUUCAUGAGAAUAACUUUUCAGGUUUUAUUUCUAAGGAUAUAGGUUUGCUUUCCGAACUUGAAAUCCUCUAUUUUGGCUCUAAUUUUUUUGAGGGGCCGCUUCCUCCACAUGUAUUUAGGCUCUCCAAAUUAAGAGGUCUGGACCUCUCACACAAUAGAAAUUUAUUUGAAGGAAGUAUUCCUAUUGGACUGGGACUCUUGACUAACCUCAGGUACUUAGAUCUACAUUCCAAUAAUCUCGGUGGCUAUAUUCCAUCUGACAUUGGAAACCUGAAGCUACUAGUACUUCUUGAUCUCGGUUCUAAUCAAUUGACUGGACCGCUUUCAAAGAUCGUUUCUAAUCUCACAAAUCUUAUAUGUCUUGAUGUAAGUCAUAAUAGUCUUAGUGGAAAUAUUCAGAGUGACUUGUGGAAAUAUAACGAUCAUCCAACUUUGGAAUACAUCAAUUUAAGUGGGAACCAUUUUACGGGUAUAGUUUUUCUCUAUAGAUCUUUUCCUUUUCUCAUAUGUAACUAAGCUAGUAAUCUGAUUAUUGCAGUUUCACCAAAGUUUCAACAAUCUUGACAGGUGAGCUUCCAACAACAAUUUGCAAUGUCACUUCCCUUUCGGUUCUUGAUUUGUCAAAUAAUGAAUUAAGUGGUGCACUUCCAAACUCUUUGGGGAAUCUUGCUGAUGGAAUGCUUUACCUUAAUCUUGCUAAUAAUCAGUUUCGAGGAACAAUACCAACUACUUUCUCCAGGAGUUGUCGGUUGACAUAUCUAAACAUGGAUAAUAAUGAGUUUGAAGGAUUGUUGCCCCCAUCUUUGGCGAACUGUAAGCACUUGAAAAUUCUUGAUAUAGGCAAUAAUAAAAUAGGUGGUACAUUUCCGUCAUGGCUUUAUGCACUUGGAGAGCUAGAAGUUCUUGUCUUGCGAUCAAAUAAACUCUAUGGUACAAUAAGUGGAAGGAGCAUAGAAGAUCCCUUCCCCAAGUUGCGGAUUGUGGAUCUGUCCCACAAUCAAUUGACAGGCUAUUUGCCAAUUCAAUACUUUAAGAAUAUGAAAUCAACUGAUAAUUUGUAUCGUUAUCAGAAUGACACAGGAGUUUUUUCUUUCCAUUAUGAAGCAUCUGUCUCAUUAACUGUGAAGGGAACAGAGUAUGAAGUGAAAAAUAUCCUUCAUAUUUACACAACCAUUGAUCUGUCCUGCAACAAGUUUCAAGGAGAAAUUCCUGACGUUAUUGGAGAGCUUAGAUGGCUUGCAUUGCUGAACUUAUCUCAUAAUAGUCUAACAGGACAUAUCCCAUCAUUGCUGAGAAAUAUGAAAGGACUCCAAUCUUUAGAUUUGUCUUCAAAUCAACUGAAAGGGGCUAUUCCACUUCAGUUAACUGCAUUGACAUUUCUAGAGGUCUUGAACCUCUCGGGAAACCAUCUUAGUGGAGAGAUUCCUCAGAAAGGGCAGUUCAGCACAUUUAACAUUGAUUCUUAUCUAGGAAACUCCGCGUUAUGUGGUUCACCUUUGAUGAAGAAAUGUGCAAACACAGCAUCACCUCCACAAGAAGCCGGAAAUGGUGAUGAAGAUGAAGCUGGUGAUGAAUUGACAUGGGAAGCAAUCGUGAUGGGAUAUGGAUGUGGACUGAUAUGUGGAUUGUCAUCUGCAUACAUUGUUCUCAAACUAGGAAAGCCUUGGUGGUUUGUGAGAUAUAUCGAAGUACUGCAACAGAAGUUGAUGAAAAGAUAUGCAUGAAGAAAGGUACUGGUAGAUCAAGAUGAACUUGAAAGUUGUUGUCGUGGUAGACAUUUGUGAACCAGUAGUGUACUAGCUGCAUAAGUAUUUGGUAUUAUGUAAUAAUCCGUUUGGUCGGGACUCAAAAUGAUUUCUCUUGCUUCAGGGGUAUUAAUAUUAACCUUGCUAUCUUGAUCAAUGUUAGGGCAAAUUAAAAAGAAUAUAAAAGCAAAAAAUUUGCAUCAAACACCUGUUGUACCAACAUGCAUCCAUUAAUUUGCUUUCAUCUAUUAAGUAACAAUUUAAGAGCGCUUCCACUCUGUUUAAGCAUGGAGAUAACACAAAGAAGGCAAGUCCAUGGACUAAUAUAUUAACACGUAGUCCACAUCUAUGGUAUGAACAAUUCAUAUUGCUCUUCUAUCUGUUCAACAGUCUCCCGAAGAUAGGCCAAAAAUGUCAUCUGUGGUUCUUAUGUUUGUCAGUGAAGGAGAAUCUCUGAUGCCUACACAACCUGGUGUUUUUACAGAAAGGAAUGUAGGUGAAACCAGGGGCGUAAAAUGAAUCAGGACUAAAAUCUGCUAAAAUGAUAAUUAUUUACUCAUCAUUCAAGAUUAGUCGGGCUCAAAGAUUUAUAUGGAUUUUAAGAACAAACUAUGACUAAAUAUGAAAAAAUCAUUAAUUUUUCCGACUCAAUAUUUUUUAGCCUCCCCCGGCCCUGGGUGAAACCAUAAGCUUCUCUGGUGCACAUCCAAAUCAUUCAGUUGGUUCUACUUUCAGCUCACCCACAGGAACAUCAUUCUGCAGGUACUCUUUUAUCUGUACUUUCUUAUAUUGUAUGCCAGUAAAUUUUAUAUCGACAAACUGCACAAUACACCUCGAUCUCAUAUUAUUGACAGGUGAGCUCCUCUCAUAAUGCUCACAGGCGAACCCCUGCAUAUAUACUUUGUGAUGUCAUUGAUGAUCGAUAGACUUGAAAAAAAAUUAUGACAAAGAUUCAUAAAAUAUCUACUUCCAUCCUAAUUCAGUAUUCAAUAUUAUUCAUUCGUAUCAUCAUCCAAUCAAUUCUAAUAGUUCUUCUUUAAAUCAGUACAAAUAUUGUUAAAUACCUGGAUGAUGGUUGUCUUUCCGCGAACCAAUCAUGAAAUUACCUCUGUAUAAAUCCAUCGGAAAUAAGACAGUUAAUAUCCCAAUCGAAUACACCCCGUCAGUUGUCAAACUCCUCGAAACGUAUUAAUCACUUUAGAAAAUUUGUUCCACUGGCGCUAGUCAGUCCCAGAGUUGGUGGUGGGUGCUUCUGGGCUUUCGAAAAGCACCCAUUUACUCCAUUGUUUAGAGAAGUAAAACCCCACCUUCCGCUCAUUUGAUUGAUCAGCUGAAUUAGGCAGAGUUUACAUGGUCAUGAUCAUAGUCUCCCAUAUAUCCCUGAUACGCACAUUAUAGUGGAUUUAUCUUUAUCAGUGAUUUCUGUGGAGAUGCAUAAUCAUUAUAAGCUCCAAUAUAAAAUUUUAAAGUUAGUAUGGGAAUUUGUGUUGAUAAUUUGCGCAAUGUUAACAGGAUUGCUCCCAAGUCUUGGACGGACUCUUUCAAAGUCUUCUCAGGACCCAUCUGCACACUAAUUUGUCUGCCAACUAAAAAAUCAACAAUAUGUUACUCCCUCCGUUUUUCUUAAACUGAGGUUAAAAUUUUUGACACAAGAUGGGUUGACAGUAUAAAAUUAAAAUAUUUGUGAAUAAAAAUUUUGGUUAUAUUUUUUAUUUAAAAAGAAAAUCUUGAAAAUAAUAUUAUUAACUACCAGUCAGAUCACUUAAGUGUAUGUCCAAAAUUAAAGCGGCAUAUAAAAAAAAGGGAGGAAGCAUGUACUAACUGUUUCCAUAACAGUUUACAAGUAUAAGCUAUACCCCCUCUCUAUUUUUUUCUAUGACAGCUUUGAUUUUGGGCACACAUUCUUAAGUGUUUUGACCGGAUAGUUAAAAAUUUAUCUUCUAAAAUUUUUAAAAAAAGUAAAAUCGCAAAAAAAAUUAGAAAGCUGGUAUUUUUGAUAAAUUUCCAAAUAUGUAAUCAAGAAAAAUAACUUUUACUAUCCAAUCAACUCAUUUAAAGAUGUGUGUCAAAAAUCAAAAUAUCAUACAAAAAAUAGGUAUACAUUUUUUUAAUAGAUUAUACUCCCUCUGUUCCAAAAUAAGUGUCAGCUGGGGGUAAUAACAAGACCUUAGUCAACCCAAGCACAGCAGACAGCAGGCAUAAGGCAUCAGGAAUUUCACAGGACCAUUAUCUUUCUCUUAUUAACUGUGAAGGGAACAGCGUAUGAAGUAGCAAGAACCUUCAUAUUUACACAGCCAUUGAUCUGUCGUGCAACAAAUUUCAGGGAGAAAUUCCAAAGGUUACCGGAGAGCUUAGAUGGCUUGCAUUGCUCAAUUUAUCGCAUAAUUAAUAGUCUGACAGGACCUAUCCCAACAUUGCUGAGAAAUAUGAAAUAACUCCAUUACUCCAAUCUUAGAUUUGUCCUCAAAUCAACUGACAGGGGCUAUUCCACCUCUGUUAACUGCAUUGACAUUACUUUUCUCUUUAUAUUCUUUCCUUUUGUAUGUACCUAUGCUAAUUAUCUGAUUAUUAAAAUUAUAACAAAGCUUCAAGAUUUUUAACAGGUGAGCUUCCACUAAAAAUUUGCAAAGUCACUUCCCUUUCGCGUCUCAUUAUGUUAGAUAAUGGGUCAAGUGGUGCACUUCCACAGUGUUUGGGGAACCUUUCUUUGCUUGGUUUCAAUAAUCUUGCUAAUUAUCAAUUUCAAGGACCAAUACCAACGACUGUCCAAGACUUGUCUGUGCAUAUCUAAACAUCCAUAACAAUCACUUUGAAGGUUUGUUGCUCCAAUCUUUGGCAAACUGUAAACACUUACAAAUUCUUGAUAUUGGAAACAACGUUGGAGAGCUAGAUGUCCCAGUUAGGGCGGUAAUUCGACUAGAGCAAACCGAGUUUUGAGCGGAGCCAAAUUCGAGCCAAGUUUAAUCGAGUCGAGCCGAGUCGGCUCGUUUAGCUAAUCGAGCCUAAAACUUAGCCCGAACUCGACUCAUUUAAUUUCACGAGUCGAGUCGAGCCAACUCGUUUAGCUAAAUGAGCUGAUUUUAACAAGUCGAGCGAGCGAGCUCGUAUAAUUUUAACUUAGUCGAGCCUGAAUCUCUACCCAAACUAUUGGCUCGUGUAAUUUCGCGAGUCGAAUCGAGCCGGCUCGUUUUAUUAAACAAGCCGAAAUUUUUGCCCGAAUUUGCUCGUUUAACAAGCCGAUCUGAGCCUAGUUAAAUGAGUUCGAGUUAGUCGAGCUCGCGAGCUGCGAGCUCACCUGCCAGCUCUAGUCCUAGUCUUGCAAUCAAAUAGGUUUAACGGUAUAGAAAGUGGAAGGAGCACAAGGCAUCCAUUCCCCAAGGCUAUUUACCAAUUCAGUACUUUGAGGAUACAAAAUCAUUCUGCAGGUACUCUUGUAUCUGUACUUUCUUGUACUGUAUGCCACUUUGACAGUAGAGUAAAAUUUAUAUCGACAAACUGCAUAUGUUCUGAACUACUCCUCUAUCCCAAAUUAGAUGAGCUAGUUGACUUUGAGCACGUAACUUAAGGUACAUUGACCAACUAGUUCCGAUAUUUAUUUUUUUAAUUUUUCUUUUGUAAAUGAAAAUUUCAUAUUUAAAUUUUUAUUUGCAAAACUAAAAUUUAAAAAUAUGUAAUGUGGCUAUGCGGUCAAUGUCAACGAGCUCAUCUAAUUUGGGAUUGGGAUGCAGGGAGUAUUACGUACUAUGUUAUGCAAGCUGUUUACAACUUUCAUCAAAAUUUUCAAACAUUUCUGAAUAUGUAUUUUCAAAGAAUUCUCGGGCACUCUUAAGGCCUAUAAUUAUUGGAACUCUCACGUUAUGGACCAGAGGACCACUAUGUAUUUUACAAGCACGACGAAUCAUGUGGUCAUUAUGGACUCCCCAAGCCUUAGAGGACUCAUUCCAGGUUUUAGGAGGACCACUGCCUAGCUCACCCUUUCGGAGUGAUGUAAAUUAGUUUCCAGACACUAAAAAUAAGUAAUCAGAUUAAUCAUUACAAAAUUUUGAUAUAAAAUCAGAAUAAAUCCUAAACUUUGAUGAUACAAAAAAAAUUAUAAUUGUAAAUUAUACAAUCAAAUUAAGAUCGAAUUAACUUCCCUCACACUUAAAAUUUAUAGCGAUCAAAUCAAAAUCGAAUUAACUUUCCUAUUACUAAAAUUUAAUUACAAUAUUAUUAGAUAAAGAGAAUAUAUAAUAAUCAAGAGAAAAUAGAUUUUUUUUUGCCACUCAACUUAUUGUGUUUUAAGAAACUUACCACCCAACUAAAUUUUUUUCCUUUUGCUCACUAAUGUUAGGUUUGGAUUUGUUUUUAGCCACCAAAUAAGGUUCGGAUUUGAUUACCAGCAUUAUGAUAAUUUUUUUUGUCACUAAACUUAUUGCGUCUUUAGAAACUAACCACUGAACUAAAUUUUUUUUAUUUUACUCACUAAUGUUAGAUUUAGUUUUUUUUGUCACUAUAGUUAGGUUCAGAUUUGAUUAUUAGCAUUACAUUAAUUCUGUGUAGCAUUUUUAAAAUAUGGUAGUAGUCUGUGAUAUUUAGAUGAUUUGAUAUAUGUCUGUAUUUUUAUAUAUAGUAUAUUUUAUGUCCCCAAGGUCGUUUACCUUGGGUCAUAAAAAUUUUACACUCAUUUUAUGACUUUUAAAAGAUGUAGUUUCAUAAAUAAUUUUAUUUUUUUCUUUCGAAUUAAAAUUCAGCAUUUGAAUUUUACACACAAAAAAAUCGCAAGAAUAAGAUAUGAAACUAUGCUUUACAAGAGUCUUAAAAUACGUGCUAAACGGUAGAAAAAACUGUAAACUAAUGAGAGGUACAUAGGGAGUAAUAAUAACAUAAAAUGAUGCACAAUCAUCGAAUUAAGUUUUCCUCUCUCUAUAUAUUUAUUUUGUAAAUUUUAAUAAGAUAAAGUUAUUAAAAUUUAUGAUAUAAAUUUAAGAGAUAUCUUAGAUUGAGUGGCAAAAAUUUAGUUGGGUGGUAAGUUUCUAAAAACACAAUAAAUUGAGUGGGAACAAAAUCUAUUUUCCCAAUAAUGAGUGGGAAUAAAAUCUAUUUUCCCAAUAAUCAAAGUGACGAAAAAUCAAAGUCAUCUAAUAAGUCCAGAAAAAAUAUGACCAUUAGUAUAUUGAAAUAAUAUUCACGCAUUUAUAUACGAGAAUAUAUGGUCCACAAGUUAGUGCACAAUGUCCAAGAAUCUUUAUCAAAUAACACGGCAAGCAUGCAGCAUAUAAAUAAGAGUGGGCAGUAUGGUAUUGCAUUCAUAACCCACUUGAGCAGAAAUAUGGCACACUUCCUAAAGCCUUCUCACCUUCUUCUCUUUGUUUUCUUUCUCUCGUUACUUCAAUCCAUUCUACCAACAAGACCAGAGGGAGAAGCUCUUGUGAAAUGGAAGAAUAGCCUAGCCCCGUCUUCUUUUCUCGAUUCUUGGUCACUAACCAAUCUCGAUAAUCUUUGUAACUGGACUGGCAUUACUUGUAACUCUGCAGGUUCAGUCUCUGGGAUUAACCUUUAUGAGAAACAACUUGAUGGAAUGCUGUCCGAGUUUGGCUUCACUUCAUUUCCGAAUCUCAACAAUCUCACCCUCGCAUACAACUUCUUCUCGGGUCCAAUACCACCAGCCAUUGAGAAUUUAACACAGCUUCAAUAUCUUGAUUUAAGCAUCAAUAGUCUCGAUGGUCCCAUUCCUUUCCAGGUUAGCCAUCUUCAGAGGUUGCUCGUCCUAAACCUGUCACAGAAUGCAUUGCAAGCUCCAAAUUGGUCCCAUUUCUCUUCCAUGCCUUUUUUGCGCAUCCUCAAGCUCAGUAGGAAUCAUCUUGUAUCNUUUUUAUUUAAAAAGAAAAUCUUGAAAAUAAUAUUAUUAACUACCAGUCAGAUCACUUAAGUGUAUGUCCAAAAUUAAAGCGGCAUAUAAAAAAAAGGGAGGAAGCAUGUACUAACUGUUUCCAUAACAGUUUACAAGUAUAAGCUAUACCCCCUCUCUAUUUUUUUCUAUGACAGCUUUGAUUUUGGGCACACAUUCUUAAGUGUUUUGACCGGAUAGUUAAAAAUUUAUCUUCUAAAAUUUUUAAAAAAAGUAAAAUCGCAAAAAAAAUUAGAAAGCUGGUAUUUUUGAUAAAUUUCCAAAUAUGUAAUCAAGAAAAAUAACUUUUACUAUCCAAUCAACUCAUUUAAAGAUGUGUGUCAAAAAUCAAAAUAUCAUACAAAAAAUAGGUAUACAUUUUUUUAAUAGAUUAUACUCCCUCUGUUCCAAAAUAAGUGUCAGCUGGGGGUAAUAACAAGACCUUAGUCAACCCAAGCACAGCAGACAGCAGGCAUAAGGCAUCAGGAAUUUCACAGGACCAUUAUCUUUCUCUUAUUAACUGUGAAGGGAACAGCGUAUGAAGUAGCAAGAACCUUCAUAUUUACACAGCCAUUGAUCUGUCGUGCAACAAAUUUCAGGGAGAAAUUCCAAAGGUUACCGGAGAGCUUAGAUGGCUUGCAUUGCUCAAUUUAUCGCAUAAUUAAUAGUCUGACAGGACCUAUCCCAACAUUGCUGAGAAAUAUGAAAUAACUCCAUUACUCCAAUCUUAGAUUUGUCCUCAAAUCAACUGACAGGGGCUAUUCCACCUCUGUUAACUGCAUUGACAUUACUUUUCUCUUUAUAUUCUUUCCUUUUGUAUGUACCUAUGCUAAUUAUCUGAUUAUUAAAAUUAUAACAAAGCUUCAAGAUUUUUAACAGGUGAGCUUCCACUAAAAAUUUGCAAAGUCACUUCCCUUUCGCGUCUCAUUAUGUUAGAUAAUGGGUCAAGUGGUGCACUUCCACAGUGUUUGGGGAACCUUUCUUUGCUUGGUUUCAAUAAUCUUGCUAAUUAUCAAUUUCAAGGACCAAUACCAACGACUGUCCAAGACUUGUCUGUGCAUAUCUAAACAUCCAUAACAAUCACUUUGAAGGUUUGUUGCUCCAAUCUUUGGCAAACUGUAAACACUUACAAAUUCUUGAUAUUGGAAACAACGUUGGAGAGCUAGAUGUCCCAGUUAGGGCGGUAAUUCGACUAGAGCAAACCGAGUUUUGAGCGGAGCCAAAUUCGAGCCAAGUUUAAUCGAGUCGAGCCGAGUCGGCUCGUUUAGCUAAUCGAGCCUAAAACUUAGCCCGAACUCGACUCAUUUAAUUUCACGAGUCGAGUCGAGCCAACUCGUUUAGCUAAAUGAGCUGAUUUUAACAAGUCGAGCGAGCGAGCUCGUAUAAUUUUAACUUAGUCGAGCCUGAAUCUCUACCCAAACUAUUGGCUCGUGUAAUUUCGCGAGUCGAAUCGAGCCGGCUCGUUUUAUUAAACAAGCCGAAAUUUUUGCCCGAAUUUGCUCGUUUAACAAGCCGAUCUGAGCCUAGUUAAAUGAGUUCGAGUUAGUCGAGCUCGCGAGCUGCGAGCUCACCUGCCAGCUCUAGUCCUAGUCUUGCAAUCAAAUAGGUUUAACGGUAUAGAAAGUGGAAGGAGCACAAGGCAUCCAUUCCCCAAGGCUAUUUACCAAUUCAGUACUUUGAGGAUACAAAAUCAUUCUGCAGGUACUCUUGUAUCUGUACUUUCUUGUACUGUAUGCCACUUUGACAGUAGAGUAAAAUUUAUAUCGACAAACUGCAUAUGUUCUGAACUACUCCUCUAUCCCAAAUUAGAUGAGCUAGUUGACUUUGAGCACGUAACUUAAGGUACAUUGACCAACUAGUUCCGAUAUUUAUUUUUUUAAUUUUUCUUUUGUAAAUGAAAAUUUCAUAUUUAAAUUUUUAUUUGCAAAACUAAAAUUUAAAAAUAUGUAAUGUGGCUAUGCGGUCAAUGUCAACGAGCUCAUCUAAUUUGGGAUUGGGAUGCAGGGAGUAUUACGUACUAUGUUAUGCAAGCUGUUUACAACUUUCAUCAAAAUUUUCAAACAUUUCUGAAUAUGUAUUUUCAAAGAAUUCUCGGGCACUCUUAAGGCCUAUAAUUAUUGGAACUCUCACGUUAUGGACCAGAGGACCACUAUGUAUUUUACAAGCACGACGAAUCAUGUGGUCAUUAUGGACUCCCCAAGCCUUAGAGGACUCAUUCCAGGUUUUAGGAGGACCACUGCCUAGCUCACCCUUUCGGAGUGAUGUAAAUUAGUUUCCAGACACUAAAAAUAAGUAAUCAGAUUAAUCAUUACAAAAUUUUGAUAUAAAAUCAGAAUAAAUCCUAAACUUUGAUGAUACAAAAAAAAUUAUAAUUGUAAAUUAUACAAUCAAAUUAAGAUCGAAUUAACUUCCCUCACACUUAAAAUUUAUAGCGAUCAAAUCAAAAUCGAAUUAACUUUCCUAUUACUAAAAUUUAAUUACAAUAUUAUUAGAUAAAGAGAAUAUAUAAUAAUCAAGAGAAAAUAGAUUUUUUUUUGCCACUCAACUUAUUGUGUUUUAAGAAACUUACCACCCAACUAAAUUUUUUUCCUUUUGCUCACUAAUGUUAGGUUUGGAUUUGUUUUUAGCCACCAAAUAAGGUUCGGAUUUGAUUACCAGCAUUAUGAUAAUUUUUUUUGUCACUAAACUUAUUGCGUCUUUAGAAACUAACCACUGAACUAAAUUUUUUUUAUUUUACUCACUAAUGUUAGAUUUAGUUUUUUUUGUCACUAUAGUUAGGUUCAGAUUUGAUUAUUAGCAUUACAUUAAUUCUGUGUAGCAUUUUUAAAAUAUGGUAGUAGUCUGUGAUAUUUAGAUGAUUUGAUAUAUGUCUGUAUUUUUAUAUAUAGUAUAUUUUAUGUCCCCAAGGUCGUUUACCUUGGGUCAUAAAAAUUUUACACUCAUUUUAUGACUUUUAAAAGAUGUAGUUUCAUAAAUAAUUUUAUUUUUUUCUUUCGAAUUAAAAUUCAGCAUUUGAAUUUUACACACAAAAAAAUCGCAAGAAUAAGAUAUGAAACUAUGCUUUACAAGAGUCUUAAAAUACGUGCUAAACGGUAGAAAAAACUGUAAACUAAUGAGAGGUACAUAGGGAGUAAUAAUAACAUAAAAUGAUGCACAAUCAUCGAAUUAAGUUUUCCUCUCUCUAUAUAUUUAUUUUGUAAAUUUUAAUAAGAUAAAGUUAUUAAAAUUUAUGAUAUAAAUUUAAGAGAUAUCUUAGAUUGAGUGGCAAAAAUUUAGUUGGGUGGUAAGUUUCUAAAAACACAAUAAAUUGAGUGGGAACAAAAUCUAUUUUCCCAAUAAUGAGUGGGAAUAAAAUCUAUUUUCCCAAUAAUCAAAGUGACGAAAAAUCAAAGUCAUCUAAUAAGUCCAGAAAAAAUAUGACCAUUAGUAUAUUGAAAUAAUAUUCACGCAUUUAUAUACGAGAAUAUAUGGUCCACAAGUUAGUGCACAAUGUCCAAGAAUCUUUAUCAAAUAACACGGCAAGCAUGCAGCAUAUAAAUAAGAGUGGGCAGUAUGGUAUUGCAUUCAUAACCCACUUGAGCAGAAAUAUGGCACACUUCCUAAAGCCUUCUCACCUUCUUCUCUUUGUUUUCUUUCUCUCGUUACUUCAAUCCAUUCUACCAACAAGACCAGAGGGAGAAGCUCUUGUGAAAUGGAAGAAUAGCCUAGCCCCGUCUUCUUUUCUCGAUUCUUGGUCACUAACCAAUCUCGAUAAUCUUUGUAACUGGACUGGCAUUACUUGUAACUCUGCAGGUUCAGUCUCUGGGAUUAACCUUUAUGAGAAACAACUUGAUGGAAUGCUGUCCGAGUUUGGCUUCACUUCAUUUCCGAAUCUCAACAAUCUCACCCUCGCAUACAACUUCUUCUCGGGUCCAAUACCACCAGCCAUUGAGAAUUUAACACAGCUUCAAUAUCUUGAUUUAAGCAUCAAUAGUCUCGAUGGUCCCAUUCCUUUCCAGGUUAGCCAUCUUCAGAGGUUGCUCGUCCUAAACCUGUCACAGAAUGCAUUGCAAGCUCCAAAUUGGUCCCAUUUCUCUUCCAUGCCUUUUUUGCGCAUCCUCAAGCUCAGUAGGAAUCAUCUUGUAUCGAAAUUUCCAGAAUUUAUAUCCAAUUCUCAUAGCUUGGCUAUCCUUGACCUUGGCCAGAACAACUUUACAGGUGAUCUUGUGCGUGAAUUUACCAAUCUACAAAAUCUUGAAACCCUCUGGCUUUAUCGUAAUUCUUUUGAGGGGCCAUUUCCGCCGGAUAUAGUCCAGCUUUCCAAACUAAAAGAUCUUGCCCUGUCAAGUAACAAAUUUUCAGGUUCAGUUCCCAAUAACAUAAGGUUGCUUUGUGAUCUUGAAUACCUAUAUUUAGGCAACAAUUCCUUUAAGGGGCCACUUCCACCAAAUAUAUUUAAGCUUUCAAAAUUAAAACAUCUUGUUCUUUGGAGUAAUAAGUUUUCAGGUUCUGUUUCCAAUGAUAUAGGUUUGCUUCAUGAGCUUGUAACCCUCAAUCUUAACUCUAAUUUUUUUGAGGGGCCGCUUCCGCCAAAUGUAUUCAAGCUCUCCAAACUAAAGUUUUUUGCCCUUCAUGAGAAUAACUUUUCAGGUUUUAUUUCUAAGGAUAUAGGUUUGCUUUCCGAACUUGAAAUCCUCUAUUUUGGCUCUAAUUUUUUUGAGGGGCCGCUUCCUCCACAUGUAUUUAGGCUCUCCAAAUUAAGAGGUCUGGACCUCUCACACAAUAGAAAUUUAUUUGAAGGAAGUAUUCCUAUUGGACUGGGACUCUUGACUAACCUCAGGUACUUAGAUCUACAUUCCAAUAAUCUCGGUGGCUAUAUUCCAUCUGACAUUGGAAACCUGAAGCUACUAGUACUUCUUGAUCUCGGUUCUAAUCAAUUGACUGGACCGCUUUCAAAGAUCGUUUCUAAUCUCACAAAUCUUAUAUGUCUUGAUGUAAGUCAUAAUAGUCUUAGUGGAAAUAUUCAGAGUGACUUGUGGAAAUAUAACGAUCAUCCAACUUUGGAAUACAUCAAUUUAAGUGGGAACCAUUUUACGGGUAUAGUUUUUCUCUAUAGAUCUUUUCCUUUUCUCAUAUGUAACUAAGCUAGUAAUCUGAUUAUUGCAGUUUCACCAAAGUUUCAACAAUCUUGACAGGUGAGCUUCCAACAACAAUUUGCAAUGUCACUUCCCUUUCGGUUCUUGAUUUGUCAAAUAAUGAAUUAAGUGGUGCACUUCCAAACUCUUUGGGGAAUCUUGCUGAUGGAAUGCUUUACCUUAAUCUUGCUAAUAAUCAGUUUCGAGGAACAAUACCAACUACUUUCUCCAGGAGUUGUCGGUUGACAUAUCUAAACAUGGAUAAUAAUGAGUUUGAAGGAUUGUUGCCCCCAUCUUUGGCGAACUGUAAGCACUUGAAAAUUCUUGAUAUAGGCAAUAAUAAAAUAGGUGGUACAUUUCCGUCAUGGCUUUAUGCACUUGGAGAGCUAGAAGUUCUUGUCUUGCGAUCAAAUAAACUCUAUGGUACGAUAAGUGGAAGGAGCAUAGAAGAUCCCUUCCCCAAGUUGCGGAUUGUGGAUCUGUCCCACAAUCAAUUGACAGGCUAUUUGCCAAUUCAAUACUUUAAGAAUAUGAAAUCAACUGAUAAUUUGUAUCGUUAUCGGAAUUCCACAGGACCAUUAUCUUUCUCUUAUGAAGCAGCAGUCUCAUUAACUGUGAAGGGAACAGAGUACGAGGUAGCAAAGAACCUUCAUAUUUACACAGCCAUUGACCUGUCGUGCAACAAAUUUCAGGGAGAAAUUCCAAAGGUUACUGGAGAGCUUAGAUGGCUUGCAUUGCUGAAUUUAUCUCAUAAUAGUCUGACAGGACCUAUCCCAUCCUUGCUGAAAAAUAUGAAAGAACUCCAAUCUUUAGAUUUGUCCUCAAAUCAACUGACAGGGGCUAUUCCACCUCAGUUAACUGCAUUGACAUUUCUGGAGGUCUUCAACCUCUCGGGAAACCAUCUUAGUGGAGAGAUUCCUCAGAAAGGGCAGUUCAGCACAUUUAACAAUGAUUCUUAUCUAGGAAACUCCGCGUUAUGUGGAUCACCUUUGACAAAGAAAUGUGCAAACACAGCAUCACCUCCACAAGAAGUCGGAAAUGGUGAUGAAGAUGAUGCUGGUGAUGAAU